UUUUUUUUUUUUUUUUUUUUUUGAACAAACAAUCUUUACUUACGUUUUCUUUUUUUUUUGUUGGCUGAGUUCUUUAAUCAUAUUUUAUCAGAUUAUUAGUAUUAUAUUAAGGGGAAUUAAAUCAUGUAAGAGAAACCCAAUAAAGUAGGGGUGUGUUGGCAAACUAGUACGUUUUUGAAACAUAAUUAUAAAGAUAGUACAUUUACUAUUCACAAUUAGCAAAAUAGUACAAUUUUACUAUUUCAGAUAUUUGUACAGACAGACAACUGUACAGUAACAUAUUAUUGUACAUCAAAUAUUUGUACAAAGAGAAACAACUACAUAUAAACAUAUUUACACAUAAACAAAUAUACAUAUAUAAACCAGAAUAUAUAUGUACACAUACAAUUAUACGUAUAUAUAGACCGUUGUACGAAUGAUUUUCCGUACAUCGACACACAACUGUACAUAAGGUUAGCUGGACGUAUCAAAUUUGUUUGAAAAAUAUAUGAAAUUAUUUUUUAAAAAAUGCAUAUCAAAUUAUAGAGAAAAAAAUACAGAUUUUUGUGUAAUUGAAAUUUUAUAGAAAACAAAUAUAUUUUGAUAAAUUUUUUUAGUUAUUAUAUUUAAGAGGAUUUUUAAUAGUGUCCAAAUAGUAAAAAUGUAUUAAUUUGCUAAUAAUAAAUAGUAAAUGUACUAAUUAUAUAAUUAUGUUUCAAAAAUGUACUAAAAGCCCAAUUAAUCCAUAAAGUAGUUUGAAGAACAAAAAGACAACCUUUUUUGCCCUUUUAUAAUUUACACUUAUACCCAGAAAGAAAUAAAAUAACAUUCUGAUCUCUCUCUCUCUCUUUCUGUCUCUCGUUGAGUGUGUCCAUGAAAUAAUAAUAAUAAUACCAGAGAGAGAGGGAGAGAGAGAGGGAGAGAGAGACUGUAAUGUGGUGGCGAAGUUCGUGGCCACACUAAUACUCUGCUUUGAUGAUGAUGAGGAACCACAACAAUGGCGAGCGAACCACUGAUCUUGAUUCUCGUCUCCUGCAGCAAGAACAGGAUAAGCUCUUGUUCCAUGACUUCUUAGGCUCCAAGACUCCUGCUUUACCCUCCCCUUCCAUGGCUGACCACAGGCUACCUCCGGAUUAUAAGGCGGCUAAACCGGCCAUGACUCCCUCUAUGGCUUCGGCUUCCUCCGCCGGUGGACGCGGUGGUCUCUCCUCGACCUCCGAUCUCGGUUCUGCUCUCCUCCCUUUCUCUCUCUCUCACUCUCUUUCUCUUGAUGUGGUUUUGAGCUGAUUCCUCUGUACACUUGUCGUUUCCAUCUACAGAAAGUUCAAAAUUUUUGUUACAUAGAUUCGAUUUUAAAGUUCGAUUCUUUCGUUUUCCAAGCCUGAAUUAACAAUCGAGUUUUGAUCAACCAUGAUUUGGAAAUGUAGAAGAUCAUGUGUCAGUGCUAGUUUCAACUUUUUAGCUCAAUUCAUUUAUGACUCCAUCUUUUAAGUAGGAAAUGGAACAUCUUUUGGGUGAAGUUAAACAAGAUAUGAGUGUACAUUGUCUAGUUUUCUUCUCUUGCCUUUGUUUUAGUUUGAAAAUUUUAUAAACUUGAACAUGGAUUUUGGGUGAGCAUGUGGUUGAUUGAACUAUAAUAGUGAAGGACUCUGUCUCUCUGUCUGUCCAACCAUAAUGUCUCUGGUGGAUUAGUUGGGACAGUGGGAGUGAAUUUGACUGAUGAGUUUGGUGGGUCAUAGCCAUUGGAGGUUGUACUGCUCUUUUGUAUGAAUUAGCCUUCUUUUUUUUUUUUUACUUCUCUUUCCCACUCUCUCCUUGAGUUCCUCCUACUGCAGUCUGAUAGAUUUUAACUUUUGUUUAGUGGAAAGACACAGCGGCGGGGGGAAUCAUCUUGAUGGGAUACAAUUGUUUGGACCAAGAAGUGAGGUUUCUGGCUCGAUUAUGAGCAAUCGAUUUUCGGGAAACAAGAGAAGUACCUCGGAUUCACACUUCUCAACGCAAGAGCACCCAGAGACUCUGCAUUGGUCCAAGGUAAAAAAGAAAAAAAAAACACAACUUCACCAUGUUCGUAGCUUCCAUAUAAGUUAUAAUUCAGUUUCUGUAAUUUGUCAUUGUAAUAACCUAGUUGCUUAGAAACGGACCUGGAAGCUUCUCCAUGAAUGUGAAUCCCUUGGCAAACCAGCCUCCACGUGGAGGAGGACAGAUCAGUCAUUUGCUUCAUCAGCUGUCUUCAAGCAGGUUCAAAGAUGAAAACGUAGGUCCAUCAGCUAUCGCUCAGACAGCUGCUGAUGAAGGUUCACGAACAGGGAUGAAAGGUCCCGGUAUCUUGAGUUCUUUUACAAUGCCAAACCCGACCAAGCUCGAAAGUUUUCCCCCUUCAAGGUCAGUUAGCUUCUACUGUUCUGUCUCUGGUCUUUUUGAUACUAUCUUCCGAGGCAUUUCAAUACAUUUUGUAUUUAGCACCGGAAUUCGGAAAGACGUGAAGUCAAGUACUAAGCAAAUGACCAUCUUCUAUGGCGGUCAAGCUCAUGUCUUUGAUGAUGUUCUACCAAACAAGGUGAUUCUCCUUAACACUUACAUUCUUGAAAUUCAAGUUAUUUGACUACAUAUUGAAAUCUAAUAAAGUAGAGAAACUGGGAAGUCCAUUAUAUAUAAACGUUUUUUCUCUUUUGCAGGCGGAUGUGAUAAUGGCCUUGGCAGGAUCAAGCGGGGGCUCAUGGUCUACCGGUUUGUCGCAUAAACCAAAGUCAAAGAACAACACAAGUGACUGUCCAUAUAAAAUAGACCAAAUGUAUGAAGGAGGCAGCUCUAGAGAAACACCGCUUUUGGUUACGGAUUUUCGUGCAAGGCCAAGUCAUCAAGCUACAUCCAGGGCCUGUCAGCGGAUCUUUUCACAACAAGGUGACUAAUUUUUAAACAAAAUCAUAUUUCAGCAGAAAUUUUGGUUAGCGUCUUACAAAUACACAAUGGAGUGGAGCAAUCAGGUCUUGUUCUGCAUUGUGAGACAUAACAAAUAAAGAGUUAUCAACAGUUCUGGGUUUUGUCAGCUUUGAAUCUUUUUGUCAGGCCAUUAAAACAUGUGCAUAUAUGAUUUGCAGGUAGAGAACAUCAAGGAAGUAUCAUCUCAAGGGGACGAGAUACCAGAGAUCCGGUUCACAUAUCAGAUCCUGAAAAAGAAGCCACAUGAUUUAGUCUGGAUAUGAGAGACGUGCUUAGUUGUCUUUUUUUGGCAAAUUAUCUAAGUUGUUAUUUGUUCGAGUUAAAAGCUUUGUACAAUGCUCUGUACCUUUCUAGGUUUAUAUUCCGAAUUUAUUACCCUUAAUGAUUUAAAGUAUAAUUUCCCCAUAGCUAGUAUAUAAACAAUUGGUCAAACAAACCUGCUUUUUCUAGGCCAACAGAUUUUCAUAUAUGUGUAAGGUUGAGCAUAUGGAUACAGUAUCACAAGAGAAUCAUGUCUAAACCAACUCUGGAAGUCUGUAACUCGAAAGGAGAGUCACCUCAUAUCACCUUAUUCAACCCCUUCUUUCGAGUCAGAGGUGGUUACAACAGAUAUUUGACUCCUCAGCCUCUCAUUCUCAGUACAUUCCUCCUGCAAUUGAAAAAAUUAGCACUAUAUAAGUAGAUGACUCUCGGGAGUUGAAUCGUUAUAUCAGUAUAACCACUUGUUUCCUCUUUUGUGCUUACCUGGAAUGCUCUUAGUACAGUGUAGCAUUUCCUUUGCUCUGCAGCUGCAGCAAGAUACUUUUCUUUUGAAGCAUCACGAAGCCUCUGCUCUUCUAGAAGCCCAAGUUGUACUUUUCCUAUCUUCUGCACUUCAAACAAUUUGUCACGACAAGUCAUACAGCUAAAGUUAUGUAAGAUGGGCGAGAUUCAUUCUUUGUGCCCCAAAUACCUAAAUGAAUAUAACUCUCUUACCUGUUGGAUUCCUUUCAUUACUCCUUCCAUAGAAUCAAUAAGCUUCACACGGCCAGCAGGACGGCCAAUCACGUCUUGAAACUACAUUGGAGUCAACGGCUAAUGAGGAAGAAUUGUGAAACUUUGACUCACCAAGAGAUAUACUAAAAGGGGAAAGCAAAACGUAAAUCAACUUAAUAUGAACCUAGCCUUUUCUCAACGAUAAGUACAUAAUAACUAAAGGUAUAAAACUGAGAGCAGUAAAAACUAAAAAGCAGAUGACGCCAGUUACAGAAAAUCUACAAAACAAUAACGCCUGUAAUGUACCUGUGAACCUAUUGAAUUUAAUAAUGAUGUCUCCUUUAGCAUCAAAUCUUUGAUUUCUAAAAGAGCAUUGUAUGUUGCAUAGAGCUUCCUAGUUUGCUGAAGUUUCUCCUGUUUUUUAGUCAGAAAUUGAACAAAUGUUCAAGCUUGUAAGUUCAUUUUCAACUACAGAACAAACCUGCAAAGCAACACGGCAAAUAUUAAUUUGACCAUUCAAACCUGGAUACAGACAUUCAACUCUGAGAAUCUUCUUUCAUAUCUGCACGGAAUGUAAUGUAGAACUUUAGCAUGAGACAAAUACAAAGCAAGGGGGAAAUUAACCAUAAUGAAACUGGAUUCCCUUUGAACAAAAAAAAAAGAAACUGGAUUCCUAAAAGCAAGACGCAAAGGAACUUGACUUCUGAAAUAAUGAUUCCACACCUUUACAACAGAAUUAAAGAUAUAUGCUCAUCAAACUAGAGGGAGUGGGGUUAAAACAGAUACAUUGUUGAGAUGGACGAGUUUCAAUGCUAACUAAUACACAAAUACAAGUGCCAAAUCCAAGGCAUCGCCUUUGAAGAAAGCAAGAAAUAGAUAAAGAAGGGCAUACUGGAGGAGUUCUGAUUGGCAUGGCACAUCAUCAAUCUGUCGUUUCAGUGACACUAUUUCUCUAAGCGUUGCUGCAAGCUCCUACAGUAAAACAAAAGAAAUGCAGUAAUAACCUUUUAGAAAGACAUUUAAAAAACCUGAACUUUACUCCAUGAUGCUCAAGAUGCAUAGAGGCUUGUCUAUAGCUUAGAUAGAGUACCUUCUUUGCUGAAGUCAGAUUAUCUAAAGAUUCAACCAACAAACCAUCUAAAUAUUCCUCUUGAAUCUCACCAUCAUGCCCCUUAGCGACACUCUCUUUCAAAUCAUGAACCGCACCUUCUAAAGCAGAACGCCUAGCAUUGCAAUUAGACCGGACUUCAGAUUCCUCUUUUUCUAAAUCCUGAAAAAACCUACAACUAUUGAGUUCCACACAGGGCCAGUUACAAAAUAGUAAUGAAAACAGAAACUUUUGGUAACCCUCAACACUUAUUAACCUUGAGUGAUCUCAAAAGCUGUAUCAACUCCUGGACUGAAACAUCAACACCUUCAGCACUUAUUCUUUCUUGCAGCUGCUGCAGUGUAUCCUUAACAUCACAUUUUCUCUGAUUCUAAGUUACAAAUGGCGACAGAUUAAAACCUAUCAGUGUAAUUUGAUCAAAAACACCAGUGUAUAAGAUAGACUAGGAAAUAAGAGACGUGAAAGGGUUGCACCUGUUCAUUCAGUGUCACACUCAAUUCUCUAAUAGACGCCUUUAGAUUUGUCACCAUUACCUCAGGCUGCCCUGAAGCACAUUCCUCCUUCCCAGAAAUACAAACCUGUGGUUCUAGAGUAUAUCAGAACUUCUUCCGAAUCUAAUAGAUCAAUUGAGCAUCGAACAUUUCAUUCUUCGAGUACAAAACUUCAGGGAUCAAAACCAUAGCACAAGAACAAACAAAAUCAAGCAAAAAGCUCCUUCUAACCUCGUCACUGUUAUAUUCCUUCUCCAUCACCCGAUCACGCAAAACCGGGAAUUCUUCCUUCGCUGCCGGAGAAUCCGAGUUCAGCGACUCGGAAGAUCGACCUCAGAGACGCCGGAGCCUUCACGAUUGAAAGAAGACGACUUUUCACCGGCGUAAGCCAAAUCUAAAGGGCCACACUCUAUAAGUUUGCGACUGGAAUUUCGUAAUGGCGUUAAUAGCUUUCGCGUUUGCGUUUGCGUUUGAUGUAUGACUCACAAUUUCAGUUUUGAUUGUUUUUUUAACGCGUAAAUAUACUCAUAUAUGCAUUAAAAAAAUUCAAGCAGCAACUACCAAAAAAAAAAAAAAAAUCAAGCAGCUGAACCGAACCAAUACCGAAGCGAAGAGUGUCAGUAAUGAUUAAAGCUGAGCCAAAAGGACUAGUAAGAUUACAACAAGAGUUUUUCACAAUUCCUCAAGAUCCCAAUUUCGUCAGAUCAUACAACAACAUUUGUUUUUCAACAUCUGAAAAACUAUCUUGAGAUCGAGAUAAUGGCCGAGAGAGAGGAGAGGAGAGAACUACAAGUUAAAAAAAAACCCCGAGAUUAAUAAUAAUACCUAAACACAAACUUCUGUUUUCCUCUCAUUGAUAUCACUUCCACAGCUUCACUAGCUUGUCGUGACUUGCUGAUGCAACCAAUCCAGUUGCGGUUGACACCGCCAAUGAAGCUAUUAGCCCUUCGUGAGCUGGUAAUGUCAUCGUCUUGUUCUCUGACAUGUUCCAUAGUUCUAAAGACUGCAUACAUACACAAAACACAGUUCACAAGUUUAGAAGUAAACUUAUGAUUUCUUGAUUAGUUUUCAUUCCAACUUUUUAAACAGUCGUUGUUAUCAUUUCAACUUUACCUGGUAGCAGCCAAUUACGAGCAGCGAGGGGUAAGCGGGAUGGAAAACACAAGACUGGAACUUGUUACCGUUGCAGCUCAGCUCAUGAACACAUUCUCCUUCACUACCUGUACCAAGCGUCCAAACUUUCACCAUAUCUUCGCUAACCGAAGCCAAGAAGUCACCAGAAGGAUCCCAGCAAACCGAGUUUAUCGGAUUAGCAUGCCCCUAUCACAGAAGAAUUAGUAAACCUUCUUUUGAGAUGCAAAAUAUUUCACAAAUCCGAAACCGAAUAAGAAAAGUUAGACACUAAACCUGCAAAGAGUGUCGAAUAGCUUGUGUUUCGACAUCUAGUACAUUGACAAGAUUUGCUGAUGAAGCCGCGAGAUACUUUCCAACACGGGGUUGGAACCUCAUCUGGGUGGAACCACCCUGUGGAAAGACAAAUGUAUAAUUAAUUGUAUUGAUUGCUAACUAAAGUAAAUAAUGUUGAAUCAUUGGUUUCAAGAGAGGAAGAAACGUACCUUGUACACUCUUGUGCAACUUCCAUUGUUGAUGCUCCAGUACCUUAUUUCGUUGUCAUUGUCACAGGAACAUAUGAGAUCAUCCUUGAUGGGAUGGAAGUCAAGUGACGUAACCAUAGAAGAAUGUCCCAUGAAAGUACGAAGGGAAUAACCUUUCUGCAAAGUUGAUUCACACACACUUAAGAUCACAACGUCCGAAACCAAUAUAUUCACGUAGAAAUAAAAAAAAAACAUAGUGAAAACGAUCAACUUUCACUUUACAUUAUCAGCAUCCCACACCCUGACAGUUUUGUCAAAUGAAGAAGUCGCAAGGCGAGACAGGCUUGGACUAAAACGGAUAUCUGUUAUCAUAGCUGUGUGCUCCUCAAGGGUUGUCUUUGGCUUCAUACUGUCUGUGUGCCACAGUACAGCCUGCAGGAUGAACCAUGCCACGAGGCUUAAUUUUUAGAACGCCAAUAGACCUAAUGAUGAUUUCUAGCUUACCUUUUUGUCAUGUCCGGCACUAGCAAGCAUUUUUCCAUCCGAUGAGAAGUGGCAACAGGUAACUUUGCUUGUGCUCGCGCGUACUGAAUUCACUUCAGUAAACGUGAAACCUAGUGCAGAGCCAUAGUUGUAGAAAUUUAGAAAUACUGUUGGAUUACAGAAGCAGAGUUCACUGUGUUCUUGUCGAAUGAUAUUGAGUGAGACUAAAACACGCACCUUUACUGACAUCCAUACACCGAGUAACAGCAUCUCGUUGAUCACCAUCCUCCUGGGAUAAAAAAGACUCAACAUUGUCGUCGAGCGACCCAUCUUCCACAAAUCGAUCCAUAUCAGCCUGCAAAAUAGUCAAUUAUUGAUGCUGCUAAUUAUUCAUUACGAAAACAACUACACACUCCCAUCAACAGUUUAAGGAAACCCACCAACUGAUUGGAUGGAGAUGUAAGAGUCCCAGUUCCUUCAGUGCCAAACAUCAUCAUUGAUUUGGACGAACCACCACUGUGCGGCAGAUUAGGCAUAGAAAUCACAUCUCCAGGAGUAUGAGUUGAAGGUGUUGAAGGUGCUGAGCUUGGUGAUGGUCCCGCAGUGUUAGCUGUUCCUGAACUAUUAGCUGGUCCAGAAGACGAAACUGGUUGCUUUCUUUUCCUCCCAGUCUGAUUCUUCAAUACCUUCAGUUAAUUGCAAAAGAGUUUAGGAACUAACCUCAGCCUCACCAGAGACUAAAAACUUAUGUAAAAGAUAUUAUUGAAACAAGAAGUAGGAAAUGAUACAAGAAUAUAAGAGGAGACCUGUUCGUUUCCUCGAAAAGAAUUUGACAUGCUACCAUCCAUCGUAAUACUACCACCACCUCCCAGUUUAUCUUGUUGAUGAAUGUUGUGAUUUGAACUUUGUGGUUGCGGAUUUGAAAGGGCAAGCUGAUUAAGCGGCUGCGGCGGUGGCUGUGGCUGCGGCUGUGGUGUAUUCCCACCACUCUGCUGUUGAUGCUGCUGCUGCUGUAACAGAGCCAUCUUUAACUACAAAGCACAAUAAGUUGUUAAAACUUUAGAGCGUCAAGGCCAUUGAAAACGAUCAGAGAUUAUUAUAUCUUCCUCCAAUUAUAACACACAAUACUGUUAGAGUUUAUUCGAAGUUGUGUACUAUUGAAAAAACAUUAAAGCCAGCCACUUAAGAUUCGUAAAAAACGACGAGGCAUACCUUAAGUAGCAUGUCGGUGUCUCCACGUGGCAAAAGAGGGCCACCAGGUUGUAAAGACGAUCCAACAUUAGGUAAAACAUCCCCAACAGAACUCCCAAGGCCAUCCUUUCCAAGGCUCAUGCUCCUGUUGCUCAAUAGCAUUUUAAGUCUUCUGUUCUCUUCACUGACGGACUGUGAAUUCAGAUUCUGUUGAGCCAGCAUGAGCUGUUGCUGAUGUUGCGGAGUCAACAUGUUCAGUUGGUGAAAAGACUGAGGAGACUGCAUAAAUGGUUUUUGCUGCUGAAGAAGACCAGAACGAAGCUGAUCAAAUCCCUAAAUCAGGUAAGAAAGCAGCAGUCAGAAACAAUACUAUUUCGAGAGAAAGUAGUGAGUUUAAGCCAGAGAGAGAUGCAUGGGUAAAGCUUACAGUGAGAGGCCACCCUUUAAGUGUAAGGUUGUUGUUGCCUUGAUUUGAACCUAAAACAGGAAAACCAGCAUUAAUCAUCUUGUUAGCUGAGUGCUUUACAUUUGAUAUGCUUAACCUACUGAAAUAAUACAAGCAGGAAAGCAAACCUACCAGGAAUCCCAAUCAACGACCCUUCUGGAACAGCAGUUCUGGGAGUGAGAACGGGAUUGAUCUCACUUUUUAUAUCCUAAACCCAAAUAAUCCCAGCAAGAAUCAACUAACAGUAAACCUCUACAAGGGACUAGACACAACAAAGAUUUAAUAUUACGUACCACUGCAGACCCAGAGAGUUGCUGAUUUCGAGCUUGAACCUGUGGAGACAUACCACCACUUGUACUAUGUAAUACUUGCCUGUGAUUCACCAGUAAAUGGCAUUAGAAAAAGAGAGAUCGAAUUUGGUUGCAACAUAUUUAUCGACUAGGCAAGGUAGCAGAAGAUAUAAAGGAAACAAUGAAGGAAGUACGAGAACAGUACCCUGCAGGUUGUCCGGAAGCUGCAGCAGAUUUCAUUAUUGAUGCAUGAUUUGGAUCCAACAAUUGCCCAACAUUGUCCCCAAAUCGCUGUAGUCAUAGAAGUUUUGAAUUAUAGCAUCUGAUAAAACUUAGGUGUGACAAAAAGAAUAAAUGGAAUUUCAAGAUGCCUAGCCUACACUAACCUUCAUAGCAGCUUCAUCUAAGGAUUCCCUCUGAGAUGGCAUUUUGACCCUGUCCUCGUAUGCCUUACUUGCUAUGGAACUACCAGACCCAGGAUUUUGCCUCAUAACUGGAUCACUGUUAUUACCAGCAAGUCCAUUUGCUGAUCCAUUUGCAAGGUGGGACCCAUCUCUUCUCUGUGGCGGCUGCUGUGAUGUUGACUGCUGUUGGUGUUGAGACGCCGGCUGCUGCUGUUGCUGCUGCUGCUGCUGUUGAGAAGGUGGUUGGUUUUGAUGUUGUUGUUGUUGCUGCUGCUGCUGCUGUUGCUGUUGCUGUUGCUGAUGAUGAUGUUGUUGUUGCUGCUGUUGCUGUUGUUGUGCACGUUGUUGUAACAAGAGUUGCUGCAUUUGUAUUUGCUGCUGUUGUUGCUGCUGCUGCUGUGAAACCUGUGGGUGGUGAGAUUGUUGCAAUUGCUGUUCUCGCGCUUUGAUCAUUUGCGUCUGUAAACACACACACACACAAGUUUAAAUCUUAUCAACUUAACAUACCAAUACUAAUACUUAACCAAACAUUUCUGACUAUACAUAUACAACUUCUAAAUCUUCUCUUUAAACAGAAAAGACAAGAGAGAACAGCACUCAAUUGUAAGCAAUCAAGGUGAGCAACUCCAUAUCAUUAACAAAAAAGACUAUCGUAGCUUUGCACAGAUAUAGAAUCACUAAUAGUCUGGGUAACAAAGAAAGAGACCUCGAUGUAAGAUGCGGCAACCUCGGAAUGCUUCUCAUUGGUCCUGGCAAUAAAUAUAUCCCAGAAGACAGACCACCACUCAAACAGAAAUCCGCCAGGUGCGUCAAUAGCUACAAAACAAUGCAAGAAGAAUGUGAAGUUGAUUAGUAAAUAGAAACAGUUACAGCAUGAAAGAUCUUUAUCUGUAGUCAAAAAGGUCAAAGAGGAUUGUAAUUUCGUACCGACUGGAUCUGAUGACACUUUUCCUUCAGCUUGGAAAGCCUGAGCUGUGGCUUUUAAAUCUCUUUUAACCAGAUAAUCGUGGAUAUAGACAUCCAACCUGUUACACUCAACAACUUUUAAUCUUAAGCAGCAACACCCACAAGAUAAUAGUAUAUAACACAUCAAGAUCGGAAUAAGAAUUGUCUUAGAAAUCUCUCGACAAAGGGAACUCGCCAACGAGGAGCACAAAACUUAACAAUGUCCAAGAAACAAACCAUCCAGUUCGUAACAAAAACACCAAAAUCAGGAAACUUUGAUGAUGGAGCUUAUAGAAGUCACACACUUUGCAUACUGAAAAGAAAAGGAAAUUUGGGGCAGUAACAAAAUAAAUCUGAUGGCACAAGAGUCAACCAGAAUUGGAUAAACCAAAUAUCCAGAAAUUAUCAAGCUCUUUGACAGUGACUGACAACACAAAGAACUAAACUUUUGGCCAAAACAUGCAAAACUUCCCAAACCAAAAGUUCUCAACAACCACCAAAAUCUAGCAAGGAUGCUUUCUGAUAAUAGAAACUAGAGAACCCCGCAAAGUAACACAACCCCUCUAACGGAAAAACAAACCAAGAAUGUCAAAAAAGAGAAGAAAGCUACUAAAAAUGAGACAGCUUGAAAAAAAAAUGAUAUAAUAAGCUAACCCACAAAAUCAGCUGAAUCCAGAUAAAGUGUAAGCAAUAAGAUUUCGAAACCCUAGAAUCAAACUGUAGCUGGGGACGGGAAAAGGAAGAAGAAAAAAACAAUGCAUUUAAACAAUCUGAACCCUAGAAAUCACUUCAAAAGACCCAACAUAAAAAAAAAUGAACACUUUUAAAGUAGAAAGCAGUAAGGAAGUAAGUGAGUAAAAUCAAAACCCAUCAAAACGAAGAGAAGAAGAAAAAAGAGAAAGACUCACAUUUUAUCAGCUUCCCAGUUGGUCUGAGACAUCUCUUUUGUUCGAAGACAAAGACAAACCCCACAGACAGUUGUUUACAAUGUCAGAUUCCCAUGUAAUAACUAAUAAUGAUAUCCCUCCUUACAAAAUAAAGAGCUUCUUCCUCCCAAUCCUCUGAGAAAAAUUAUUGCACAGCAGAAACCAAAUUCAAUGAUUCUUUUCACCUCCCCACCUAAUUUCCCCUAGAAACUGACGAGAUUUAACACUUCAAAAUAAGCCAAACCAAAAGCCCCUCAAAAAAAAAAAAAAAAAAAUUGAGAAAUAAAGUAGAAGAAGGAAGAGGGAGAGAGAGGGAGAUGGAUACAAGUUUUUUUAGAGAGAGAAAGUUCGAGAGAAAGGAGAAAGCAUCUCUGUAAAAAAGCAUUAGAAGUAGCUCAGCUCUGUUAUUAAUAAUAGUAGCAACUAGCGAAUAUUAAUUAUUAAAUCCUUUUAUUUAUUACAGUCUAAAAUGAACCCAAAAAAAAAGUACAGAUUUUUUUUUUUUCACUUGAGCAAAAAGACAGAUUUUUCUCAGAUGAAUUUCUGUAUCAAUUCUUUUUUUUGUUUUUGUAUAAUUUGGAGAAAACGUGUUUUGCGGUAUAUUAUAAAUGAGUUUAUUUUAGUUAUAUUUCUUUCCUGGGUCAAGCUUUUUAAUUUAAGUUCAUAAAAAUAAAAUCUUGACCAUAACUAAGAAUUGUUUUUAAUAAUAUGAUUUUAGAACAAAAGUAGUUUCCACUUUCCAUGUCAGUUGUUUUGGGUGGACGGGAAUUGCAGAAGAGAUAUACACAACACACAUAUGAAAGUUUUAGCUUUAUCACUGUUAAUUUCCUAAACAGCCCUCGUAGAGAUGUGGUAUUUACGUGACGUAGCACGCCUUUCGCCAAAGUACUUUUGCUUUUAAUGACAAAAAUAACCUUUUUAUAAUCAAUUAUACUGAUUUGACCUGACCCCCAAAUCUCUCUUUCGUUGUAAAAACUUCUUCUCAAUUUAUUUAUUAUUACUCGAAUUCGUAUGUUUGUGUAUUAUAAAAAAAAAUUCCUAUAAGUUCAUUCUCUUUUGUUAAAUCUUUCUAUCAAUACAAAGGAAUUUUUUUCUAUUUUUUUGUUAAACCUUUCUAUCUAUGUGAAGUAAAUUCUUGUGAAUACAAGUCUUCUUAGACUACUUUUGGAAAACAAUUGAGGUUUUCUAAAUUAAAGUUUUAAAGCAAAGCAAACUAUGUGCUUCUCUUUUUUACUAAUACAAGACAUAAAAAGAUUACCAUUAAUUAUUAUUAUUAGAAUAGAAUUUUAUGAGAUAGUGAUGCGAGAUCCUUCUUUGAAAUAUUUAAAACUUAUAAAUUAGUCUACUAGAAAAAGAAAAGAAAAAAAAACUUCAACUGCGUCCGACAUUUAAAAACGAAUGAUCAAUUCAUCAGUAGUCAUCACCGAACAACUCACAUCACAACGGCGACUUUUUAAAUGUAUCAAAGAUUCAUUCACUAAAGGGCUUGCUACCUUAUGUGUAAGCGGGUGAGUACCACCAUAUAAAACCAUACUUGUCAAAUUAAGGAUCACGCUGAAUCUUUUUUUCUUUUUUUUUGUUGAAGAAAGGAGAAAGUCGCUUAAAUUAUUAAAUUAAUAUUAUUUGUCACAAAGAAAGUCGCACUUAAACAUGUUUUUAUCGACAUAUACACACAUACAAACACUUUAAAAUAAAAAUAAAAACAAAUUUGACCGAAAAUUUUGAGAAUAGUUUGAUGUUAGGCCCAACAUUGAAUCUCAAGUCCAUAGGAAGAAGGCCUUGCAUAACGCAAAUAGCAGAAUAAGGUAAUCUUUUAGAGGUUGCAAUUGCAUGCUUCUUUUAAGAAAAUGUUUUGAAAGUACGAAGAAAUAAUAGCAAGAGUUCAAGAAGUCAAAUUAUAUUCUCAUGACAACUCUACAAUUUAAGAGAUGACCCCCUACAACUACAAGGCUACAAAACAAACAAAGAAAGCUGUCAGUCUUGGACUAGCGGUCAACCAAUAUUUCUCAAAAUUUGCGGUCGUCAAGAUCUUUGUGCAUGUAAUCACAGGUUUUUAUUACUGUAUUUUAAAACAAUUCAUAUUUAUUAUAUAUCCAACAGAUAUUUUGUGUGGGGAAUCCUAUUAUAUAAUUUGUGAUUGCUAUACAAGUUUGCGAUGAAAAUACUUGUGUAGACUAAUUAACUUGAUGAUAUGCAAGAAAGCUUCUACCAAAGUUGUGAUGACAAAUUACUAGUAUAUUUUAAAAAAAAUUAAACUACAAGACAUGACUUAUACUGUAUUUGAAAUAUUGAAUACACUCAUUAUUGAGUAGAGUCUUGAAUCAGAUAUACAGUCAUAUGUGUUGUUGAUAAUGCCAUUCAAUAACCAUAUGAAUAUUAUAUGCAAUUGGAUGUAAUGUUGCUGACAUUACAAAAACGUCGAUGGCAGAGCUCUUUAUUGCUGAUAGAUGCAUUCAAAUAAGAAUAUGCUUGGGUCUCACACACUAACUAUCCAUAAUACUAUUCAUAUGUAUUGAAUUUUCUUUUCUGUAUUUUUCUUUUUGGUCAGCAUAAAUGGAAAUGAGACGUCACGUACGCAAGUGUUAAAUUCUCAUCCAAGUUUUUCUUUUGGAUUUUAAAUUAUAUUCCCAAGUUCAGAAGUUGAUCAUGUAACACCUCCAAGGACUCGCAAAGUUCAGACAAGAAAAAGUCAGCGUAGAGACUCGCUCACAGGCACAUCACGUGUAACUGAAUGAGCAAUAAGGUAAUUGGGCCAUAAAGACAAUCAAGCCCAAUUUAGAUAUGGGUUUCCGCGGAAAGUUGAAAGGAGACAAAUUUAAAGAUGAUACAUUAGAGGGCUAUAUAUAGCUUAAUCAAUCAAAAGUAAGACCACUCAUUUUUGUUUUCUCUUCGGCCACUUAAAGUUCUUUUAGUUUUUAAGGGUUGGCCACCCUAUCUUUAAGACCCACCAAACUUGUUGUUUUAAUGUUUACAAAUUAUUUCUAUACCGCUUUACAUAUUAUCAAGGUAACCACACUGUGGGAGGAACUAUUUUUUUUUUUUUUUUUUAAUUAGAACCACAAUUACCCAGCGAAUCAAAUGAUCUAAAAAUUUAUGAUAACAUGAUGAAACCUUGUAACCAGAAAUAGCGCUAUAUAUAUAUAUAUAUAUAUAUAUAUAUGUCAGCUGGGAAGUACAAAUUAAAACAUCAUAGGCAAGAGUGAGUUGUGUUAUAACUUUUAAGCAACCAAGCUUUGAGUUUUACCAGCUAGUGCAGUCAACACAAGUGUUUAGAAGGAUUAAUAUGAUCUCGUUAAUUUACUAAAAUUUAAAACCUUGUAUGUAAUCUCUCUAUGCUAGCACUAGGUGUUGUUGAAUAUAAUUACUAGAAAUACUUAAUAUUGAAUCCUUGUAAUUUCAAAAAGUGCAUACAAGUUAAAUAUAAAUGAUCAUUCGAAACUUCAAAAAUGGAAAUGAAGCUAGUAAUUGGCCAUUAGAAUGGGUAUGGUGGAAGAUACUAAGGAAAAAAAAGGGCAUAUAGCAAUCUUAAGAGUAAGUUUGGACGGAGCAUGCUGAACAGCAGAGGACACGACAAGUCUAUUCUGAUGAAAGCUUUGCUUUUGUCAUCAUAUAUGUACAUAUAAUGACAUAAAUACAAAUUUCAAAUUUUGACUCGCACGUUUUCUCAAGUUUCACAUAUAUGGCUACAUAUGAUACGUGAGUAAGAGAAGUGCUAUUUGUUUCUUUGCAUGGCUAAUCCCCAUGCAUCUAUGCCAUAAUACAUACAUAUACAAAAUGCAGUACUGUGUAUUGAUUAGUACAAGUGCAUGCCAACUUAAGUAUACAAUAGGGAAGGUACGGUUCAUCGGAUCAUGAGUAUUUAUCUCGAUUCUAACUCCCCUCGUGGUCCAUACCUUAUUCUUACAUCACUGUUAUUAUAUCCUCUAUAGCAACACACAAAUCUAUACAUUUACAUAUAAUCAGUAUAUAUAUAUACGAAUUAUUGGAAAUUACUAAUGACCUAUAUAUACAAACGAUGCAAUUCAUAGUUGAUAUAUAUUGACUAGUCGAUGUAUAAGCCAAACGAAAGAACAUAAGAAGGAUAGCCAAUUGACACAUUGAAAAAUCAGGAAAAUGCAAUUCAUAUAUAUAUUAUUGACUAGGUCUGAAAACGAGUGUGUAUACUUGACUCACUGGUCUUUUAUGAAGAGCUACUUUAAUUUGCUUUAUUAUACUAGUAUUUUUCUGUUUAUUCUCUUACAGUAAUUAAUAUCAUUACUCCAUAUUAGUGAUUGAGACCAAUAGUAGUUAAUACUAAUUGGUCAAAGAAAACACAGAAAAGUUAAAAUAGGUAGAGAAUGUAUGUAAUUAAACGUAGUGAAGAGACGACUAAACUCAAAGAUGAAAAGACAAAUGUUAUUAUACAGAGAGGAUUAGAGUUUUAUUAAUUAAAGAGAAGGUAUGGGCAUCGGGGGAGAGAGCGGUGACAUACUUAACAUGCAAAAGAGAAAUGUCAAAUCUGAAAAAAUUGACAGUGUGCCUGCAAACUGGUCAGUACGUAGGACAAAGCCCCUAACCAUACGAAUUUUUAUUUUGUUUUAUUUUUCAAAAAUGCAAAGAGAAUACAUAAUAAUAAAAUCAAAAAAGGAUGACGUAAGUGACUGAGCAUAGUUAACGUAAGUGUGCAUGGAUGCGUGUCAUAACGUUUCUCGAAUUCAAUGCCUUCAAAUAGCAUUCAUUUUUCGUAUUCUUUUCUUUAUUAUCCUCUCUCUUUUUUGGGCAAAGGAUCCCACUCAUAAUUAUCUUCAAUUCUUCAUACAUUUUUUGAAAAUUAUUAUGGUCUAAAUACAAAGGUAUAAAAGCGAUAUUAUAAUCCAAUCUCAAAGGGAUUCAAAUUAAAACAUAAUUUCAAUAAAGCUUAAUAAUUAAGUACAUAUACUGUAUGUGUCUUUUUCCACAUAUAUAUGGUUAUAUUCUUCUAGCAAGUACUUGUUUGCGCAAAGCCAUUAUAUAUUCGAAUCAAGAUGGUAUCUCAAAGGGCUGAGUGGAAUAUAAUUUAUACAUGCAUGUAACUAUGUAAGGAAAACGUCACUACUACUGCAAAUCUGCAAUGAUCGAUUCAGUCAGAAUGACAAUAACUUAGGUCACUUGAGUGAAUGAAGUUGUAUUUUGGGUAAAACAUUACCAAACAAAUUAAUAAUAUCCUAAAUUAAAGAAGUUAAUUACUUAUCCCUUAAUUAGUUAUGGGGAAUGUGCGCGCGUGUGUGUGUAUGAGUCUCAUCACAAGUCAUGGCGGCAGAGAAAGAGAGUGAUGGAUCAUUUAGGUAAGAAAGAGAUCCGUCCAUGCGGUGAUAUAAGCUAAGCUAGCAGCAGAAGAAGUGUGUCAGCUCUCUCUCUAUAUAUCGGUUCUCAUUUCAGUGACAAAUCAGUGCCACACCUUCCUUCCCUUCCUUACGUCUGCAUCUCUAUGUACACUACACACUUACAUAUUCAUUUGUCUCUCUUACAUUCACAUUCUAAUACACGACAUACGUCGUCUGAGUUUUCUAUCAUUCGCUUAUAUAUUAAUUAAUGCUUAGUAUAUAUAUACCAUGGGGAUAUGAUAUAGUAUAUAAUCUUCCGAGGUCGACUUGUAUUUCGACAAAUAGUCACUGACUAGUAUUAGUAAUCUCAUACAGAAAUUGAUAUUCACACAAUUAAUCACCCUUAACCAAAAAUAAAUGGUUUAACCAAAUUAAAAAGGUAAAGGGUGCUAAUUAAUUGAAUUCGAUGGUAGGUAACAAAUCUUUUAAGACGUGUUUAGUGAAUUUUGACAAUCUAGUAAUCUGUACAAGUUUAUUUCUUCGAUUUACAACAUGCCAAAACUAAGGUGGUAGUGUAAAUGACGAAACCAAAGAAAGAUACAAAUGUAAUAGAAAAUGAAAAAAGAAAAAAAAAAAAAAAAAAGAAAGGAAAAUUAGGAGUUAGAGAAAAAGACAAAAGGAGAAGUGCACAUAUUCUUGAUGGGGCCCAUGAUAUCGUCGCACCACUGGUCAGCAAUAUCGCCAGCGAUCUUAACGGCGUCAGACGCCGUCCCAAGGAGUCCUCUCCUCGUAAACCCAACUGUGUACAAUCCUUUCCCUCCUCUCCAGCCGUUUGGAUACGGCGUUCUCGGCAUCCCUUCUUCCGUGAAAUAUUCACUUCCCUGUCCAAAUUAUUCAUGACUUGGAUUUUAGGAUGAGUUGAGUUGGGAAGAGUCAUAUAUAAGUCUCGUAUUAAGAUUACAUGUGAAGGAAGAAUGCAUUACCUGAAGCCAAGUAGGCACGUUGCUUUUGUAACCUGUGGCAAAUAUGAUAGAGUCAAAGUCCUUUUCUUGACCAUCCAUAAACUUUGCUCCUUUUUUUGUUAUUUCCUUUACACCUUCCAUUAUCUUCAUUUAAGAAUCAAUAACAAAAGACACACACAAAAUAUAUUAUUAGGUAUAUCUUUACAUGAUAACCAUAUAUUAAUUAAUAAGAAGCUCGGUAACAUUGUUUAUUAAAUCACGACGACGAAAAUACAAUUGGUUUACGGAAGCAUAACAUCAACAGAAUAUACUACAAACAAAUAUUAACUUUUUCCUAUCAUCAAGAAAAAGUGGAAACAAUUUUAAAUACUGCUUGUACUAGUAAUUUUUUUUCUGAAAAGCUAAGAAUUUAAAACAAAUUCUUUCGUAGUUUCCACAUUAACACGGUUCUUUUAGAAAGUUGGCUAAUACAAGUAUUUAUUUCGUGGGCACAAUUAAAAAUAACAAGUUGCUUUAGGCCACGCAUAAAUAAUAAAUUUGUCACUCAAUUCAUAAAAGAUAAAAACAUCAAAUCUAAAACAGAGAUAUUUUUGGAAACCUUAAUUACACUCACCUGAAUCUUGCCGGUUCUGAUGAGAGACAUAGCUCCGACGUCGAGAACAGGACUUUUUCCGGUUACGUUUUUCAGCUCAAGCGGACCCGUUUUGGGUCGACGAAGACCUAACCGGUCUGUAUUUCCAAGCGAAAGGUUAGCCAUCAAUAGCAAGAACUUGUCAACGAGCCUUAAGGGUAAGCAUUUGAGAAGUCCCAUCCCAAUUCCAAAUGUUGAUAGCCCAAGUAUCUCCCUUGGCAACACAUGAACCUACCUCAAAACAAUUGUAUUGUUUCAUUCAUAUAGACAAAAAAAGAACCGACGGAUAGUAGGAAAUCUUUAAAAGUAGACAUGUUUUCACUUACGGUGUUCCGGACAACAAGAUGAGGAGAGGCGUUAUGUCGGACUAGGUCUAAACUAAUUUCCAUACCGGAAUUUCCACAUCCGACGACCAGAACUUUCUUUCGCCGGAACUCUUCGCCGCUUUUGUACUCACUUGCGUGGACGAUUUUCCCGCCGGAAAACUUCUUUAUCCCUGGAAUCUCCGGGAAGCAUGGAUCUGCGUUCUCACCGGUGGCAACGACAAGCCAUUUGGAGAGAUACUCCGUGUUGUCAAGAGUCUUUACUCUCCAGAAACCGGAGGAGGAAUCGAAUGACGCGUUUUGGACGUUCGCGUUGAACCUCGGGACGAUGCGGAAGUGGGAAGCGUAGGACUCAAGGUAGGCCAAGAACUCGUUUUUGGAAGGGUACUUCGGGAAAUCUUCAGGGAAAUCCAACAGGGGUAACCGGCAAAAGUGUUUAGGGAGAUGGAGUUUGAGCCGGUCGUAUGUUUUAGACUUCCACAGAGAUGCUAUCGAAUCGGAACGCUCUAGGAUCAAAGAAGGGACUCCACGGCUCGAGAGACAAGCUGACGUGGCGAGACCGGAAGGGCCGGCUCCGAUGAUGAUGGGACCGUGUACGAGGAUGAUCUGCUUGGACUGAUCUGUUUGGUUGCGAGCUUGAGACUCCAUUUUCUUUGGGUGAUAUGUAGAAAAUGUUUAUAAAGAGUGUGGAGAGACUAAUGAGUGAGAAAGAGAGAUAUGUUUUACUUUUGGAGAAAUGUUCUCUUGUGUGAGAGAAGGAAUUGGAAUUUAUAGAAGAAAUGGUUUCAUUUGGGGUUUGGCUUUGUGGGACAUUCUAAGAUUCUCUAUGACGUCUCUUUACAUUUGUAAACAUAGUACAUUUUUUAUUUUUUUGGUUAUAAUUAGACUGUAAAACUAAAGUGUAAUAUUUUUGCUUUCUUUAGGCAUUAUUAUGAAUAGCGACGGCAGAUUAAGUGGAAUAAUCAAAGAGUUAGACUAUGUGAUUCCAAAUCACAUAGCUAGAAACUAUGUGGCGGGACUAAAUAAUUACAGAAUGUUUUCCCAAAGAUAGUGGUCACAAGUUCGAAUUAAUAUCGAAGACAACAUUAAUCUAAUUUGCAACGAAAAUAAUUUAAGAAAAAAGGAGGUUUUAUGAACACCAUGAAUAAGCUUAAUAAUAAUGCUUGUAUCAAAGUAAAGUCUUAAAUAGAAGGUGUAGUUAUCUUAAGUUCGUAUGAUUGAUCUAUAGGAAGCCUAUAUAUAGUAUUUUACUACAGUAUUAUUAUUAACGUAAAACUUGAAAAAUGUUUUUUCUGAAAAGAAGAAAAACGAAUGGAUAAAAAGAAAGAGUAGCGAAAGAGGCAUUGGAAUAGUAAAAUGGCAGUUCAAAAAGCAGAGUGUAAUAAAUGGAAAGCGUGAAGGUUAAGUAAAUUAUUUGCUCUUCUUCCCAAUUGAUUUUGGGGGAAUGAAUCCUCAAAGAGAAGAAAAUAAAAACAAGAGAGUUAUCAUUCAUUUUAAUUAUUCAUAUAUGUCUCAAUGUCUCAUCCUAUUCCAACCUUUGAAUCCAUUAUUAUGAUCCCUAUUUCUUUUGAACACUUUAAAUAUUGUAGUCCUCUGAAACAUUAGCAUAUAAAGUAUAUUGUACAAGUAAAUGGAUUAGAAAUUUAUAUCAUUUUGAUGUUAAUAAUAUAAUAGACAACAUACUAUCAAACUACAAUUUGAUUACGAAUGGUAUGAACAUGCGCCGAAAUUAGCUAAAGGUUUGUUCAAGAAAGCAAACAUAAUUCAUUCACAUGCUCCCCAAAGAAACUUUAUAGCCUUAAGAGAAUUAUUAUACUAGAAAUUUAUCAAGAGUUUAUAGGAUGAUAAACUAGAUAAGACUUGAAAGUAUAAGGGUACACUUGGUAUAAACUUAUGACUUGUGUGAUGCAUUUGGCCAUUAUAGAAUACACUUUUAAUAACAUAAUUAAUUUCUUGAAUCCUGCAAUAUAAUAUUUUCAGAUUAGGAAACUAACUCGGAACACUACACGAUCAUCUAAUAUAACCUUAGAAAAUUUUAAAGGAACAUCGCUGAAUAAUUAGUUAAUACUCAAAUUUUAUAUAACAAACGUUUGGAUCGGAGCUAGCGGGACAAGAGAGUAAUACUCCAUGUAUAAACAAAUUUUAUAUAAGAAGUAUUAGAAAUUUAGAAUAGUUAAAAAGGUUAAAACAAAAAACAUAAAAAUGCUAUUUUUAAUCUCUCUAUUUGGUAACACGUUAAUAUCAUAUGUUGUAUCGCUGUAGUGCGAGUGACCAAUCAAAAUCAUAAUUCGAUGUUGUAUUUUAAAGAAAAGCUUUUAGAAGUGUAAAAUUUUAACAUUGUUUGAUUAUGGGUUUGAAUGGAAAGGCAGAUAUAAAGCAUAUAUAUAGUGGUACAGAUUAACUGCAUUUUGUUUACCAUUCAUAAAAAGUAAUAAUUAUCAUUUAUAAAAGCAGUUCUCCUGCUAAAAUUCUGUAGGUGGACAAAAAAAAAGAAAAUUUAUUUUAUGUUCAUGUUUUUUCAAAGCAGAUCAAACACUUCUAUUUUAAAGUGUUUAAUAUAUGAUCUGCACUUGAACUGCCAAAUCUGUUUGAUCUGCUUUUAUUUUGCUAGAUCUGCCUAAUAUAUUUGAUCUGCUCUGCUUUAUAUGUUUUCCCAUUCGAAGCCUAUAUAUGUAAUUCGAAGCCUAUAUAUGUAAAUAUGCAAUGUAACAUUUCGCAUCCAAACUUUAAAGGGGAGUCUAGGGGUUGAGACCAAAUGUAAUAAUGAUUAAAGAAGGGCUAUUAUUGACUAAUUAAUUAACUUGGUUAUGGGAAAACAAAAGCUCCUUGGUAGAUUGUAAUGAUGAAAGAUACUCAAGGGUAAAAGAAAAUAAUUGAAAGUACAAUUGUAAUCAUUUAUACGAUUUUUUCAUGCUUGAUCAUCAGAAGUGUCGUGCAUGUGGUUCCACUUUAAAUAUAUAGAUUCUCAUCUAAUUAAAUGGCAUGUACAUGUCGUAAAUUAUAAGUUCAUUGUAAGCUAGAAAUUCAAAUUUUAGUUGUUCAUUUUCUAAAACAUACAUAUUUAAUUAGACGAAAAAUGCGACCGAACUGAACCUUUUUUCUUCUUCUUCUUCUUGCAUGUAACGGUUUUAGCAACCAAGUUAAUUUCAGAAAGCAAAACAAAUUUUGAUACAACCACUUAAAACCGUUGCAUAAAAUGAUUAUUAUGGACAAUAUGAUAUAUAUUUCUUAAUUGACUAAAGGAUAAUAAUAUUGAUGCGUUUGUCUUUUUUUUUUUUGUUUUUUUUUGUUUUUUUGCUAAAUUUUGAUGCGUUUGGUUAGGAUUAGAUUAAUAAUGUGAACACGUACGUACGGUGGGUAAGUUUAAUUUGAUGCAGCUGUUUCUCAUCUUCUUUUCUUCUCAGUUCUCUCAACUUUUAACUAUCUUUUUAAUAUGAUGCACCUAAGUUGCGCAUGCAUGCUUUAAGAUUUUAGUAUUUGACAAUAAAUAAAUUUAACAAUUUAACUAUUUCAUACACCUUUCGAGCCAUCGCUAAAAGGGUCGGUCAUAAAAAAAACUGAAAAUCAUAAAUUAAAAUUAAACUCGACAGAAAAUAAUCAUAACCUUUCUAAACUCUUCUACGCACUAUAAAAAACUACUUAAGGCGCAUUAAUCAUUAUUCAUGUUCAAAAUAAUUUAGAUUCUUAAUUAACAUUUGAUGGCUACUUCAUAAGUUAACUAGAAUUAUAUACUCUGUACAUUGAAAAAUACUGGUGUGUUUUUGCCAUCUUUAACAGCAGUUAUUUUAAGUGUAUUUUUGAUUCAGGAUAAUAGUAUUCCGACCAAGCCCAUUCGAGAUAUGGAUAAACAUUUGUUAAGAUUUAUCACCCAAGAAGAUACGAACUUUUCUAUAAGGUGAUCUUUUUAAAAAUAUGGCGGUGAUAGAUUUGAUUAUUCUGCACGUAUAAUCGCUUUCACAAGCUUUUUUAAUGGUGAGAUGGGCAAACCAAUAAAGCUAUUUUCUUAUGCUCAAUACAAAUAUAAUACACGUAUUAGUUGUACUAAACUAUUGAUCUGACCAGUGAAAGUUGUCAAUGUAACAAUGACUUCUAAUUUCACCGCCUAAAUAUUGAUCACCAAUCAGACUCGAAAACGAAUACAAUAUGUCUGUUUGUUUGAAUAGAGUGGUGAAGCCAAACCUCUUUAGGUUAAAGUUUAAUUAAACUGUAAAAAAAACUACAAUACUUAUACAAGACAAGAAUUUGUUAUUUGAGGCCCGUAAACAAAGCUCACAAAGUGGAGAUGAUAAAGCCCAUUGGCCCCAUUCCGUUAUGAGUUUCAAUCAUUAGUGGGUGGUUUAAUGUGGUUUGCAUUUAAACCAACUUCUUUGGUUUAUCAUCAUAAAUCUGAAGCAAGACUGAGCUAUGUACUUUAGUCUCGAUUUGGUCACACAUCACUAGACUAAUGUUUUCCUCGAAGACUGGGCACAUAUUUGCGAGGGAAACUUUCGUCGGAAAAGCGUCGGUUUUUUUGGGUAUUUUUAAUCGCCGGUUAGAGAUGUGUCCGUCUUCCCUGAAUCCCCAUCUCUGUGAGCCGAAGCAAAAUGAUUCGCGGCGGAAGAAACAACAUUACUUCCGCUCCGGCGUUCUCGAACGACGCAAAGAAGCUGCUUCUAUGUACAGCAAACUCCGUCUCUGUUUACAGCGUCGCCACUGGCUUAAAGGUUUUGACCCUUGUAGGGUUUCUCUUUUCUCUCAUUCUUAGACAUCUCUUCUCAUUCUUGUAUGUAUGCGUUCUGUUUUCAAGGUUGCUUCACUCGAGGGUCAUGCAGCACCUGUGACGACUGUGAUUGUUGAUCUGAAGCACGACGAAACCUUCAGUUACUGUUGGACUUCCUCCCUCGAUGGGUUUUUCGUCUUUGGGAGUUCUCGGAGCCAAAGCUUUUGAAGACAUUUGAUACCCACCUUCCUAUUUACUCUCUGGUUUGUUCAAGUUUCUUACUUUUCAUGAGAAAGAUAUUCACAUUUCCCAGCUUUACCUUUCCAUAUAUAUGUUGGGAUACUUAGGUGACGAUUCCACUUCACGUGUCACGUUCUUUGAUUGCUUAUGUUUCGGUUGAGGACUACUCAAGUUUGUCCAGAGAUAUGUUUGGACAAAUCCGUAGAUUUAUUCUCACUGAAGAGCCUCUUCCUAGUGGAGACAUUUUGAAAGAGGUCAGAUUUGUGGAUUUAACCAUUUUCCUAUUAUCCUUAAUGCCCUAUGCUUCAUUGUAAAGUUUCAAUCAUUUUGUCUAUGAGCAGAUGGAAGAACCAAAACCUAUUGUUGUAAGUCCCUCAAGAGAGUUUUUUGGCGUCUGUCAUGGUUGCAAUAUACAUUUAUGGAAUGCCUCGUUGGGGGCAUCAGAGCAUCUCAUGCCAAAGGAGACGACAUUACGUCACACACAGUUGAUUACUGCUUUUGCUUUCCAUCCCAACCAUAAAAUAUUAGCAGCCGGCGAUGUAACAGGAAGAGUGUUAAUUUGGAAGGAUAUUGGUAAUGGGGAACUUACUUCAGUGAAAAGUGAAGAUGAUCAUGAAUCUUGCACUAUUUUCAAUUGGCACUCCGCCGAAGUAACCGUCCUUAAUUUCUCUUUAGAUGGAGCACUUUUGUAUUCUGGUGAGACUAAGUUAUUUUCUCUUCAUAGUGACUGUAUCUCUGUGUGUGGAUUAAAAAAUUAACGUUUCAGAACUUGUAUGUAUUGAGUUCUUAUGCUAUAUAUCCUUUGCUUGUGACCCUUUCAGGGGUAAAAGAAGGUGUUCUUGUUGUUUGGGAGCUUGAUACCAGGAAGAAGCAAGUUUUGCCAAAGAUAGGAUCUCCCUUGUUGCAUUUUAUCAUCUCUUCAGAUCCAACUAUUUCUUCUGUAAGUCAGAGUUUUUCAGCUUACAAUCUAGGUGGGCUGUAAUAUACAACCUGUGAAAAGCAAAGGAAAUGUUUCAUUAACUCUACUAAGAUCAAGAAAUUUCAGGUUACUUGUGCAGAUAAUCAGAUGUAUCUUCUUAAAAUGCCUUCCAUGGAGAUAUUGAGAACGAUAUCUGGAAUCAAGGUUUGUUCUUAUUAUCAUCCAAAUUUUUUUCUUUGUUAUGUUAGUUUAAGCACUCUCCUAUUGGAUUCCAUUUCUAUUGGAGUUAACUUCAGAUGCGUAUUUUGUUCUUACUAUGUAAUAGCCUCGAAGAUCAGACCCUAUAGGGUUUAUAAGCUACCUCAGAACUCUGGAUAUAUGCCUCAUCAGAACUGUGUUCAUUGAUCGUUCUUCCGGUAUAGCUGCUCUCUGCACAGCGAAUCAUCGUGUUCAGCUUUACAACCUCUUAAGUGACCAUGAAAUUUCAGAGGUUAGCAUCCUAAAAGGCUUAUUGAGUUUUGUAUUUGAUAGUUGUUUGGUUUUACUAUUUAAAAACCUUAACAUAUGCAUUAUGCAGGUUCAAGUUUGCGAGAGAAAUCACCAUCCUGAUGAUAAUGAAGUUCGGGUUCGUAAAUAUUUGUUUCUUCUCUGUAAGAUGACAUAGCUAUUACUAGUCAAAGGAUCUGCUCUCUUUCUGUUUUCUAAUAAUUUGAAGAUUUAUGGAAAAUAGGUUUCCUUGACAGCGGUUGCUCUCUCUCGGAAUGGCUCAGUGAUGAGUACAGCUGAGGCCAGAUUUGCUGCUAGUAAUCUCAGUGAAGGCUUAGUUUCUCUCAAGUUUUGGGUGUUUGUACCAGACAGCAAAACUUUUAGCUUAUCAACAGUCAUAAAUCAACCUCACAGGUUUUUACAUUAUGUUUUUGUUCUUACAAAAUUUCAGACUACUUGAGUCUCAUCGUGAGAGUAACUUUUUACCCUUCUGUAUUUUUUACAGUGAAGCUGCUAUCACAGUCAUUGCCCUUAACCCCACCCGUUCCAUGGCUGUUAGUAUAUCUUCUGCUGGGGACUUCAAGGUAGGAUUUUUAAUUUAAAGUGUCCUGAAUAAUGAAUCAUUUCCUUGGAAUUUCAUUUGGCCUUUUGUGUUACUGAUAUGACUUUAUGUCUUUCAAGAUUUGGGUUUGCAAUAGCGACAAGAAUCUGACACCUGAGGAUUCAAACUGGAUAUGUCAUGGAGCUGGCUCUUAUAAGUAAAAUAUUAGGAACCUUUGAACAUUUCUCAUUACUAGUCAUUGUGAUCUCAAUUGAAACUGAUGAAAAUAUUUUUCAGGAGAACACCAAUGACAGCUGCUGUUUUUUCCGGGGAUGGUUCUUGUCUGUUUCUUGCGGCUAAAACAGUUCUUCUGAUAUGGCAUCCGUUAAAGAACAAACUUUUGUUUGAAGUUGGAAAGGCUAAUGUGGUAAGAAAUCUUAAAAAAAAAAAACAAAUCCAUGUUCAUUAACUAAAUACAGCCAGUGUUGAAAUCUUAAAUGAUAUGUAAAUGUUUCAGCCAAUUAUGGAACUCUCAGUGACUGGAGGAGGCUUCCUUAUUGCUGCAUCUCAUGGCUUUAAACCGCACUUGUCCGUCUGGGACUUGAUGACGUUCAAUUUAUCAUGGUCAUACAGAUUACACGUACAAGGUUUAUCAAUUAUCUUUUCUUUCUUUCUUUUUUCCAUAAAAUCUAAGUUUUUGGUUGUCUAAGUAUAUUUCCUCGUCUUAUUUAUUUGCAGCCGUUGCCACUGAAGUGGACUCUCCAUGCUUUGCAGUUUUAACAUGGCUUCCAGAAUCUUAUAGGUCGGCAAAAUCUAAUGAACAGAUCUUCCGCGGGAAAGAUGGCGCUAUCCUCUUGUUUGAUGGGUCAAGCUCUAAACCGGUAGCUGUUUGGACUGUAAUGAAGGUAUAUUUGUCUACCUCUAAGGAUUUUAAUCAAAGUUUUCCCAUUACUUUUAAGAUUCUUGAUGAAAAUGUCUAUUGCAGGCCAGGGGAGGAACACUUUCAUUUGUGGCAGACAGUAAAAAGUCUCAGCCACUUCUCGGAUAUGUAAACAGGAGCCAUGAAUAUGUUCUUUUCGAUCCUUAUAGCGAUGAAAAGCUGGAGAGUAGCGCCAUAGAUUAUGAGGUUUUUCUUGCAGCAAUAAGCAAGAAGAAGAAGAAGAGAUCUAGGAAGGAAGCAAAGAUGUCAGAGAGACCAUGGGAAACAAUGUUUUGUGGAUCAAAGCUCGAUUUCCCGCCUUUUCCUGAUGUGUGCUCUGCUAUCUUUGGUUCCCAGAUGAUUAAAAAGGAGUGUGAAAGAGUAGAGUAGCUCUUAAGAGACCACAUGUUUUGAAACCCAUUUUAAUAACACCAUUUUGUUGGUAGCCUCUUUUUUUUUUGGUUAGAGAUCCGAUCUGAUUCCGUGCAGGCUGCAGCUACCGCCUACCAAUAUGGUAUGUAAGAAACGGGAACAGAGAUCAUGUAAGUGUCUUUUUUUUUUUUUUGGAACACGAGAUCAUGUAAGUGUCUAAGUUACAAAAAAGGGUUGUUUUUGAUAUUAGAUGGGAUUCAGUCAUCAUUUUGAACUCGCUGUUUUGAGGUGUAUUAUAUGAUUAAUAUUUGUUUUAACCAAAUAUCUCUAUAUAUAUAUAUAUCUUUAGCCAAAUAUCUCUUUAUAUAUAUAUAUAUAUAUAUUUGUCAUAACCAAAUAUCUCUUUAUAUACAAUUAGAAUCAGUACGUAAAAAGUAAGGUCAAUUGUAACAAUAGAAAAAAAACAAGACAACGUAAAUGCAUGCAUGGGGAAAAAUGUUCAAUAAAGAGCUUAAAACGCUUAGUCGGGGCCUAGACGAUUUUAGGUGAUUUAGGUGUUUACUACAUAAAAUUUUAGAUUAAAAGUUAUAUAAAACUAUAUGAUAUAGAAAUUUUAGUGAUAAAUCAUAAAAGAAUAUGAAAAAUAAACUUCUAUUCAAUUUGUAUCAAUAACAUAUGAAAAAUUAUAAUUAUAUAUACAGAUGUAAAACUUAAAUUUUAAAUAUAUUUAAUUAGAAAUUAUAAAAAUAUAAUUUAUGUAAUUUUGGACGGUUUAGACAGUCGUAUAAACGUCGAUUGAAUAUUUAGCGCCUAGUCGGAACCUAGACAACCGCCUAAACCGCUUUUUGGAACACUAACGAGGCUUUGUAUAAUUCUCACUGUAAUCGAAGCUGCACCAAAUUUGAUAUGGAAUAUUUGGAUGCAUGAUUUUUUGGUCGGUAGAAAUUGGAACGUAAGACUUGUAAGUCUGUGAGUUAGAUAAAAGGCUUUGUAUAAUGAUUGGGCUUCAUUCAUAGAAAGUGGGCCACAAAGGAAAACGGAAAGAGGCCCCUUUGGACCCAAUAACUGUGAUCUUUUCUUGUUUUCAACAUCACUAAAUAAACCUCUCUCUUUUUUUUUUUGUAUACGUAGUGUUCUUUAAUCUCUUUAAUUCAUUUAUUUCGAUUCCUUGUUUACGUUGAAGCGUACCGUAUCUUCCAUACAGUUACAUAUUGUUGUCUAUAUCUAACUAGGAGCUAAAAGCUGUUUUGAAGAGAAAACAUAUAUUGAUUUCUAGUCUAUAUACAUUAAGGUAUAUGUAUCAGAAUAGUCUAUGCAUUUAAGAAUAUAAAUUCAGAAUACCAAAAACGUCUCUAGGUGAUGCAUGCACACAAGGCAUUGGGUAGAUCGCAUGUAAGAAUUAUAAUUCAAUUACCAACAACUAUUGUUAGAUAAAAUCAAUUCGACGGCAAAGAAGAAAGAAGAAGUUACCAGCAAAAAAGAAUUAACUAAAAGACGUACAAAAGGAGAAUGAAAAAUGAAAACAUUCUUACAAACAAAAAUAAUAAAUUAAGAAAAAACAAAUGCAAGGAUAAACAGAAGAGAUGGAGUACAAUAUAGAGAUUCUUAACACGAAAGAUAAAACUAUGAGAUUCUCCAAACCCAUAUGUGAUGAUCAUCUACCUGCAGAUUAGCUAGCUAGCUAGCUAUAACCUCUUUUUAUAGUAUAUAUUACUGUGUGGUCCAAUACGUGUGAUAUAUACAUUAAUAUAUGCAUAUGCAUUUAUGAGUAGAUGAUGAUACAAAAAAAAAAAUUACCCUAAUUACGCUACUUCCAAUCAUAUACAUACUUAUGUAUUUUCCCCCUAUUUGUCUAAUGCAUAACAUAUAUAGUAAUGUAUUUUAUCGUAUUGAUUUAUUGUAACUAAAACACGGUUAGCUGAUUUCAGACAUAAAACUAGAAUAUUGACAUUUUGUUUUAUAUUUGCGACAUUAUCACUUUAUCAUGUGUGAUUUAUUUUAAUAUUCUUAAAAAAUAUAUACUUCUGAGUGUUGUGCAUAUAUAAUUAUAUAUAAUUGUGAAGUGGGAUCUGGGUCCACAGACCAUAAUUACACGUCACAACAGACUGAUAAGCUAAAGGUUUAAUAUGAGUCUUCAAUAUUCAUGAGUAUUGACCUUUCGUGCUAAUUCGUUGUUCCUUUGCUCACAGUUAUGCUCAAUUCAUAUUUUUGAUACCUGAUCGAUAUUUAGGAUUUAUGAUUGAUGCGCAUAAUGGUUACAUCAAAUGAACCUCACAUUACUAAUGAAAAUUAUUAGUACACUCUACAACUAUAUAUAUGCUUCAUAUCUUCCAAACUUCUCUGGUGAUAUCAGAAUAAGGUCUAUAUAUCGAUUUCAACAAUGUUAUAAAAUUGAAAACUUAUAUACUGAGAACUUUCAACUGUCUACGACCAAUGUAGCUUAGAUUUUGAUGAAUUCUGAGACCAGAUUAUACAAUAAUACCCAAACCAAUUUUGCUAAUUCAUGCAUGAAAGUAGUUAAAUUACGGAUUUGCCAUCGUAUGGAAGUUGGAACGAAUGAGGAUCAGGCUGCUGGGCUACAAGGUAGCACAGUGCCUAUCUUUGGUUAAAUAUAUAAAUGAUCGUUAUCCAUUAACAUUCAAUCACGUCAUCGCUCUUCCUUAUUAGUUUUUUUGUAUUUAUUUAUGAAUGAAUACUUGAUGUGCCUGUGAUGUGCCUGUUUAUGUGUAUAUACCGUACGUACCACACAAUGUUAUCUGAACUUUUAUUGAAUUUGACCAUUACUUAAUGUGAAAAUGAGAUCAAUAUAUAUAUAUAUAAAAGGAAAAAAGCACACGAAGGGAGAAAAAAAAAGCUUAAAUAAUAAGAAAAGGUACCACAAACAAAAAAUACGAAAAAGAAAAUAGUUUUUAAUGCAUAUAUAUAUACAAUGUGCAAGUUUCUAUAUAUGUAUUUCAUGUACAUAUAUAUGCUUCUCUAUAUAUAUACUAGACAUAGUCGUCUCAGAUAGAAACAUCACUUGUCUCAAAUUCAAUUUCGUAAACAAGCUUGUCUCCGUUUUUUCUUUACUCGCUCCUUCAUUGAUCUCUCUCAAAGCUCAAAGGUAAGCUUGUCUUCUUUUCUGCUGAUACUUUACCUCUCGUUCUUGUGUUGAGUCGUUGACAUUUUCAAAACCCCCAUUUCAAUUCAGGUGUGUAGUCGAAAACUGUUUGCCCUAGUCUUUUUUCUUUUUUCUUUUGCCUAUAGUCUUUAUAUACCACGUUAUAAAUAUAACAAAACAAGCGUCGUAUCUGUUUCGAGUCCCUUAACUCUUCCUUUCUUUUUUCUCCUUUGGUUAAAACUUAAACUCAACUUUGGAAGUAAGCUAGCUUGUCUCCGUGUUUUCCUCUCUACUUCAUCAAUCUUUCCCAAAGCUCGAACAUAAGAUCUGUGUGUUGAGUCUCUGUACGUAGUCGAAAUGUUAAUUUUCUUUAGUCUCUUCUAUACCAUGUUAUGGAUUCUUUGCAGUUUUUGCUGAGUUUCUAGGUGUUAAUUAGUUCUUAAAUAGGGUUUUCAUCUCGUCCUAAAAGUUGUUUUUGAUGUCUUCGUGAACUCCCAAUCACUAACGAGAGUUUCCAUAGUCGUGUGAGUCUAUAUAUUUUUAUAAAGUUGGCGGGUUCAUAUAUGUUCUUGCUUAAGAUUUAUCAACGUUUGGCUUUCUUUUUGUAGGACAACGAUGGAGGCUCUAACAUGGAUGGAUAAAAUUGAAAGAGAGCUGGGAAAAUUCAAAAGUUGGGUCUACAACCGCAGGGAAUUUCUCUUAGCUAUGGGAAUUUUAACUCUUGGUGGGAGUUACUUAAGUAUUUUGGUGAUGUUCCUUCCAGACAUCGAUAAAAGACCAACGUGGGUGAAUAACAUCUUCGCUGUCAUAUUUAUGAGUUUGCUCAUGUACGGCAUCAUCUAUUGCGGUCACACUUACAACGGUGACAGAAUCAUUUCACUUGCCAUGAAGCCUCGAAAGCACCCAAACAUUUUCUGCGUGGUAAAGGGAAACGGAAAGACCAUAGUGUUAGCCGUGUUCGUUUUUCUCGACUCAACUCUCAAACACCAAAACAAACUAUGGGUGAUAUUAUUCUGUGUCUUCUUUUUCCUACAUCUUGUACAUUUCAUGGUGCUGUUUGGGAUUACGGAAGAAUUCGACGUGGCAGGGGGGUUUAUACAAGCUUCAUUUGUGUUAAUUUAUGAAAUAACCACGAACAAAUGGCAGGUGGUGCUUCUGACAGUAGGUGCCAUAGUUUUAUCUUGUUACAAGACGUUGGUUAUCGAAGGUGUGGCUCCGAGAGAGGAAGAGCUGGCGGUCGUGUCGGGACAGACUGGAGAAGUGGAUAACGUUAAUGAAGGAUGAAGCUUGCUUGCUGCUGCCAGUACUAGUAAUUAAUAGAAAAGAAAACUUAUUAACCAUAUAUUACAAGGAUAUAUUCAUUCUAGUAGGUAUAUACAUAUAUAUAUAUAUAUAUAUAUGUUGUAUUAGAUAAUUAUAGCAUAUACCUGGAUACGGCUUAAUAUAAUUGUAUACAUCUCGAUAUGUCUAUUAACGUAAAUGGAAUACACUGAUAUCUAAUUAUUACUAUUAGAAACGUCUGAAAUUAUCAUACAAAUUAGCUAGUGGUUUUGCUAAAACUAUUCUACUAGCUUUCCCCGGCGGCAAGAUUAAUAAUGAUUUGAGGCGAAUCCUCAAUAAAUGUUGAGGCAGUCGAUAGCUGCGCUCGGUCGUGGUUCAGUAUGUCCAUUAUUUUUCUCUUUUAUCAGGUUAAAAUUAGCCACAGCUAUUAAUAAUUUCUAAUUGGGUUUUGGACUUUAAAAUAGUAGUAAUACAAGAAAUAUAUAGAAACAGCUUUUGUUGCAAACAAAUCUGAAAACAAAUAACUCAUUAAAAAUGGGAUCCUCUAUCGUAUUUAGAAAAAUACAAAAAACUCUCAAGUCUCAAGAUCUAAAUAUUCUAAUUUUAGGAAAUUAUUUUUUUACCAUAAUCUUGUUUACUAAAUGAAUUAUGAAAAAUUCGGAAAACUAAACGGAUCUUGAAAAAACCAAAAACUAUGCGAAAGGCUUUUUAAUUACCAAUCAUGGCCUAAUAUAUGUUGUAAUAGCAUCUCUCUCGUUGAUUCGGGGAAAAAAUUUGUCAGAAACAGAAUGUUGGUUUGUUUCUGGUUAUCGUUGGUUAUUGCAUUCUGGUUUAGUUUCAUUGUACACAAUAAAUUAUAGAAAUUCUUAUUUUUUAUCCAUUCAAAAUCUUAUUCGUAUUCCUUUGGUUAUCUAUCUCUCUCUCUCUCUUUCACAAGUCACAACUAAGCAUGUUCCCUCGGCUCCCUCAAUUUCUCGAUAAAACAAAGCUGAUCUGAUCAAUUGAAUUCUCUAGUAUAUAUAUAUCCAUCAUCAAAUCCUUAAUACGCCGUGUUUUCUUCGACAAUUUAGUUGAUUUACUUAAGGUAUUUUAUGGAACAACAAAUUAGUGCAGGUACCCAUUACAUAUCAUAUCUAACCGUGUCACAAAACGACCCCCUUAAUCAACAUCGUCUUAUUCCUAUAUUGUGUUUGCACAUGCACCCAAUAACAAAUACUUAGAAAACUAUAUAUAUAUAUAUAUAUAUAUAUAAUAUUUAUUAUUUUAUUUUUUUAGUUAAUCUUAGUAAAGCAUGUAUUGACAUCUGAAAUUUUGUUAACUUUUGGAUCAUGCUUCUGACCAAGAUUCAAAAGUAAUCCUUUCCAAGUAUUCACAUAGAGACACUGGAAUGAUUGGUCCACGUAUUUUCUGCCAGAGUCUUUCCAUUAAUUUCGUCAGAAUCAGAGACCUACGUGCAAAAAUGACUUCAAAUUCGAAAUCAAACAAACAAGAGAGAACAAAAAGAUUUUGGUUUUGUUGAAGAAAACAGGUAAAAGAGAUUUGAUUGCAACUCACAAGUGUAAACGUCCUAGGAAAGUCAUCAAUCUUGUGCUCUUCUUUAACAUCGAUGUCAUAACAAUUACACAUACUAGUGCUCCUCCACCAAGUAAAGGAUCCAUAGAGCUCUAAAAACAACAUGUUUAUUUUUUAUAAGAUGCCAUGCAAUCAGCUAUAAGUAAAUAAUGUAGAGUUUGAAGGAGACUGAAAAGUCAGAAAGGACCUGAAGAAUCAAAACAGCAGCUAAAAUCCAGAUGGACCAAGAUACAAAGAGUGAUGUCUUAACAUCAAUGGAGCCACCUCUAGUCAGGACAAAUCUCUUGACUGCGAAGAGUCCAAAAAAUAUUCCACUAAAAUAAAGAUGUAAUUUUAGAUUGAGUACCAUCUACAAAACAAAAAUGCGGACAAUUUCUUUAGAAUGAGCUUGUUAAUUAACUUGCAAGUACUCACUCAUGCAUACAAGAUCCACUUGUAAACCAAAACAGAGACAAAGUACUGAAACUAUUAAACUUACGUACAGAUUCGGAAAUUCCCAUCAAUAUUAGCAUACUUUGAAACAAACCAGGUAUGUAGAGGAAAAAGACACCACCCAAACCAACCUGGCGAAAAAUGAAGAACAUGUAUUGUCACUAGUAUUGGAUAAAAAGAGGUCGGCGAUAAUGAUGAGUUAGAGAAAGGACAAAAACUCAACCACCACAGAUGAAUAUAGGAACAAUGCCGAAGAACUCAGUCCAGUUGGUAGGCGCUUCAGUCCCUGUAGUGCAUCCAUUAUAAAGUAAUUUCAUGCAACAAGUAUAUAUAUAUAUAUAUAUAUAUAUAUAUAUAUAUAUAUAUAUAUAUAUAUAUUGAAAACCAUCAUGCAACAAGUAUAUAAAAUCUAUCUUUUAUAGGUUAAGACUCAAAAGAAAAAGUUGAGAAUACCUGAAAGAGAAAAACCAACACAGCAAGGAUAAUACCGAUAGACAUCACACAAGUGUAAUAAAAUGUUAUUGAUCUGCUCAGUGUAGAAGCCGAACUCAGCAAAACGGUACCAAUGAUUAAGAACACUAUGUGAAUCAUACACCAUUCUACAAAAUCAGAAAUGGAGUUGAUAAAACUCUAGAAAGUUCAACCAAUGGGAAAGAAACAGUGUAGUUAAAAGUAGCGAGCAACCACCAAUCACCUUCUACAGUAGACACUUCCAGAGUGACCUUGGAUGAGCCGAUUGUUCUUACACUAAGGAUUUUUUUGUCAAAUGGUGACAUUGUCUGAGUCCAUGAACCAUUGGAGACUUUCUCCCAUUGAUUAUAAGGACACAUUCCAAUUGCAAGCGACAAAUCCCUAAAAAGAUAUCACGGAAAUAUUAGCUAUAUUGGAAGAGCGAUAUGAUCAUAUUUUUGGGCUGCCUCUACGAAUCCCCUUGUAAUAUAAUGUUUCAAUUAGGUUCACCCUAUACUUUUAGCCUUUGUCCAAUUCCACGACAUACAUUCUAUCCAAUUCCACCCAAAUUAUAUAAUUCUACCUAAUUAACUAAAAUCAAUUAAACUUCUCAAUAGCAUUAUAAUGAAAGCUAAACAUAAGGAUUCAUCUCAAAUUGUGUUUGGUUUUGAUGAAAGCUAAACAUAAGGAUUCGUCUUGCGUUAAAAAGAUGAGGCUGAGUCUCAUAUUUCAAAUAAGACUUAAUCAAAUCGUAGUAGUGUACGCGAAUUAUCGAUUUUAAAACGCUAUUAAAAAAUUUAAUUGAUUUGGGUUAUUGUGUUGAAUUAUAUAGUUUGAAUGGAACUGGAUAAAAUAUAAGACAUAAAUUGAAAGUAUCAGGGAAACCUAGUUGAGACGCUAUAUUACAUAAUGACUGGUAGAGACAACCAUCGUAUCUAUGAUUCUAAGAAUGUUACAGAAUAUAGGCUGGACUGCAAAGAUUGGCUCACAUAUGGAACAAAAUUAAGCUCAUAGAGCUAAAGAGAAUUGACUCACCUGUGGAAGCAAACGUGUGUGGUACUUGUUUUGGCACCGGGUGACAUGUUAACAAUCAACUUGAGUGAAUGUGCAUAUUUCUCUAUAUGUUUUAACCUUUGACGUCCAGAGAUAUGUAUCCUCUCAUAUAGAGUUGGUAAGUCUUGAUUCUGUCUAGGAGAACCCGUAACCUUAACCACAAAAUUAGUAGUGACCAGAAGCUUUUCGGUUUCUCCCACAACUGUUGAUAGGGUAUACAAGAAAUUAGCCACGACAAAACAGAUAAACCAAAAAAAUAAAAAAUUGAACUCUUCUAACAUGCAAUAUCACCCGAGGAACAACUUACCCAACAGUUCAUCGGAUGAAACGAGAGACGAGAAAGCAAAGAUAACUCCGAUGAUAACGCGGAUAAGAAGAUAAUCACCCAUCGAUCGAUAUAUGAUAUGAUUUCUACUAUUUUCUAUAUUUCGAGAGAAACGUCCAGAAAAUGGAAAAAAAAAAUAUAUGAACUCGAAAUACCAAUAAAAAAAAAUACUAGAAAUAAAGUUUGGUCGACUCUGCAUAUGAUAAAUGGAACCAACAGAUAGCCAAUGAAUGUUCAUUUAUUGCUUCAAGGGUUCUAAUUAAUUUGGAAUAUCCUCACCAAAUUUCAUGUUAAUUAGAUUUUAAUCAAAAGCAUGUGUCAUUGGUUUAAUACUUUUAUGCUUUCGAGAUGUGUUGUUUAAAAUGAAGUGUUAUUCAAUACUAAUAAAGAUUUACAUUAGCAUUUUAUUUUUACAGUAUAUAUUUUUGAGGGUUUUGAAAUUUUUUUUAAAAACAGAUUCUUUAGAAUUAAAUCCAUUUAUGUUGUAUAGAUUCAUGAAAUAAUAACAGGGCAAUGAUUAAGAGUUGGCAUCAUUUUCUAUGUAACUUGGGUUAUGAGUUAUGAGUUAUGAGCAUGUGUCUUUUCUUGAAUAUUGUUGGUCUGUGUUAUCUUAGAGCAACUCGAACGGGAGUUCUCUUAGUGAGUUCUCAGCAUUUAAUUGAGAAAAAAUAAAUCAAAAAUAGGUAAUUAAACACAGAACCAGUUCUGUAAACGGAAAUUGAAGAGCUCGUAAGAGACUCAGGCGUGUUCGUUUUUGAUUGGUCAGCAAAAAUUAAUGAAAAAAUAAAUCUCAUUUAUUGUUUUCUUUCUCGUCUGUUUCUUUAUUUUUUUUUCUGGGGAAACAUCACAAUUCUUCUUCUUCUUCCCUUUCUCUCGAUUUCUGGGCAAACAUCAAACCUCUUCUUCUUCUUUCUUUCUUUCUCUCUCUCUUGCGAAUUUAGCAAAAAUCAGAAGCUAUUGAAUCACAAGUAGUGAAUUUUGUACUUCUUAUUUCUCUUCUAUGACUAUGUAUUGUAACCCAAACAAAAAUAUAAAUGUAUUGUUUUAUAAAAUUUGCUUUUUUCUUAAGAAUCCCUAAUGGAGUUCUCUAACCAUUGGAGGAUACAAAACUUAAAAUCUCUUAUUCAAAUUUUCAAGUUUGAAAAAAGCAAAAAAAUUACUUAAAUAUUGGAGAGAACCUCAUGACCAUUGGAGAUGGUCUUAUAUAUUAUCUACUGUGAGUCUGUGAUGGUUGAUUAUGCAGAAUAAUUAGACAAUAAACGAGGUUAGAUUGGUAAUCCGCAGGAUAUCAUAAUGGUUUACCAACUCUCAUAGAUGUUACACUCAAAAAUCAACAAAAUAGAGGCGGUACAGGUUACGUGUUGCGAGAGUUAACGUGCUGCAAACUCUAUUCGCAAUUACUAUUUUGCCAAAGUGGCCUAUAAUAUAUUCUUACUGGGCUAAUCAUUUUUCAAAUUAUCUUAUGCGGCCCAAACUAAGAACGAGGAUACGAACGCCGUCGUUUGGUUUCAUAUAUUGUACAACCAACGUACUGACGCCCAUUUUGAGCGCGUGGUUGUCAAUUCCCUUAAUAUCUUCAGAUCACAAGGCCCUGAUUAUUUUCUCUUGGAAGCAGAUCGUCUCAUCACAAAUCACGACCUUAACAUUAUUGUGCCCACUCUUCUGGACUGUAACAUUUCGAUCCGACCUUGCUCUUAAUGUAGGUUCAAAAUGAAUCUUUCGCAACAUUUCACAAAUAGAUACCGGAACCAUUGGCCCUGCAACAUCACGAAUUUUCUCCCAGAUUCCUUGCAGUAACUUCGUCAUAAUCCUGAGUAAAAAAAAAAAUACAACUUCAAAUUCGUAAUCAAGAUGACAAGAAGAAGAAAAAGAUUCUGGUAUUGUUGAAGAAAAAAAACAGGUAAAAGAGAUUGGGUUGCAACUCACUCGUGUACGCGUCCUAAGAAAGUCAUCAAUCUUGUGCUCUUCUUCAGCAUCGAUGACAUAAAAAUUACAGAUAUCAGUGCUCCUCCACCAAGCAGAGGAUCCAUGGUGCUCUGGAAACAACAUGUAAAAAAAAAAGGAUGGAUUGAAAUUGGUUAUAAGGAAAAAUGUAGGGGUUGAAUGGAAAACUGGAAAAUCAUGAGAAAGGACCUGAAGAAUCAAAACAGCAGCUGAAAUCCAAAUGGACCAAGAUACAAAGACUGAUGUGGUUAAGUCAAUGGAGCCAUCUUUAGUCAGAGCAAGUCUCUUGACAGCGUGAAGUCCAAAAAUUAGUCCACUAAGAUAUAGAUGCAACCACAAACAGAGUGCCAUCUGCAAGGCAAAAAUGCGGACAAUUUUAAACUAAAAAAAUACUCCCUCAUACAACAGAGGCAAUGUCCUGACACUAUUAAAAUUACUUACAAGUUCGGGAUUUCCUUCAUCGAAUCCCACCAAUAUUUCCAUACUUUGAAACAACUCGGUUAUGCAGCGGAAAAAGACACCAACCAAACCAACCUGACCAAAAAUGUAUUUUUGUCAGUGUGUUGGAUAAGAUGAAAAGAGGUCGGAGAUAAUGACCAGUACGAGAAAGGACAAAAACACAACCACCACAAAUGAAUAUAGGAACAAUGCUGAAGAAUUCCUUCCAGUUGGUAGGCGCUUCAGUCCCUGUAAUACAUCCAAAAUCAACAAAUAUAUAUAUAUAUAAGCUCUCUUUGAUAGGUUAAACCAAAGAAGAAGAAGAACAUAUUGGAGAAAAAGUUGAAAAAUACCUGAAAGAAAAGAAGCAACACAGCAAGGACUAUACCGAUAGACAUCACACAAGUGUAGUAAAAUGCUACUGAUCUGCUCAGUGUAGAAGCCGAACUCAGCAAAAUGGAACCAAGGAUUAAGAACACUAUGUUCAUCAUACACAGUUCUGUAAAAUUGGAGUUGAUAAAACAUUAGAAAGUCAAACCAAAGCGCAAGACAGUUUAAUAGUGUAGUUAAAAAGUAGCCAGCAAGCAACAAUCACCUUCUACAAUAGACACUUUCAGAGUAGCCUUGGAUGAGCCGGUUGUUCUUACACUAAGUAUUUUUUGGUCAAAUGGUGACAUUGUCUGAGUCCAUGAACCAUUAGAGACUUUCUCCCAUUGAUUAUGAGGGCACAUUCCAAUUGCAAGCGACAAAUUCCUUAAAACAAAUAUCAAGGAAACACAUUAGCGACAUUAUUGGAAGAGCGCUAUACAGAAUCUGCUUUUUAGACUGCAAAGAUAAUAUAUGUCAUUGACAAAUUACCUGUGGAAGCAAACGUGUGUGGUACUUGUGUUGUCACCGGUUGACACGUUAACAAUCACAUUGAGUGAAUGGGCAUACUUGUCUAUAUGUUUUAACCUUUGACGUCCAUAGAUAUGUAUCCUCUCACAUAGAGUUGGUAAGUCUUGAUUCUGUCUAGGAGAACCCUUAACCUUAACCACAAAAUUAGUAUUGACCAGAAGCUCUUCGGUUUCUCCCACAACUGUCGAUAAGGUACGUUUACAAGAAAUUAACCACGACAAAACAUAUACUACAAAAAAAAAAGCACUCUUAUAACAGUCACCCGAGGAAAAACUUACCCAACAGUUCAUCGGAUGAAACGAGAGACGAAAAAGCAAAGAUAAUUCCGAUGAUAACGGGAAUAAGAAGGUAAUCACCCAUUGAUCGAUAUAUGAUAUGAUUUCUACUAUUUUCUAUGUUUCGAGAGGAACGUCCAGAAAAUGAAAAAAUUCGGAAUCGAAAAACCAAUAAAUAAAAAUACUAGAAAUAAAGUUUGGUCGACGACUCUGCAUAUGAUAAAUGGAACCAACAGAUAGCCAAUGAAUGCUCAUUUAUAUAUAUAUGUAUAAUUUGACUUUAUUGCUUCAUGCAUGGGUAAUGGGUUCUAAUUAAUUUUGAAUAUCCUAAGCAAAUUUCAUGUUUAACUAGAUUUUAAUCAGAAGCAUGCAUGUGUCAUUGGUUUAAUACUUUUAUGCUUUCGAGAUGUUUGUUUAAAAAUUAAGUUGUUAUUCAAUACUAGUAAAGAUUUACAUUGGCAUUUUAUUUUACAUUUAGCAAAUUAAAGUGUUAUUUUUGAGGGUUUUGAAACUAAAAACGUACAAAUUAUUUAGAAUCAAAUCCGUUUACGUUGUAUAGAUUCAUGAAAUAAUAACAAGGCAAAUUUUCAAGAGUUGGCAUCAUUUUCUAUUUAACUUGGGUUAUGACUUAUUAUGAGCAUGUGUCCUUUCUUGAAUAUUGUUGGUCUGUGUUUGGCUAAUCAUCAUUGCUAUCUUAUUUAUCUACUGUGAGUUGAUUAUGCAGAAUAUCAGGCAAUAAACGAGGGUAGAUUGGUAAUCCGCCGGAUAUUAUAAGGAAUGGUUUACCAACUCUAUUAAUGGUCUCUUAACUAAGGUUUGUAUCGAUCAUUAUUGAUGGUCUCGUAGAUGUUACACUCAAAAUACUCAAAAUAGAGGCGGUACUAGUUAAGGUAACGUGUUGCGAUAGUUAACGUGCUGCAAACUCUAUUUCGCAAUUACUAUUCACCAAAGUGGCUUUACAUAUAUUCUUACUGGGCUUAUCAUUUUUGAAAUUAUCUUAUGAAGCCCAAACUAACAACAAAAGAUACUGAAACGCCGUCGUCGUUGUAAGGUUUUCAUAUACUAACACUCACGCACAUUUAGAGCGCGUGAUUUUCACUUCCCUUAAUAUCUUCAGAUCACAGGCCCUGAUUAUUUCGCUUGGAAGCAGAUCGUAUCAUCAUCACGAAUCACGAAUCACGACCAUCUCGAUAACAGAGAGAGAUAAUUAUACAGAGAUGUCUGGUGUGGUUGUUGGUCUUGGUCAUGCGAGCUCGUGGGGUGCAGCGCUGGUAAGGAUUUCGCCCUACACUUUCUCCGCAAUCGGAAUCGCCAUCUCGAUCGGCGUCUCAGUGCUCGGUGCCGCCUGGUAUUUUCAAUAUUCUUCCCCGUAGAUAAAAUCAUUGACCUAUUUGAUAUGCGAAGCAUUGUGUUUCACUAUUUUUUUUUUUUUUGGCUUUGUGUUGUUAUUCAGGGGAAUUUACAUUACGGGAAGUAGUUUGAUCGGUGCGGCUAUAGAAGCUCCCCGUAUCACUUCGAAGAAUCUCAUCAGGUUUGUUAAAGGCUCACGCUUUUAAUUCUAGCUUUUGUUCCUUUGGUUUCCAUCUUUCUGAAAGCCAAAUUAGUUGCCAUUUUUAAGGAACUUGUGUAGAUUCAAUGUCUUGUUCUGAAUAGCAAUGAGAAGUCAUCUCUCAGUAGCGUAAUUUAUAUUCGUUCCUGGAUAUUUACAUCUCUGCAAGAGUAUUGUCAGAAGAUGAUAGAAGAAGUUGUUGACCUGGGAUUUAGUUGGUACCGCUAGUAACUUUGGUGUAUGAUGAAACACAAUGGCUCUGGCGUUGGGUAUUCAGGCACGGGAUGCGAUGAUAAGCAAGGUCUUUUGUCUUUUCACGUGUAUUUCAGCAGAAACAUUUAUACCAUCAAGGUAGCUAAAUGUCAAAUGAUGGGAUGAAGAUAAAAUUCUCUUGUAAAAGUCAGUGUUAACUUAGUUUUUGGUGCCCUUUAUAUUCUGCUAAAUAUCAAACUGUGUUUGCAGUUUUAUUUGUUGUUGUUACUGAGCUACACGCUUGUAGUUUGAUGCUCAGUAACAUCGAUGUCAACUACCACACCCCAUUUCCAAACCAUAUUGAGUGGGUAAAGGGUAGUACUUAGGAAUGCUUAAGCAGGAAUAGUUGUGUUUGCAUUUUAAUUUGAUUUUGACUAAGCUUAAGGCUUGGGCUUCAAUGAUAUAACAUUGCAGUGUUCUUUUGAAUUUUCUCAGUGUAAUCUUUUGCGAAGCUGUAGCUAUAUAUGGCGUUAUUGUUGCAAUCAUACUCCAAACAAAGUUGGAGAGCGUCCCAUCUUCAAAGAUGUAUGACGCUGAGUCUCUUAGAGCUGGAUACGCAAUCUUCGCAUCUGGAAUCAUAGUUGGAUUCGCCAACCUUGUAUGCGGGUCUGUAUCUUACCCUUUCUCUUUUCUUACAGUUUUGGUUUUUGAAUUUCAUUGUCAGAUAUGCAAACCGAGCUCACAUUUCUUUUGCAGGUUAUGUGUAGGAAUCAUUGGGAGCAGUUGUGCAUUAUCUGAUGCCCAAAACUCAACACUCUUUGUAAAGAUUCUUGUGAUCGAGAUCUUCGGGAGUGCUCUUGGGUUGUUUGGAGUUAUUGUGGGGAUCAUUAUGUCUGCACAAGCAACAUGGCCAACCAAAUAGAUAUAUCCGGUCUAUAUGCGUUGUGGUCUAUUUGCAAAGCUGGAAAGGACAUUUGUUGUAUGGAUACUGAUGUCGAGAAGAGAAAAUCUGUGUGAAAACUGAAAACCACUUCUGGAUCCCAAUUUUUUUUGUGUUUGUUUAAAACUUUGGAAUAAGUUACUUUGGAGAACAGCUUCUUGUUUGUAUUCAUUCUCUUUGGUUUCUCUUAUAAUCAAAGACAAGAGUUUGUAUAUUGAUUUGUUUAUCAAUCUGUUUCUCCAUAUGGUUUACGUUUAUAAGAUCUAUGGCAAGUAUGUACAAUAUGUUAUUGAUCUAAAGUCUAAACCACUGAAAAAAUUCAAUCAAAACCAAUUGCUUGCUUUAUUAAGAAGAACCGGUUUAGCAUAAACCAAACAUCGCACUUGACGUCGUCGUUUGGUAUAUGAUUUAUUCGGUGGCUGUCCCGUUCUUGGAGCUUUUAUAUGUUGUGUGUGGUGUGGCCCGUAAAACCCUAAACACAGUCACUAAUUCUUCUCCUCCACCAUAUCCUACAAUCUCUGUCUUCCUUCUCCCUCGCAUCUUCAUCCUUUUAGUGACCUCGUCUCUCGCAAGCUCACAAAGUUUGUACCUUUCCGGUGAGUGUUGGCUGUUUUCGUUUUCUCGCUUGUCUUUUCUUUUCUGGGUGUUUAGCUUUCGGAAGAUUUUAUAUUUGAAUUAAAAAUUCCCUCUGCUGUGUCCAAUAUUUGGUAAUUGAGUAUGGUCUCGGUGGUACGGAGCUGGUAAUAUGCUCCACUGUUUCUCUGUCUCGGAUUUUGCUGAUAAGUUUUAGUCGUUGGUUGUUUCAGAAUCCAAACAACCUGUUUUGUGAGAUUCUAGUUUUCCUUUUCUCUGUCGUACUCAUAUUUACUUUGGAGUUAUUUGUUUGCAAGUUCCUUCAUUUUUGGGAAUGUUGGCGACGCAUAAAACAAGGAUUUUUACAUUUUUGGAUAUAUGUAUAUAUCUGAGUCGUUGCUUUUCAACUAGCUGGGUACAAUUACUGGUUUCUUUGUUUAUUGUUUUCCUGUGACAAUUUUUUUUUUUUUUUAAGUGUAGGAGCCAGAAAGAAUGCAAGCUUGUUGUAGUGGUACUUCGAUGGGUUCUCUUCAGCAACCUGGACGGGUUCAGGGAUCUGUCUUUCCCUCGUUAAUGCCUCCAGUGACCAAAUUUUCUCAGCAAUUGAAGUUCAAUUUUUCAAAACCUUUCCGUUCUUCAUUUCUGGAAAGAAACUUGGUCUCUGAAAGGAGAGCAUCUUCAGUCUCGCUACCUAAUAUCGAGAUGAGCAGUAAGAUAGUCUAAUUUUCACUUUCUUGGUUAUGUUAAUAAUGUGGAAGACAUUUGCACUCAUUUCAUGCGUGGUUUUGAUCCCGUUUACUUAAUUAUGACUGAUAUUUAGGCAAUGAAAUCCCGUUUGCGGACUAUGGUCUUGGUGAAGUUGAUCCAGAGGUCCGUACGAUCAUCACAAAGGAGAAAGAUAGACAAUUUAGAAGCUUGGAGCUUAUUGCGUCUGAGAAUUUCACGUCUCGAGCAGUUAUGGAGGCCGUUGGAUCAUGCCUUACCAACAAGUAUUCUGAGGGACUGCCUGGUAAAAGGUAAUGAAGUAUGUGAUAUUAAUUUUUGUUCCCCACUUUUGUUCUUCUUGUUACUCAUCUGCUAGAUUUUAUAUUUUUUCUGUUGUCCAUGUCACACAGAUAUUAUGGUGGCAAUGAGUACAUCGAUCAGUUGGAGACACUUUGCCAGAAUCGGGCUUUAGCCACCUUCCGCUUAGAUUCUACGAAAUGGGGGGUUAAUGUUCAGCCGUUAUCUGGUUCACCUGCAAACUUUGCUGUUUACACUGCGAUACUUAGCCCUCAUGAUCGGAUCAUGGUGAAGAUCUUUUGCACUUUUCACCUUUAUCUUUUCUUUUGUGCUUGAGAUAUGAAUCUAAUGGCUUGUUUGAUGCAUUUAGGGUUUGGACUUACCUCAUGGUGGUCAUCUGUCGCAUGGGUUCAUGACUGCUAAAAGGCGUGUAUCUGGAACUUCAAUAUACUUUGAGUCCAUGCCUUAUCGACUUGAUGAAUCCACAGGUGCUGCAUUUCUUAUGACAGGGUCUUGCAACUACUUUUGUGUGUGGCUAUUUCCUGAUGUCUGAAUAUUUGAAUAGGCAUUGUUGACUAUGAUAUGCUCGAGAAAACUGCUGCACUCUUCAGACCGAAGCUUAUUAUCGCUGGUGCUAGUGCGUACAGCCGAGACUUUGACUAUCCUCGCAUGAGGAAGGUAGAAACUCAACCGGAUCCUUGACUAUUCCUUUCAUGUGUCUGUCUGGUUUUGGCUUUCAGUAGCAUCUGAUAUUAAAUUUUCCUCACAAUUUGUAUGAAUUUCUGAAGAUCGCAGACUCCGUUGGGGCUUUUCUGAUGAUGGAUAUGGCUCACAUCAGCGGGCUUGUGGCUGCUUCUGUGGUAGCUGACCCUUUUGAAUAUUGUGAUAUUGUUACAACAACUACUCACAAGGUAUGCGUGUUCCAAAAUCUGAAACAGAAAUUUGAUUUGUAUCUAGCAAAAAUAAUGUAGCUGAUAGUUUUAUAAUUUUCCUUCUAGUCUUUGAGAGGUCCAAGAGGUGGCAUGAUCUUCUUCAGGAAGGAUCCAAUCAAUGGUGUUGAUCUUGAAUCUGCCAUAAACAAUGCUGUCUUCCCUGGUUUGCAGGUUGAGAUAUUAACCAUUACUUCUAGCUCUCGUAGAUAAUACUUCUUUCAAGGUGAUUAAAAUUUGUCUGAGUUAUAUAUAUUUGUAGGGUGGCCCUCAUAACCACACAAUUGGAGGACUAGCAGUCUGCUUGAAACAUGCACAAUCACCGGAAUUCAAGGCUUACCAGAAAAGAGUACUCUCCCUUUUUUACUUGAUCCUUACCUUAAGCUCUUCUGUAGUGGAGAAAGUUUGUGAUUAACUAGUAGCAAUCUUCUUUUGCUGGUUUAGGUUGUAUCUAACUGUAGAGCGCUAGCUAACCGGUUAGUGGAACUCGGGUUUAAGCUGGUUUCUGGUGGCAGCGACAAUCACCUUGUUCUUGUUGAUCUUAGACCAUUGGUAAGUUCUUACAAAACCCCAUUAAUCUCCCAAGCAAAUGGACUAGAACAAAGAAUCUCUUAUUAUCUCGAUCGGUAUUUUUUUGCUGUGGUUAGGGCAUGGAUGGUGCUAGGGUUGAGAAAAUAUUAGACAUGGCAUCUAUUACUCUCAACAAGAACUCUGUCCCUGGUUCGUUUCUGCCUUUAUUCUUGUUCCCAUUGAAAAAGAUGUUAGUCAAUUCCCUAGAGAGUAAGUGACAUUGAGACUGUGAAACAGGGGAUAAAAGUGCGUUGGUUCCAGGGGGAAUAAGGAUAGGAUCGCCAGCGAUGACAACAAGAGGACUGUCAGAGAAAGACUUUGUAGCAGUGGCUGACUUGAUCAAGGAAGGUGUGGAGAUAGCGAUAGAAGCCAAGAAGAUAGUGACGGGAUCAAAGCUUCAAGAAUUCACCAAAUUGGUGACUUCACCUGAGUUUCCAUUGAAAGAGAGGGUGGAGAGUCUAAAGAAGAGAGUAGAAUCAUUCACAUCUCGUUUUCCCAUUCCUGGAGUUUAAAGCUUUACAUAAACAGAUAUACUCUCUCAUCUCUACUCUGGUGUUGUUGUACCUUAUUAUUAUUCACCCUUUUUUUUUUUAUCUGUCUUUUAGGGCUUCUCCUACGCUUGUGUCACAAGUUUGAAAGAAAAUAUUGGUCCAUGCUGUUUUCGAAAUAAAUUUAUUUUUAUCAUUGAUCAGAGUGACUUUACACCUUUUAAUUUCAACGAUUCUUCUAUAUUCUCGUAAACGAAAAUAAAAAAUAUAGAGAAUCGAUUUUGAUAGAUGUAUAUAAGAAAGAGUAAAUAGAUUUUGAAAUAUGGGAUUUUAACGAAGAGAGCAACUAUUUCGCGGGAUUUGGCGAAUUUAUCUCACACCCAAUCUCGCACACUCCCUCUCUCUCUCUCUUUAUUUUGUUUCUGAGUCUCUCAAAUGCGUUUUGUGUUUUGUUUUUGAUUUUGGCCCUUUUCUAAAAUAUUUCAUAUUUCUCCUCCUCUGCCUUCUUCAGGCGUGCGGACUCUCUCUCUCUCUCUCUCUAAAACAGAAAGAGAGAGAUCCAAAUUACGAUAAAGAGAUUUUAUCUGCUUUACUUCUCCCUCCUCCUCCCUCACCGGAAUCGAAUCUCUCAACGUUGGUCGGCGGCGGCCAUCGCUUUCUUCUUCUCCUCCAGGUGCGAUUCUACUUUCAUCCUUCUAUGCACCUUUUGUGUGUACGUACAUAUGUCUGAUUUGGAGGAAAUGUUAUGAUUUUCAAUUCCUCUUUUUUUUGGUUUGUACGAUGAGAAAAUAAAGAAAGGUUUCUAGGUUAGAAAAACGUACGACGAGAUGUUGAUGAAGGCAUCAUCCCUGCAGUUGCUUUUAUUAGACAUUGCCCAUGCCUUUGGUUGAUUUGCAAACUCUCAAGUCUAGGAGAACGCUUGGCUUCAAUUUCAUAUGGUUGGCUCAUGAUGAUUUAGAGAAUCAUUUGUUGAUUUGUUUUGUAGGCCUUCAUUGGUAUUGCUGAUUCCUCAAGAGGUCAGCUAUGGAGGGAGUUAAUUUCCCAUUUGGUGGAAUUAUUAACGAUUUCAAAGGAAGAAGAAAGUGCUACAAACAAGACUGGCUUGCUGCCUUCAAUUCUGGUGUCAGGUUUGUUCAUAAUUCUCUACUUCACGUUUGGUUGCCCCCCACAAAUAAAAUGACUUUAUAGUGUUUCAUUAACAAUGCUAGGAUACUAGCUCCAACCCUGUAUAUUUUCAUUGCCUCUGCACUACCUGUGAUUGCUUUCGGCGAGCAGCUUAGCAGAGAGACAGGUUGAGCUACCGUAAAAUGUCUCACAUACAUAGAGUUGUGUUGCUUUCCAGAGAACUUUUCUGAUGGUUUUAUCACUCUUUUCCUUCAGAUCGAAGUCUUGGCAUAUCGGAAUCACUAGCUUCCACUGCUAUUUGUGGAAUUAUCCAUUCAAUUUUUGGUGGACAACCCCUCUUGAUUGUAGGGGUUGCAGAACCCACUAUUAUAAUGUACACAUAUCUUCACAGUUUCAGCAAAGGCAGGCCUGAACUGGGUCAGAAACUCUACUUAGCUUGGGCAGGAUGGUUUGUAGAUUUCUCAUUUUACUUUCUCUUUGUUUUCGGUAAUUCUUCUUUCCUUAUUUACAUUGGAACUCUUUGCUUGUUUCCUUUUCUUUUUUAACAGGGUCUGCGUCUGGACAUCAAUUUUGCUUAUCCUUCUUGCAAUGCUAAACGCAUGCAACAUCAUUUCUAGGUUUACAAGAAUUGCAGGAGAGCUCUUUGGAAUGCUCAUAACCGUUCUUUUUAUCCAAGAGGCUGUUAAGGUUCUGAUGGGUAAUUUAAAUAUGGUAAAAGUCAUCCAAAAGUCAUUCAACAUUUUGAAACUCACGAGGAGAUGUUUUGUUUCAUAAUGCAGGGACUUGUCGGCGAGUUUUUUGUACCAAAAUCUGACGAUCCAAGUUUGGAAGUGUAUCAGUUCCAAUGGCUGUAUACUAAUGGUCUUCUUGCGGUUAUAUUCUCGUUCGGUCUUCUUUACACUGCUCUGAAAAGCAGGAGGGCAAGAUCAUGGAGAUAUGGCUUCAGUAUGUCGAAUAUUUGAGUUGGCUAUAUAGGUAAACACUUGAUCGGAUCAUUGAACAAUAACUAGCUUCACUUUUUCAGGGUGGAUGCGAGGUUUUAUAGGGGAUUACGGAAUUCUCCUCAUGCUUGUGUUGUGGAGCGCAUGUUCAUACACAGUCCCUAGAAACCUUCCUGAAGGAGUUCCAAGGAGGCUGGAAUUGCCACUUCCUUGGGAAUCCGAGUCCUUGUAUCACUGGACAGUCGUCAAGGUACUACUACCCCUUACCUUGUGAUUUGUGAAUGUGACACUUUCCAACAGAGAAAAACCAAUCAUUGCUUUUUUGGACUAAAAUUGCAGGAUAUGGGGAAGGUCCCGCCUCUGUACAUCCUUGCUGCAUUUAUACCAGCAAUCAUGAUCGCAGGUCUAUACUUCUUUGAUCACUGUGUUUCUGCACAAAUGGCUCAGCAGAAGGAGUUUAAUCUCAAAAAUCCGCCGGCUUAUCACUAUGACAUCUUUAUUCUAGGAAUCAUGGUAUGGUUAUGGUGAUUUCUUUCAUUUUUUUAGUUUAAAUGAAUCAAGGAGUGAAUCAUCACUAACUCAUCUCUAAGUUGUUGUAGACAUUAAUCUGUGGCCUACUUGGACUUCCUCCUUCAAAUGGGGUCAUUCCACAAUCCCCUAUGCACACAAAGAGUCUUGCAGUUCUUAAGAAGCAGGUUAGAAAAAAAAACGGAACACUCUGUUCCGAUUGAAUUUAGUUUUCCCUUGGUUUGAAAUCUGAAACGUUUUGAGUAUCAAUUGCAGCAAAUGCGAAAGAAAAUGGUACAGAAAGCAAAAGAAUGCAUGAAGGCAAAAGCUAGCAACUCAGAGAUCUACGGGAGGAUGCAAGAUGUGUUUAUAGAAAUGGAAAAAUCCCCUAAGGCACCUAACCAUAUUUGUCUCCUGAAUUUACUGCCUCUAUUUCUUUUAGAUUCCAGGAAGAUAAAUUCUCAUCAAUCUUAUCGUAAUGAAAACUUGUCAGGCAAAUUCAGUGGUGAAAGAGUUAGAAAACCUGAAAGAAGCAGUGAUGAAAGCAGACGAUGGAGGAGGAGACGCAAAGGGGAAGAAAUUUGAUCCAGAGGUACAUAUCGAAGACCAUUUGCCCGUCAGAGUAAACGAGCAGAGAGUGAGCAACCUAUUGCAAUCAAUCCUUGUUGGAUUGUUGAUACUAGUAGUACCAGUUCUCAGAAUGAUACCAACUUCAGUUCUAUGGGGUUACUUCACUUACAUGGCUGUUGAUAGUCUCCCUGGGAAUCAAUUCUGGGAGAGACUUCAGUUACUAUUCAUCACUCCUGGUCGUCGAUACAAGUACUGCAAGAUCUCUUCUUUUACAUCACAAACUCUUCUUAAAAUUUUAUAAAAUCUUUGAUUUAUUUAUAUUUUUUUUCUUGUGUGUGAACAGAGUUCUUGAAGGAUUACAUGCAUCGUUUGUGGAGAUAGUACCUUACAAGUCGAUUGUUAUGUUUACACUCUUCCAGCUUCUAUAUUUUCUGAUAUGUUAUGGAGUAACAUGGAUACCUGUCGGAGGAAUAUUGUUUCCAUUGCCAUUCUUCAUCCUCAUUGCUUUAAGACAAUACAUCCUCCCAAAGCUUUUCGAUCCAUCUCAUCUCCAAGUUUUAGAUUCUUCAGAGUAUGAAGAAAUGGUUGGUGCACCACAACGAAACUCCAGCUUCGGUUUCAAUAGGGAGUUAGGAGAGGCACAUAAUAUUCCAAUCAGUGUUGUUGAGAACAGUGAAGACGAGUUCUAUGAUGCAGAGAUCCUGGAUGAGAUUACUACCAGCAGAGGUGAACUCAAGCAUAGAACAUUAAGUGUCAAAGAAGACAGAUCCCAGAUGGUAAAAAUCUAUAUUAACAUUCUUGAAUUCGAUUUGUUAAAAAACACUUAUUUGAUCUGCAUUUUUUACAAUUUAACUAUCCUCAGGUAUAUCCAGAAAACAGUGGACACUCCUAACUAAGUUUUGUUUGGAAAAAGGAACAAAUUUGAUUGCUUGAAAGAAACCGCAGAUUAAAAUGGUACGAGGAAGAUGCGUAGAGGCAAAUAGAAGAAGCAAGCAGAUAAAGAUGGGGCAAAGAGAGGAUACAAGUGCAAACUUGCUGAUCGUUUCUUCUAUGAAACAGUAUUUGGGUUUCCUCACUUUGUGAUAGAUCUGUUUGCUCUUUUACUUUUUAUCUACCAGACAACAAAAAGAAACAGGCUAGAUCAUGCUACUUAGACAAUUCUCUCAUUUCUGCCUUUAGGGCUAAAAGAGGAAGUUUUGUUACUCCUUUUUGUUUUGUAAGAAAUGAAAUAUAAGCAGGAUGAGUGUGAAACUCUAGUGUGAUUUAAAGUUUCACUGCCAUAAUGAAUCAUCACUGAUUGAGAUAAUUCCUUCUUACUUAUUCUUUACGCAGAUUUUUGUGUGUUUUGUAAGUUUAUGUAUGUUAGAUGUUAAUUGUAGGUCAUGUAUUUAAAACUGUUUAUAUCUGCAGGUAAGCGAGUUGCAUUUUCUUGAUCAAAAACUGGAUUCGACAUAGAUGAUGUUAUGAAUCCGAAUUGUAAUGGCUAAAGAGUAAUAAAAUAUAUCAAUCUCUUUACAUGUACUCGCGUGCGUAUCAAGAAACCUUCAGAAGAAGGAGAAAGUCCCCGUCUCUUAUAAUCCUGAUGUCGUCGAUUUCAGCUCCUUCUCUGUUCAGAAUCUUUGUAGCUACGAAUCCCAGCUUCUUCUCACCGAUUUCAAUUAACUCUUCAAGAGAAUCCGGUAGCUUCACUACUUUACCGCAUGAGGAAGCCUCACCACUGAUCGUCACUCUCGCCGGAUAAACCACACCUGCUCCUUCACUUACUGCACUUCUCGUAGAUCCGCCACCUUCAUCACCUGAAUCAAUUGAAAAGUAGUUCUUUUCAUAAACGCAAACGCAGAAGAAGUGGUGUUUGAUGCUUGAAACAAUAGCAACCAAAGUUCAUUUUAGGAUGGAGAAAGUAAGCGUCUUACCACUGUUGGCAGCAGACAUGAUGCCAAACAGCGAGUUCUUGAAAUUACUGAGCUUCCGUCUCUGAGAAACGGCUCCGACCAGAGGGGGCAUUGCUUCCCUUGAACGGUGGUGGAUCAUUACAGGCUCGCUGCAAUGUUUCAUCAAUGGUUUAAUCUCUGGUGUGCCAGAAACAAAUUUCUGUUUCUUCUCCACUGGUCUCUGAUUAUGAAACAAAGCUUUGAUAUCUUCAUGUCCUUGAUGCUCAGCAAGACCUCGAGCCGUCCAACCGUAAACAUCUGGCUUGUCCAUAUCCGCUCCUUGCUCUAACAGAAACUUCACAAUCUCCAUAUUUCCUUCUGAGACUGCUCUGUGCAAAGCUGUGUUUCCGUUGACAUCUGGGAGUGAUAUAUCUCCACCGUAUUUAAGAAUGUCUUUGAGUGUAUCUAGGCUGUUUUGUUCAACAGCUAGGCAAGAGAACUGCCCUACUGUGUCAAAGCUCAGCGUUGCGCCAUUUUCUGAUAAGAGUUUAGCAAUUUCUUCAUGUCUCCCGAUGAUUGCUUCCCAUAAUGGUACAUUACCUUCUGAGUCUGAAAAAUUAGUUAAACAAUUACUAGACGAUCACCAGAUUGUUAUAUAUACAAAAUGGACUCAUAAAACCUUCGUUAUAUCAUACCUCUAAUAUUAGGAUCUGCUCCAUGCUCGAGAAGUAAUACAACACAAUAUUGCUUUCCUUUUGAUGCUGCUAUAUGCUGAGAUGAAUACACACACACAAAACAUAUAAAAUAGUGAGAAAUUUGAUUGUUCUUAGAGUGAAAAAGGAUGCCAUAGCUUGUUUAAACAGAGGAAUUUGGAGCUGACCAAAGCAGUUCGGCCAUUCGUAUCUGUUUCGUUUGGGUUUGAGCCUCGUUUCAAUAACUGAUGCAGCAGUAAAUCGUCUCCUCUGGCUGCUGCAAAACAUAAGCUAAGAGGUAAAUCCAUUUUCCCUUGAGCCAACAUGAGUUCUGUAUCAGCCAAAAUGCCUUUCAUCACUGGAUCUUCAGAGUCUUUCAGAUGCUGUAUUAGACGAUAACAUAUUCGUAUGAGACAAUAUAGUAAACUCAAUAUUAGUCACUAUAGAUUAUAAUAAAUAGCUUUGGGACCAACCUGAAGAAGAUUAUUCAUGAUUAUUGCUCCAUCGCCAACGUUGGCUUGAACAAGAUUUAAGAAUGAUGUACGGUUCAGGCGAAGCAAUUGACUCAGUCGCUUGGUACGAACUGUGAACAACUGUGGCCUGUAACAUAGAACCCCUACUUCACCAAAAACAUGACCUUUUUGUGCUUCGCCAACUACCUGAUCCACUCCAUUCACACGUGCAAUAAUGUCCUGUCAUAUAGUAGAAUUGUCAACUAAUUUGAAAGUAAAAGUAAAGAACAGUUUCGAAGAUAUAACCGAAAACAACUUACAACAGCCCCUGUGAUCAUUAUGUAAAAGUCUGUUGGUGCUUCAUUCCGCAAAAUCACAUCUUCUUUGGGAGGAAAAUACUCAGCCUUCAUCUCAGUGACCUACAUAAUGUCAGAAGGUUGAAUGAGUGAUUAAUCACAAGAAAGUAGACAAGUCUGAAUCUUUGUCAAUGGGAAAACAUACCAAUUGGAAUAGUAGAUCAUUGGAUAUUCCAUGGAACAAGUAGAUCUUGUCAACAAUUUCGUAGAACAGAUAAUGUGAUAUGCUGGAACGAAUAGCCUUGGGGAGGGAAUCGAUAAUCUCUUUCUGCUGUAGGCCUUCUGAAUCGGUUCUGUACCUCAAAGAUAAAUGAGCUACCAUCUGUUCUUGCAAUCCCACUGGAAGAUUGUUCCUUUGAGCAAAUGCUGAGGCGGCUUGGAUAGUAUCUCUCUAAAAUCAUUAAAAUCAACAAGAUAAAUUAAAACAAAAUAGAAAGACUCUUGCAGGAGGAUAAGACAAAACUUAGGUGACUUAGUUCAAAACGAAAUUGCAUUGAACAUUUCGUGUGUUCUUGGAAUAGUGUGCCUGAAUUGUACCAUAGGAAAGAAGAAAUGAGCAAUUAAUCAAACCAUGAACAGAACUUACAAAUUUUAUGGUGCGACUGGUCACAUGAACCACCAAAUUGGUCAUAUUACCAAUUAUAUAAGCUAGCAAUCCAAGAUUAAAAAUCAUGUAGAAGAGAAUGAAGGCCCUCUCUCUUGCAUUAUUACCAUGUAUAUCACCAUAACCCGUUGUUGAGAAAGUUGUUAUGGACCAAUACAUUGCUGUGAUAUACCGGAUAAGCAAAGAUUUCUUUGUCCAAUUUUCCUCCGCAAGUGCCAUAAAAGUCAUCGAAGGUUCUGGGUAAUGUGCAGCAAUAGAAUAGUUGAAGCAAGCGCCACAGUGAACAACAAAGAGAGCAACCUACAAUACGACCAUCAAAAUGUCUUAAAGUGACAGCAGCAAACUAUAGUUGGUUAAUGUAAGAUGGUGUACAGAUACUAACAAGGAGAAGUUUCGUGCAUCGAAUCCAGAAGUAGUUGUAUUUCCGAUCUUUCUCCAAUCUGAAAAUUCAAAACAGGGCAACUAUGAAAUACAACAGUUACAAAGAAUUGAAUAGCUUGAUGAUCAGUCUUAUCAAAAUUAUAGAACUUUUCUAGUAACCACAUUCCAGAAUCUGUACACAUGUAUAAUAACAGAUGAUAAUACACAUUCAAAUCUCACCUGGCAAAACAAUUACUGACCCUGCGGAGACGCCAGAGACGCAGCAUACUGAAAAUUCCAUAUCCUUGAAUAGUCUUAUGCAAUAAGCUGGCAAAAAUUUCAUAGGGAACAGUAGAUACCACAUCAAAAAUAAGCCAAGUGGAGGUAUAUCUCCAAGCUAUUUUCUUGGGAUCAUCGACUAGGAGAUAAGUUGCCUUGUUUAAGAAGGCAACAAAGAAUGUCAGAACAAUAUCGACAGCGAAAAACCCAUUGACGAUGUUAUCAAGAAUACUGAGUGGUGCUCUUGGUGUUUGUAGGAACCCAAACUCAAAAGGUGAAGCCCAUGCUGUGUAAAGCACCAAAACCACUAGAAACCAAUCCCAAGCUCUGAAACAAAAUUCAACAUUGUGCAACUCAUUAUCAGCCACACAACAAGUACAUAUAAUGUAACUGAUAAAUGAGGGGAAAGUGAGAAAAUGCAUAAGAACUCUUUGCAGAAUUUACAAUAAAGAUUAAUGCAGCAAACCUACACGAUUCAACUAGAUAGCUUAAAAAACUAUGAGGUCACGGAAUUAUAAUGUCCCUUCAACACAAGUAAUUCAUCGAACAGUUUAGAUUCAUCAAAAUUCGGAAACAGUUUCACAGUUAUGGAGAGAAUUGAGAUCAUUUUUUUCUUCAAUGGUGUAUAAAUUACAAAUCCUACAGAAAUUCUAAGAAGAAGAAGAGAAGCUGAAACACUCCCACGCGACAUGCAUCAACGAUUUAUCAGUCAUAAAAUCUCAAUUACACAGAAGACGAAAGGUACAGAAUCAGCUAGCGAAGAAAAAUCGUCGUACCUGUAGCGAGGAUCGAAGGGAGAGAUGAUGAAGCAGCGGAGCUUAAUGUGACGGCUAGAACGACCGGUGGCUCCGACUCCAAGCGGCGGAAGAAGACCUUUGCUAAAGCUGUAAUGGCUCAUUGUCCCUUCUCUGGAUAAAUGUUCGGCCGCCACAUCCUCCGCCUCCUUAACUACUCCACCGUCGUGCUUCUCCGGCCAAAACCACACCAUCUUCUUCUUCUUCUCCCUCUCCAUACGAAUCGAAGAAGGAUUCAACUCUCUCUCUCUCUCUGUAUCUCUGAUCUCGUGAUGAUGAUUAAAGUGAAAAAAUCCGUUCACGUUCCGUUGUCGAAGUGAUUUAUUGUUGAGGGAAGAAGCGUGUACACAUGGGCUGGUCUCUAUACUCUCCUCCUCACCAAUUCGGUUUCUCCUAAACUUGGUGUAUGACCUCUCUGGUUUUAUUGUGUGUAAUUCACCUUUUUACCCCUCUCCAACUAAUUUCCCUCUUUAUUAAAAAAAAAGGGUAAAAACAAAAAUCUUAUUCGCCAUUACCUUAAUAAAAAUUCACACAAAUCUAUUCUCCUAUAAAUAGAUUUAUGUUUGACGAAUACAUUAAAUGCAUGGAGUCAUCAAGAAGUUAAAAACUCAGAUUUUCAACAAAAAUAAAUUUCCCUAAAAUUUUUGUAGUGUUUCCAAAAAAUCACAAUAAAGUCGAUAAUUUUUGUGGAAAAAAAAAUUACUUUCCCAAAUCACUUACGAUUCUUCCCUUUUACAUAUAAAAAAAAUCUUUAAGUACAGAUUCCUUACUAAACUAAUACAAAUGUGAUUAUGAGAAUUCAACAUUUUUGUAAUAACUUUAUUCGUAUCCAUAAAAGUAAAUUAAAAUAUCUAAAAAAGGGAGAUAAAUAUAAUAAGACCCAUGUACGUGUCGAUACAUUAUUACUACUUUAUACAUAAUUCAAAUUUCAGAAGGUUAUAUAACUUCACAUUCUAUUGACAGUCAAAAGAGAGAUAUGAAUUUCUUCUUCCAGCCGAAAAAUUACUAGAAUAGUCCAGUCAAACAAGUUUGAACGAGACCAUACGUUAUAUAAGUUUGAAUUGAGAAACUGGAUUUUAAUUUUCUACUUAAAGAUCUGACGAAAAAUAUGGUUGUCUCUUUGUCCGUAUUGGUUGGAAGAGAGUUGAAAGAAGAUAUAUAUAGCCGUUAAGUCUAUCGCAUGUCGAAACGUGUAAUAAAAGAAAAGAGAUGAGCCAGAAAGCAAGAAACGCUUCUAGCUACUUUAAUGGCAUUUUCUAUCUUAGAUAUCGAUGCACAGCCAAACGCUCUUACCAACGGCUAUCUCUUGUCCACUGCUUUCACCAUAAAUACUCAUACACCAAAUACCCAGUCACACACACCUAAUUAACAAGUUUUAGCUAUAAGCGAGUAAGAAGUUGGUAAUUAAAGUUUUGGAGUCAAAAUGUUUGAUGUUUACUUCUUGAUUGUGAUGUUGAUGGAUUUGGGUAGGUUUACAAUAGGGUUAUCAAGUGGGCACAAGUUCUAUGUUGGUGAGAGUGAUGGAUGGGUCCUUACUCCCUCCGAGGAUUAUUCUCAUUGGUCUCACAGGAACCGGUUUCAAGUCAACGACACUCUUUGUAAGUCUCUCUCUCUCUCUUCUACUCGAUCUAUAAGGGCUAAUGGACACAAUGCUUCAAUUUGUCACUGAUGCAUGAUAAUAUUAAUUCUUGAUUUUGCAAGAUUUUAAGUACGUGAAAGGAAAAGAUUCAGUGUUGGUGGUGAGUGAGAAAGAGUACAACACAUGCAACACGACGCACCCCUUGACUUCCCUCUCAGACGGUGACUCUAUCUUCCUACUUAGCCGCUCAGGGCCAUUCUUUUUCGUCAGUGGCGACUCUGGAAACUGUCUCAAAGGUCAGAAGCUAGCCGUAAAGGUUAUGUCCAUGGUCCACCACAGUCACACUCAUCGUCAUCCUCCCUCUCCUUCCCCAUCACCCACAGUGUCUCCGGUCCAUCCGGCUUUGUCUUCGCCGGCACCUUCCCCGAGAGUAGAUCCAUCUGAUUCAGGAGUUCUUUCUCCAGCAUCAGGCCCCUCGGCCGCAGUUCGCAGUUCGGCCGGUUCCGUUGGUCCGGGGGUGGUUUCUCUAGGCUUGAUUCUCGUGAUUAUGAUGAGUUCCAUGGUUUAGCUUUUAUGCAUUGUCUCUGGUUAAUUGCGAGGGUGACUUGAGUUUUGCUAAUAAUGUGUUUUAUAUUAUGUUUCAUGUAAGUUUUUGUAUUUCUCCCGUAUCGUAUUUGUCCUUGUUUUCGUUUUGUGUAUCUUGAUUUCAGAUUACUAAUGCUUCUCCCGGAAAAAAAAAAGGCGAUACUUGCACGUCUACUCACUUUUAUAUCUUACGCAAUUUACGCUACAUAGAAUGAUAGAAAUAACAGAUUAAUUUAUUUCAUAAACUCUGUGUGAACUCUAUAUUAAGUGUCAAGGAUCACCUGACUAAUUUUAGAAAACCUAUUAAUACCGAGCCAAACAAAAAAGCGCGUACAAGGAUAAGUCAAUAAGAUGAUGACUGUAAAGUGUAAACGUUAUGCGAUUUUAUAUAUUCACGUUUUGUUCAUUUGCCAAAUAGAAAAGGGUAAACUGAUUCUUGCAAAACCGUGUUGACUGAAAACAAUAAUCACACAUUCUACUUUUUUCUCUACCUAGGGUAACAAUCUGAAUUAAAAAAUACCGCUUCGUAUAGUUAUAAUUUAUUCAUCAAAAACACACAUAAAAAAGACAAAAAAGUUGCCCUGUUUUGGGCACACACAAAAUCAUCGAUGAGACCGUUUCACUCAAAACCUCAAAGCGAAACUCAUUUCACUUUUAUUUCCCACCGCCUAACUUACUUAUCGUAUUCGAACGUCUAUAUUAUAUAUAUACACACAAUCAUACGACCGCUACGGCGGCUGGACAGCCCAUUCCGUCACCAAGAAGACCAUAGUACAACAUAGAAACCCUCUGUUUUGCCUCCGGGAACCUAUCCUCCUCCGUCUCCGAGACCGGCGACACAGAUUUUCUCUCGCACGUUCCGAGCCACUUGGCUUGCAUGUACUUGUGCUUUCUCCAAGGACCCAAGUGCAUCUUCUUGUCUUUCAUACAUUUCUUCGCUGCCGUGCACAAUAUCUUUAUCAAUGACUUGAGCCUCUCCGUUUUCCCGACGUACACUUCCGGUAACAUUCCGGUGAGUCGUUUGUACUCUUCGCUGCCUCUCGCCAUCUCAAACUCCGCCCUAAAACAUAGCUCGAUCACCACCCGGAUCUCGCCUUUCUUCGAUUUGUCCACGAUCUCCAAAUAUUCAUGCUCACCUAAUGUUUUAGAUAAAUAAACAUCAUGGUUAGUCCAAAGUAUUAUAAUUCACAACGCGAAAAAUGUUCAAUACAUAUAUAUUUUUUUAGAAUAUCUAGAUAAUUCCGUUGACUUGGUUUAUAAAUUAAUGGUGUGAUAAAGAUGCGUUAAAGUUUCAAAAAACAAGUCCAAAACGAAAUCCCCUAAAACAAUCUAAAAAAAUCAAAAUUCUUUAAUUAGGAAAACAGAAUACUGAGAAAUUAAUUUUGACUAAAAACAAAAUAUUACCGGCAGGGAUCUCAUGAGAGCUUCUCCACUUGGAUUUGGAAAUGACGCAAUCAUAGCCGGCGUCUCGGAGACGGCGAGAUACUUCGCUGCGUAAACAGCUACGGCAACCGUCGGUCACGGGUCUCCGACAGACACACACCACACCCUUUGAUCUUACAGAUUUUAACGCUUCCUUGGUUGCUUGUCUUAUCUUUGUCUCAAUUGAACUUGUCCUAUACAGUGUCGCCUACACAUUUCAGAUUUGGUCCAAAGAAACAAAAUAAAUUAAUGAGAUAUAAAAAAAUACACAAUUGGAAUCCUUUAAACAAUUAAAGAAAGAGAUAUAUUCAUAUUAAAAAAGAAAGCUACCUGGAGAAGCUGUUCUUGUUCUUGCCAAAAUUUUAUGUUCUCUUGGGAAUUACAAUCGGUGGUGUCGUUGUCAACUUCGGAUUCGUCGCAGGCGGCGAAGUUAUAAUCCUCGGGUGAGUGGUUACCUUCGUCGAGGAAACCAAAUAAAACAUCGUCGGAGCUAGCCAUGCCGUCGAGAAAUUUCAUGAUGUCAUCGGAGUUUUGCCGAUCCAUUUUUUUCUUGAGAAAGAGGAGAGAGAGAGAGAUGGGAACUGUUUCUUUCUUGUUUUUCUUUUUUGUUCCUUUUGUUUUGUUUGUGUUGGAAUAAAUAAACGAGGAGGGUAUAUAUAUAUAUAUAUAGUCAGAGAAAAGUAAGACCCGGAUAAGUGGAUUGGGGACCCGCGCUAUGAGGUGGGAGAAAAAAAAACACAGAUACAAGGCGCCGCGAACAAGUGCUUUGAUGCUCUGUUUUGGAAGAAGAUGACGUGUGAGUACAUGAUUGGGAUCUGAUGGCUUUACAGACAGCUAGUUCUUAUGUCAGCACGGCCCCAAUCACGACAACUACUUCAGACCACAGAUUCGGAUAUACUCGUUUCGAGUUAUUUAUUCGUUAUACUAAUUAUUUUUAGGCUAAUUUAGAUUAGUACACUAGCUAUCUAAUCCAUUUUUAACAAUUAGGUUUUAUCCAUAUACUACUAUUUUUUCUUCUUAAUUCUUAAUUUAAAUUCUUUAAAAUAUAUCUGAAAACUUAAUAAAAAGCUUGUGGAGUUAGAUUAACGGAAACAAAUUAUUUGUUUAUCCAGGAAAUCAAUUGUCAUUAUCAUUUAUCACAAGGCAAUCUUUUUUGGAGCUUUAAUUUUCAUUUUAAUGGUUUUCAAACUACAUAAAGCUCCUUAACUACUGUACGUUACUCAUUUUUUUUUUCUGAUGAGUACACGCCUACACGGUGACUUUCAAAGAAAUGAAAAAAAGGUUUAUGUACCUUGACAUAAACGUUAUUAUUGUGUGAUUAUAUUAUAUAUUGUAUCCAUAUCAUCGUCCACAGUAUUUGAAACUUUAUGCGUUAAACUAGUGUACAUGUAUCCCAAAUUAUUUAUUUCAUGCGAUUCAGAUGAAACUAAAAAAAAAACGAAAACGUAUGAUAAUAGUAAAUAGACAAUAAUUAAUAAUCAACAAAAAAAAAAAAAAAAAAAAAACGGAUGCAAGUCGCUAGAAGACUCGUCCUGAUCUAGGAGAAGAGGACCCACGUGCCAAUAAUCAGACGAAGACAAAGACAUCUUACGUGGAAGAUAGCCAUACACGUGUCUUUUUGUCCUACACGCACUUAUCCACACCCCCCGACUAAAGUACUACUUACACUAAUUACAUGGGGGUGAUCAUCUCCUUGAUUGUCAUAUGCAUCUGCAUGCCACCAAACUAAUAAUUUUAGUGGUCUUAAUUAGCUCAAAGUUUCAACUUACAUUACUAAUAAUCCUCAGCUCCUAUCAUCAUUUUCUGAUUUUUUUUUUAUUGCAAAUCAUAUGCUACUAACUUCGUCAUAUCACUUGCAAAUCAUGUACGCAUUCAAUACUUUAGUUUGGUAACAAGGAUUGGCAAAUGUGGCAAUAGUAUUAGAUCACAUUUUCGAUUUAUCUAUUUUCAACAUGUCUAUUAAACCACAUAUUUAUAUAUAUAGUACACAUGCAUGGUCUAAUUAAUAUAUAAAUCACUUUCGGUUUUAUUUAGACAGAUGCUUCUCUUGAUCGCCCACAUGAAAUGUUUUGGAACGGAUCAUAAUUUUCUUUUUAAUAAGUUGAAAUAUGAAAACUAGAAAAGUGAAAAAUGAUUCGGUUUUGUAGAAUAUUCCGCAUUUAUCUCCAAGAGGGAUUUUGAGAGGCUGGGAAUAUUCUUGAACAAGGGUCACAUGGUGGCAGCAUGUGGACCAGAUCCUUGAGAUGAGGUGAACAACAACACUAAACAGUUAUUCUUUGUUGUUAGUACCCUGACUGAUGACGAAAAGACAUUGCAAAAUUUGCAAGUUUACGCAAUCAUGCAUUGAUGUAUGCACAUAUUGUUGUUUUUUAGUAGAGAUACUUUAUAUAGGUUGGUACAACUUUCUGAAUUUUUCCGAUUACUGAUUAAUUAGGUCACUAGCUCUAAGUAAAGCUGAAACUUUUUUAUACCGGUAACUACAUAAAAAAGAGGCUUUAAAAAUUCUGAUGGUUAUAUUUUCAGAAAUUGAGCUUUGACGUUUAUAAUACAAGACGACGCCCAUAAUACGACUAUCCCAAAACUGUACACAGUCAUACAUAAUGUUGGAAGAAUGUCGUCAUUUGUUUUCAAGUCGAUGGAUUCUUUUACUCCAGUGGUUACGUCUCCCAUUGGUGGAUUUUUUUUUGUUUUCUUUUCUUUUUAUAGCUGUAUUUUUUUUUAAUUAUUUACGAUUUUACUGGAACCAUUCAUAAAAUCCGUUUUGAUACCGUACUUAAAAAAAAAACUUAAGAUUUGUAUGUGUGCGUAUCUGAAUCGUGCCGGCUAUAUAUAUUUCUAAUAUACAACAUGAACAAAAUAUUGAACAAAACUCUUAUAAUUAAUAUUUGAAUCGUUUUGCAAACAUGUCAUUAAAAAUAGUAGAACCGACGCAGAGUUCUGCAUGUUUUUGUAGUGAUAUAUAAUUAAUAUGCUGUGAAAAGCUGUCACGUAUAUGUUUGCGCAAAAGAUAUGUUUUAAUAAUGUUCUUAGCUUGUAUAUCAAUUACGACUUAAAUUAGUGCACAUUCGACUCGUUGAAUAAUCAAUCUGAGAUCUUAUGCUCAUACUUCGCGUUAGUAGACAUAUAUACUUAAAUAUAUCUGAUGUCAAAGGAAAUAUAUACUACACGCAUAGUGACGCAUGCAGAAUUCUGCUAAUUAAUGAAACUAUUGAAAUAUUUUGUUUUUCUUAAACCUGUUUACAAAAUUAAUAUUAGUAUAAAUUAUUUUGCACUGGAAACAGAUUAGUAGUAUAGCUUAAAACGAAAAUAUAUACAAAAAAAGAAGAAGAAGAUAAUUUAGAAUUCUAACUGAGGACCAUUUGUGUGUGUACUAUAUAGAUGUACGUUAAACUCCCAUAUCUAAUUUUUCUUUUAACUAUCAUCAGUAUGCAACAUAUGAAUUUGGUAAUAUAGUAACAUAACAUUGGUAUAUUAACCACUAAGCUAUAAGUUAUGGUCUUUUGAAACGUUCUAUCUUGCGACAGUUUUUGAGUGGCUAUAUACACUAGUUUUACAAUUUUGAAAAUAGUUUAGAAUUCUAAUGAGGACCAAUAUAUUCCUCAAAAUUCUAGAAGGAGAAAAAAAAGACUGAGCCAAGAUCUUAUUAUUUUACUACUAUAGUACUAUAUUUUAUUGAUUUGUUACAAACAUUAAUUAUAUAAUAGAAUGAAUUAUUUUGGCUAGGAGUGAAACCGAAGAGCCAAAAGAAAGUAAGGUUACCGCCUACCGGCAGGAUUAAUUUAACCAUUUAAAAAGAAAAAAAAAAGUAACGUAUGUGUUCCAAAUUGAAUAAUAUUUAAACGUUGAUUUAUCAAAGCUUUUGAGAAGGAUCAUUUCUGAUAUCGAAUCAUUUUGAAACUUACAGAAAUGUUAACAACACUUGUCAAAAGAAAAGGUACUCCAGGACUCUUGUGUAUCAUUCAACAUUUGUGAAUUUGACAAGAAAACUGUAAUGGUAAUUGCUAAAAAAAACAUACUAUAUAAUAUAUAAUAUGUGUACGUAUACGAUUAGGUCUGGUUAUAUCACGAAAGUUCUAAAAUUAUGUCAAUUAUUAUAAAUUUUUUUUGAUAAUUAAAAUUAUGUCAAUUGUUAUAUAUACGAUACCUUUUCUUACACGGCUACUUUUGUGUGUUUCGUCCUUUUAACGAUUGCCUAUGGGAUUAUGUGUCUUAUCUUUAUAAAAAAAACGAUUAUGUGUGUAUUUAUGCGACUAAGCCAGCCAUUGGUUUUCAAGGGAAAAUUAUAGUUCCUUGUAAACAAACACCAAAUUUUGCCUUAGCAAUAACAAACUAGUUCCAAACUUAGUGUUCCUUGUUCUUCAGUAACCAGUAGAUUAGUAUUCAUUGUCUACAAAAUUUCCCCAUUCUAUGUCACAAGUUCACAUAACUUUACCAUGCACACAGCGCAUCAACAUGUUAUAGUUAUACACACUAAACUCAAGUAUUGUUUUCUUCUUAAACUUUUUUUUUUUUGGUCAACGUUUUCUUCUUAUACUUAAAACAAACUAAAUACCUCUUGAAAUCUCAAAAUUAUUUGUGUGGGAAAGUAGUACCAUAAAUUAUGGCAUAGUUUGUAAAAAUACAAUCACCAUCUGUAUAUAUUGUUUUUAAAUACUAAGAUAACAUAUUGCUAUCUUUCAUUAACUUUGUCUGAAGGGAAUAACGAUUAUCUUCAUUGGUCUUCUUUAUAGCUUUCAUUAUUAGUAGUGAUAUUUUUAGUUUUAUUUUGAUGGUGUUUUUGAACAGUGGCCCAUAUCAACAAUGGUAUAAAUUAUAUUAAUUUGUAGCUUUUAAUUAAGGAAUAAGAGUGGGAUAAGAAGGAAUCAAAGUUCGAAUAUUUUUCACAAAUUAGUUUGUCUCCCAGCAUUUAGACUGAUGGGAUAUUCCCAUCUUAAAUUUAAGAAUCUAAAACAUUGUAUCCAAAAUAUCUGAAGACACUUUUUUUGUGUGCUUUUGUGUUUUUGUAAAGAACUAAUAAUCAAAUCAAAGUCCAUAAUCAAUCUCAUAUCCAACCAAAAACAAGUUAAGUGUUGAUAUAGUUCCAUUUUUUAACUAAUGAUCUAUUAAGUGUUGUUUAUAACUGUAGAUAAAUAAAUUAUGGCAAUUUGCAUCAGCAUACAUAUUUUUUAAUAUACUUUUUCAAUGUAAUAUUUAUAUGAACCUCACUAUCAAACACUUAGGAAUUGGAAUAUUGUGUAAAAGCAUAAGAAUCAAAUCUUAAAUAAAUAUAACUUCUAUCUAUAUCAAUAGAAUAAGACAACAAUUUGUCUGAUAUCGUACAAAGUUUAAAUUAAAAUAAAAAUUCUCUUUUAACAAAGAAAAUUUAGACGGCCGAAAAGAACCAAUGAAGAAAAAGGCAAAUGUGACAUUAAUUAAGAAAAAAUAUUAUCAUACAAUCACUGAAUUAUUAACUUCUUUUAUGAUACCAAAACCAUGUGCUAUGAAUUAUGAAAGCAGUUUAGGAUAAUUAGCUAAUUUAUUAAUGUAAAAAGUAAAAUAACAAUCCUAAGGACGUUUUAAUUUUUUCAAUCCAACAAGUUAGUUACAAGUACUGUAAGUUCUAAUUUGAGAGUGUUCAAUAAUACCACCAUGAAACCAUAAUCUUAUGUAAUCUAGUAAGUAAUAGUGAAUUCAAAUAACUGGUAUUCUACUAGAGACGGUGCUAUGUGCUUAAUUUGUCAAUUAAUUAAGCUAAAACUGUUUUAUAUACACAAUUUUUAGAACAGCUCAUAUAGUCCCUUAUACAUACCGGCAUUAUCACCGGAUGCUCUAGAUGAACUUAUUGUUUUCUCAAGAAACAAAAAAUAAAAUACAUAUAAGUUUUUAAAUUUUGUAGUUGCGCGUUAUUAAAUAUUGUAGGAAUUAUUUGGAAGAUAAAGAUUAGGAACUCAUCAAGAAGCAGCUGCUAAACUUUUGACCUACUUCAUAUUUUACGAUACGAUAAUGAAUGAUGUAAGCUGGAAAUAAAAAAAGUAAUACAUUUGUGUUAUCUACUUCGUAUUUUUCAUUGUACGACGACGACUUCAUUGUAACAGAAAUUAACAAUGAGGAUAUGGGUCGUGAUCUAAAAUCCCACCAAACAAAAUAAAGAUAUCAAACUAAAUCGAGUACCUACAUCCAUGAUAAAUCUCUUCAACCUAACCUCAAUUAAAAAUUGUUUAGAGAAAGACCAGAGACGGUUUGAACUUUUGAAAUGCUUUGUCAAGAAAGUGGGAACAUAGGAUUAGCUAGAGAUAUUUGUUUAAAUCACCACAUUUUAACCUUAUAUAUAUAAUAUUUGCAAGUUGAGAUGAUAUACUAUAUAACUUUUGAGAGUUCUUAAUUAAUUUAAAUCAUAAGGAGACAAAAACAUGCCUUUCAACACUCAAUGGUAUUUUAAAGUUAUAACUUAAAAUGCUCCCAUUCGCUUAGAGUAAAGAUGUUAGCCGGAAUCCAAUUCGUCUAGAGUAAAGAUCAUACAAUCAUAUAUAUACUUGUUUAACUUAGCGUACCUAUAUAACUAUAUUAUCGUUUCACAGUACACUUGAUUCCAAUGUAUUAAAUUAAACUCUCUUUUUCACAACUAGCUAUCAUUUUUUUAGGGUUUAUUUAACUACACCAUUUAUACAUGCAACUAGCUUUAUCAAUCAAUCAUACAUACAUACACAUACAAAUUGAGUUCCAAGGAUUUUGAUGGCAUUUGCCCCCUAAGAGUGUCCAAGCAUACCAUAUAUUUCAGCUGUAGCGUCUCCACUUAUUGCAAAGACUUUGUAAGCCAACUUGGAAUUAAAAAAAAAAGGUUUAAAAGACCUUAAAAAUGCACCAGCCGGGAAUUGAACCCGGGUCUGUACCGUGGCAGGGUACUAUUCUACCACUAAACCACUGGUGCUUCGCUGCUGAAUUCGAGAAAUAAAUGAAAAUAAUCGAAUUUGUAGUUGAAAUACGCAGCCACAGAAAUAAACAGUUUUAAGAAGUAAGAGCUUUCUCUCUCUUAUCACUUUCAUAUCUUUUAGAGAGAGAAAUCUAGUUAUCUUUUUGAUAUUCCGAUUAAAAUCGGUUCUUUUCUGGCUAAGUCCAGAUUUGUAUCUUCUCGUCUUAGUGCGAGUGUUUUGUUUAGCUAUUUUAGCUAUUUUGUUGUUUGUUUUUACUAGUUUUCUCCCCUUUUGCAGCAGCAAAUUCUCUUCUAUUCUAGAGGAGAUAAACGCCGGAGUUUUGUUCAGAGAUUCAAAAUUCAUCGUUUGCUUGAUUCUCUUGCAAAAUGAGAUAAACCCUCAUACCCUUAUGAAACCGUAUAAUCGGUUAUGGAUGCAGGUUCUCUUUUUGUCUGGGAAUCUUGAUGAGUGGAAUUCAGUGAUUGGUAUAUAACUUAUCAGGAGAGCGUGUUUUGCGACUGAUUUGAUCUCUUGCCAAGCUAUGUUUUCCGGUGAUCCAUAAAUUAGAUGAAUCAUGAAUCUCUUUUCUAAACCUUCGGAAAUUUUAGCAAAAGGUGGUGUUAUGGUGAAUCGGAGAAAGCAGCUGGAAUAGGUGAUAACUCUCGUCGGCAAAAAAUUCAGCCACCGCUUCAGCUUCUGUGGAUGAGUCAAUCGACGUCUUCCACUUUCAAUUUGCAAAACAAGUAAACAACACGUGUCUUAAUACGUGUCUUUUAUGAGGCUAGCUUAUCUUGCUUUGUAAUGUUUUAUAUUGGGCCUAUUUUGAACUUUGCAUGUUUUGUAUUAUUGGACUCUGAUCACCAUGUAAUUUUCCAAUUUGGAAAUCAAUACAAUCGACGACGACAAAAAAAAAAAAACAGUUUUAAGAAGUUAGAUGGGCCAUUCAAGGCCCAAUAAAAGCGCGAUUCACGUCGUCGUUUCAACAGCGUUGUAAAUUUACCCCUUUCUCUCCCAGGGCCAGCAGCUUCGUUUCUUUCUCACUCAUUGGCACAACAAGAGAAACCUGAAAUUGCGCAAUCGUUGAAAUUGAAAGAUAGAGAAAAAUGGCGUCGCUUUUGAAAUCGUUCAUCGAUCCGAAGAAGAACUUCCUCGCUCGUAUGCAUAUGAAAGCCAUAUCUACUCGCCUCCGCAGAUACGGUCAGAUCUCUCUCGAUCGAUAACCCUAAUUUCUGAAUCUGGAUUUGUUGUUGUUGUCAAUGAGGUUGCUGGUUCAGGAUUGAAUCUGAAUCUGCUCUGUUCGUUUUUUGUUUUUUUUUUUGGUUGAAAUGAUUAGGUCUGAGGUACGAUGAUCUGUACGAUCAAUAUUACAGCAUGGACAUCAAAGAGGCUAUGAACAGAUUGCCCAGGGAGGUUGUUGAUGCUCGUAACCAGCGUCUCAAGCGUGCCAUGGACCUCUCCAUGAAGCACGAGUAUCUCCCCAAGGAUCUUCAGGUAUUGUUACUAUUCUUCAUUGUCAAUUUUUUUUGGUUCUCCAACGAAAUUGAUCUAGGAUAUGGAUUGUAUGUUUGGCAAACUCAUAUAAUUGAGCUUAAGUAUUGGUUGAAUGUUAGAUUCUUUAUUGUCUUCUGGUAGAAAUAGAUUUAAGAAACUGAAGUGUUUAGAUUUCAAUUUUAAAAGUUUUUUGAACCUACAUCAUCUGAAUACCUUACAAAAAUAUCGGAGCUUAGAUAUAUAUAAACUAGCUUAUGUAUUAUGCUCGUCUCUUGCGUUACUGUGUUAACUCUUCCCUUGCUACUUGCUGGGAGCUUAUUUGAAAUUUGGGAUUUUGUUUCCUUGUUACAUUUUUUUACUUUCUGAAGUGGUGUUUGCAUUUAUACUACUGUAUAACUAUGUGAUUUAGGCGGUGGCUAUGGUUUACGAUAUUAAGCUAUAAAAAAUUGCAUCUGUUUGGCAUUCUUUUGGAUUUUUUAACAUUCUUAUUUGAUGUAUUUAUAUGAUAUACAGGCGGUGCAGACCCCAUUCCGUGGCUAUCUUCAGGAGAUGCUGGCUCUUGUAAGUCUCUUUUUGAUGAAAUUAUCCAUAAAGCAUAAUCUGCCUCUCGGUUAGGAAGAAUCACACUGCAAUUUAGUCUCUCUUUUUUUUUGUCUUUCUGCUUUCAUGCAUUGACAUGAAUGCUCUCGUUUGACAUCAGCUUGUUGCAUACUGACAGAAGCAAUGACUAAAAGUUUGAGAUGCAUAACUUUUCGUUCCUUGAAUGAAGCAAGAUGUUUUACAGAUCUUCUGCGUCCCUAUUUCAUUUAGUGUUGUGUUGUAAAUAAACUGUUUGCAAUGCUUUAAUAGUACCCAGUGUAACUUUUCUGUAAGGAAAGACCAUUAUCGUCUUCAUUAUCAUCAUCAUCACUGUUUUCAUGUUGUUCAUUGCAGGUUGAGAGGGAAAGCAAGGAACGAGAGGCCUUGGGAGCUCUACCACUAUACCAGCGCACGCUCCCAUAAGCAUUAUAUUUCCUCCUAAAGUUGUGGUCAACACAGCUUCUCUCCAUAAAUCUCCAAAUGGAUUACAUUUAUAUUCAGUUUCUGGAAUGAGCUAUUUUUACUUGAGAAAAGCAUAAAUCUGUGAUAGUUUUCCUAAAUGGAUUAUGUUGCCAAGUUACAUUUUUCACGUUUGCUGGCUUGAAUAAAAUGGACGACGCAACUUAAGUCUGUCUCAAUUAUUAUUAUAUUCGAUGUUUGCUUAGAUGUUAUAUGAUUGGCUCAAGUGCCAUGAUUCCAUAUACUCUUUUGCAUUGACAAUUACAUGUGAAAUAUUAAUGGGAGAGUUAUGGUUUUAUUAGGCACCGAUAAAACCAGUCGUUGAAUGGUCCAAGUCUAUGGUAUGGGGGUGGUGUGUUUUCUUUUUUUGUCUAAUGUUAGUGUUAUGCACCAGAAAGUGAGAAAUUUGGUAAAAGUUGGUAUUCUACCGAGAUAAUCUAAAACCAAGGGGGUCAUGGUGAAUUCUGUAGAAUUCAUUACCAAAGGAUUAAUUUUGACCAAAACAAACCCUUUUGUUUAACUAAAGAAAAUAACAGAUGAGAAGUCAUCUUGUGAGGACCGGCGGGUGUGAGAAGGGGGAAAGAGAUCCAGCUGAGUUUGGGCAUAUCGGAAAUUGGGAAAUGAAAAUUGGGAUUUCAUAUACAAUCUUGUUAUACAUAUUAUCGACAGGAUGUAAAAUCAUUCAUAUGAUAGAGAGACCCAUGUUACAUGUAUUUUUCAUAUAAAAAAAUAUCCAGAAAAGAACACAUGCAUGUGAUUUGUGAGUGCGUAGACUGGGACACAAGUCUUUAAAAGAUUCAGGUCAGAUCUCUUCUUUAGUUACCCAUCUCCCUCUCUGUCCCCUCUUUCCUUCCUUUUCUUUUUGCAUCACUUUCGUUUAGCCACAAUUGUUACAGUUAAAUGAGGAAUAACAAGAAGAUUAGAUAUGCUGUUCAGACUCGAUCUUAUUCCCUUAAUUAAACGAGGCUUUUUUCUGGUUCGAAUUCUAAGCUAAUUUGAGGGGUUUACAGCCAUCACAUGAAGUUAUGAACAUUAUGGCAACCCACCCAAAUGCAUGAUUGAUUGAGAAUCAAUCUACAUAAACUAAAAACCAAUCAUGAUGUUACGUGACUGAGACUCGCACUAUACAGAGUUGGGUCGAUUGCGUUUCAUUUAUCAUCGGAUUCUGUGGAUCCCGAAAUAAGUUCGGGAUUUACUAUUUAGCUUAUCCAAUACUUGAUGUUGUGAGACAGAACAUUCGAGUAAAUCAUGGAUGGUCCGUGGAAGUGAAAAUUAAGGUUGUACACAAGGUGUAUGUAGUACUGACACUGACAGAUGUGAUGUAUGAAAAUGGGUCAGUUACACAUAUUGGUUUUAGAGAUUGGUUUAUGUGCUUCCUUAAUAACUUUGGAUUUUUAUAGGCUCUUCCAUUAAUUUGUUUAAACUUGGAUGUUUCUUUGAAGAGACAAACAAAUAAAAAUAUAUAUACUCCGCUGUACUUUACAUGAGGGUCGACCAUUAAAAGUCGGUUGCAUGUGACUCAUUGACACAGACUGACUUGUCUUUAGUUAGCUUGAUUCCAUAACUCAAGUAGUAUUGUGUUAUAUAUAUAUCAAGUAUUCUCUAAUACAUAACACACAAGUACUCGAAAUAUAACCAAAAUAAGAUAAAACCAUAUAUACUCAUAAUUAACAAAUGUAAUAGCGUUUUAUAUUAUUCCCUCGUUUUACACUAUUGAUUUGAUCAUGCUUUCAUACUCAUCACAUAAUCUAACACUAUUAGAAAACACUCUCGUCGAUGAAACAUUAGAUAAUUUUUCUGACGCCAUAACUAAGGAACAUAUAUAGAUGCACUUCGUUUUUGUAAAUACACAAGGAUAACGAUUCAGCGUGAGACAGGCUCAUUAAGUGUCUUCCACGAGGGUAGUCCAGUUUUCUGUAAUUUUAUAUUGAUAACUAUGAAUCCUUUUGACGGCUGUCUUGUCCUUUUCUUUUACUAUGUCUUCUCCGUUAUUUCGCUCCAUUCUAACAAUUUGUUUUUUUUUUUUCAUUCUUUUUCUGUUAACAUCUUAUGACAUUGUAUAUGCAAGUGAAUUAAUUCUGAGCUAAAAGAAGUGACAUUGUAUAUUUACUUAUAACAAUUGGCUCUAAACCUAGAUAGGUAUAUAUAUAUAUAUAUUAAAUGGUAGCUUAGCAACAAAAUAUUGCUAAAAAAUAGUUGAUGCUUUAAACACGUAAAAAAAAUCUAAAACGGGGAUGGAUGAUGUAUAUGACAUUGCCGUUGUCCGUUAGUUAGCACUUAGCACCACAAGUCAAAACUGUGAUUUCAUCUGUCGGAUUAAAUCGUCUGGCUAGAGAUUUGAAUUCUACUAAGUACUAAGCUAGAGAUAAUAGUUUUGCAAAUCAAGAAAGAGGAUGCAUAGUCAAAUGUCGUGUUGUAAAAGUUGGUCCACUUUCCCAUGCAUGCAUGUCUACAUCUUUUUCAGUAAUUUCUUAUAUAUUUCUAUUAUCAUUUGAUUUGGAUCCACGAGUAACAUCAAGCCAAAGUUACAUAGCUACGUGGCCCCUGUUUUAUGGCCGAAAAAAUCAUAAGUUUAGGUUUAACCACCAACACAGAGUUUUUUUUUUUUUUAUAUAACAAAAAGAUUGUACAGAUAAAGUCUAAUGGAACCUAACUUUACUUAAAGACUCCUUGACUCAUACAUACACAUUGUUCGUGCAUACAAUUUUUCAGUCUAGAUAUACGAGUAGUGGUGACAUUGGAGAAUUGACCGCCCACUAGGCCAUCAACUCCGAUCGUAAAUUGUAGACAUGGAUGUUGCUAAUAAGUAGAACAUGUGAGCAUCACUUUUUAUCCAAAAAUAUAAAACAUAAUUAGAAACAAAUGCAUGUUAGAGAUAUAUUUAUAAUAUGAUACACACAGUUUAUGCUUAUGCAGUGCAUGUGUAUGUAUUUAUAAACAUGCACGCAAUAUGUUUUUGAGUACAAUAAUUUGUGCAAUAAAAGCACCGCUAACAGAGAGAGUCGGUGGCCUUUCUUUGCAGUGAUCUAUUAAUUCUGACGCCGCAGAGACAAAAUUCGAUUAUUCUUCCAUUUUUAAUAUCAUGAUUCAUUUCACUCUAAUUAUUUUUAUGGUUGCUUAAUUAUUCGAUUAUAUAUAUAUAGCAAAUGGUUGCUUAGUUAUUCUUUUGGUAUUUUGACUAUUUUCCAAACUAUCCAAUACCGCUUAGAGAUAUUUGUGAUAAUGUUGAUCAUGUUCAUGUACUUUUUUUUUGUUUUAGUUUGGUUCAAGAAUAUCGAUGAUUAUUGACGACAAAUGUGCAGACUAAAUCUAAGAAACCACAUGAUAUAUAAAAAUAAAAAAGUUGGAAAAAGACUACUCAAAAUUUUAGAUCGAAGAUGACCAUUAUAUGGUUAAAUUAUUUAUGUUGAAAAGAAAAAAAAAGGAGUCCGCAUGGUUUACACUUUACACUUGCGAUAUUUGGCGCUCGUGUGUGAUGCGUUUCAACGACACUAACUUUUGAUGAUAUGAUUUUUUUUGGUAAAUCACUACAACGCUCAUACAUUUUCAUAUUAAUACAGAAUAGUAUAAAAGCCUCCUACGAAUAAACAUUGUUUGUCUGAUUAGUCUACUUUACACAACAAUUAAAUUCUAGCUGCGGUUGAAAGUUACCGACCAAACCCAUGAAAAAAAACCUGAGCCAUAGAUAUCUUAACCUUGCUACAGAUUUGGCACACGGAUCAAGCUAUUGAAGCAACUGCUUCCUUUGAUUCGGAAUUGUUAUAUAAAAUAAUACUCUCUAUUAUUCGUUAUGUGUAUGCGAUAGGAUAACUCAGAACAUUAAGCGACUUUUAACUUGUGGCGAUGCGAGAACCAAUGUGAAUAAGGCAUGUGAGAGAGACCACAUUAUACUGUCCCACAGCUUUUGUCCUCUUCAUUCCCGCAAUUAUAUUACCAUUACUACUAGCUCACAUAACUAUCAUUUCCCAAAUCGCAGUUAAUUAAUUAGAUCUGUACGUAUAGCCUCGUAGUUGUUCCUCUUUAAUAUCUUUUUGUGUUAUGUAACAGAUAAGAAGGUAGUUAAUAUUUCCAUGAUGGAAUCACGAUGUUUGAAAAAGUUAUGAUGUUAACGAUAUACCCUUCGCAAGACUAGAAUUACCCCGGGAGAUCUUGUUCAUCUGGCGAUAACUGUUCAUCAAACCAAUACUAAGUUUGUUUUGAUAGUACGUAUCUUUUUAGUCAAACCUUCUAAGAAAAAAAGUAACCCAUUUCCAAGGAACGAUGAAUAUAAAAUAAAGGCACGACCAAUGUUUGUCCGACACAAGUCCCCAGUGGCAAAGCCGUAGUUUAAAAAUAGGCAAGGGGCUUCUUGUUAGACAACUCUUUGCAUAUAAAGAGAUCUCUCCACCCUCGUUCUCUUCCACUCCCACUCCUAAACAUUCCUUCUUCUCUCGUUCACUCUUCUUCAAACUUUACUGUUCGAAAGUUUACAGUUUAUAUAUAUUUAACAUUAUUGGGGUAGAGAAAAAUAAAUCGAAAGAAAUGAAAGAGAUGGGAGUGAUAGUGCUUCUUCUACUUCACUCAUUCUUCUACGUUGCCUUUUGCUUCAAAGAUGGUAAGUCCUUCAUUUUCUAAUCUUUAUACACAUCUCGCAUUCUUGUAUUUUCUGUAUAUUGGCCAAACCAGAAAAUAAGUUAACUUCCAAAAACAAAUCUAGAUUAGUAUUUUGGAACAUUUGUUCAGUUUUGAUUCAUUGCUUCUUACAACUUGUAUGUCCAAAACACUUUUUGAUUGUCGUCAAAAUAAUUAACUUUUGACUUAAAAGUAGUAGCUUUGAUGAACAUGUUGGAUGAAUACUAGCUAGGGCGAAACAGAUCUGUAAAGGCACAUGGCGUUUUGUCAAUAAAUGCAUAUCACUCAAUUACUCAUCUCACCUUCCCAUCUGUAAUUAAUUAACAUGUUAUGAUAUUCUUACUUUUUUACAUCAUUUUAAUAUUUUGUAAUUUAACUUUUUAAUUAUUCAAUUCUUAUACACUUACUUGUUUUAUCAUAGAUCUAAUAACUUCCAACUUUUCAAGAUAACAAAACCAUUAUUCAUCAUCAAAACAUUACUAAUGUUAAAACAAAAUACUGAAACUGUGCUUAACUUAAUACGUAAUUUUUGUUUCUAGUAACGCGCGAGUGGCGAUGUUAUGUAACAAAUCAUACAAUCCAAGUUGACGAAUCUACUAAUCUAAAUAGAAUUACAACAGAGCUAGCCCUAACCAAUUUUAUUAUAAUUUGUUGGUAACAAAACAGGACUACUACCAAACGGGGACUUCGAACUAGGUCCACGGCACUCGGACAUGAAAGGAACACAAGUGAUCAACAAAGCAGCAAUCCCAAACUGGGAACUCUCAGGCUUCGUCGAGUACAUUCCCUCAGGACAAAAACAAGGCGACAUGAUCCUCGUCGUGCCUAAAGGCGCUUUCGCAGUGCGUCUAGGCAACGAAGCCUCGAUCAAACAAAAAAUCAGCGUCAAAAAAGGGUCUUACUAUUCGAUCACGUUCAGCGCUGCUCGAACAUGCGCACAAGACGAGCGGCUAAACGUGUCUGUGGCUCCUCACCAUGCAGUAAUGCCGAUCCAAACCGUGUAUAGUAGCUCCGGUUGGGAUCGGAUUGGAGCUGGUGAUGCUCCACGCAACCAUAGCAGAUAUAGUGAUACAUAACCCAGGUGUCGAGGAAGAUCCUGCUUGUGGACCUCUCAUUGAUGGUGUUGCCAUGAGGGCCCUUUUCCCUCCUCGUCCCACCAAUAGUGAGUUUUUUCUUGGUGUCUUAUUUCGGUUAAAAUUAUACUUCUCGGUCAAAAACGGAAAUAUCUAAAACUUGUGGGGGUUUUGUUUGAUUACAGAGAACAUAUUAAAAAACGGAGGAUUCGAAGAAGGUCCAUGGGUUUUGCCAAACACAACCUCCGGUGUUCUCAUCCCACCAAACUCCAUCGACGACCACUCUCCUUUACCUGGUUGGAUGGUCGAGUCUCUUAAAGCCGUCAAAUACAUCGACUCCGAUCAUUUCUCCGUUCCUCAAGGCCGUCGCGCCGUCGAGCUCGUCGCCGGUAAAGAGAGCGCUGUCGCACAAGUUGUCCGCACUAUCCCGGGGAAAACGUACGUACUCUCAUUCGCCGUCGGAGACGCCAGCAACGCCUGUGCUGGAUCUAUGAUCGUAGAGGCUUUCGCCGGAAAAGACACGAUCAAAGUCCCUUACGAAUCUAAAGGGAAAGGAGGAUUCAAGAGAGCUUCGCUGAGAUUUGUUGCUGCCUCGGGUCGGACUAGAGUUAUGUUCUACAGUACGUUUUACGCUAUGAGAAACGACGAUUUCUCGAGCUUGUGUGGGCCGGUGAUCGACGACGUCAAACUUCUCAGUGCUCGAAGGCCGUGAGCUUGUUGCGGCGGCGAGUUAUACACGAGAAAAUGAGUGACGACACGACACUGUGUGUUUUCUUUUUAAGUUGUUGUUUGACAAAAAAAAACAAAAAAUGUGGUCACUCUGGUUGAGCAAGGAGGGUUCGGCGGAGCAGUGGCGUUCGUAUGCGAUUGUUUGGUCGGAAUAUAAAAUUUUAUGAUUUUAAUUUGGUUCAUUAACUUUAUAUAUUAAUGUUAAUCUCCAAUCCUAAAACAGUAUUUAACAUUUAUGAAGAAUUAUCCAUCGGAUAUCCGUAAUUAGAAAUUCCAAAACCCAAUCUUUGGGCAGCUGUGUCCAGAUUUCUCAACAGAGGAUCGAGACAUAUCAGAUAAUCGUAGAGCCGAGAAACGAGCCUCUCGUCAACGUGUUUAUCAUUGGCGGGGAGAGAGGCUGCUGGACUGUCGCCGGUGGACGAACGGGUUAACCGGAUGCAGAAUCGAUCCGGUUCGAGCAGAAAGGGACAAACUUUAUUAUCAAGUACUGUAUACAGUAUCGCAUUGUAUUACCAUCUUCAGUUUUGUUAUAUUGUGACCGGAACAGAGAGAUUUAGAAAAUUAGGUUUAUUUUUGUCCCAAAAGAAAAGAAGAAAAUAAGGUUUAUUUACGGUUUGGGAAUCAUACUUUCAAAUCACCUCCAACCUAAAUAUUCACAAAAUAAACAGUAACAACUGUUAACAGUAAUAUAAAUUUAUACAAAAUAUCUGAAUAAAAAGCUGGAUAUUAUAAGUUAGAUAUACAUUUUAAGCAUCAAGUGAGGAGGUUAUAUUUUUGUACAUUAAAAUGAAAUUGCAGGUUCAUGGCUUGUUUUCUGGUUUACUGCUCAGUUGUUACCAGGAUUGCUUCAGCUUUCAGUUUCAAAAUUUGAGGCUAAGAUGUCCUCUUGCAAGCAAGUAGCCAAAGAAGAAAAGACAGCUCAUGGCUUGUAAUAACAACAUUCAUCACAUAUACAAAGAUACAAAUCUUUGGAGCAACAACUGAAAUAUUGUCAGAUUGCUUUUGCAUGGGUAGUCUGCUUGAGGAUUAGGAAGAAAGUCUGCUUGAGGAUUAGGAACUCGUUUUUAUUAUAUACGCAAGCCACUACUCAGGAAAACAUGUUCAAUUUAUGGCGCCAUACCUUCGUGCCAGUUAAUGAAUUUGGCUUUGGAGUUUCAUACUGCCAUGUAAAAAAACUAGCUUUGCUGAAGGGAUCUGAAGAGUGAGCUUGGAGAGUUUCCACAAAGCACAUGCGACUAACUAAGCAAGAAAGCAGGCAUGUGUUCCCUUUCCUCUCGAUUAAUUCCAUGAAAGCAAGUCAUGAGAACAAAUCAGAACAAGGAAUCAUUCAACAUCACCAAUUCACGACAUAUUUUCUGGAUGAACACAGGCUGUGUUACACAGCAUAUACAAUUCUAUAUUCUUCUAGACGCACACACAUUACCCUAUUCACACUUACCUCUCCCCUGGCAUAACGUUUAUUUCCAGAAAGAAUGAGCGUCAUGAACUAUGCCUCUGGAAAAAACACCGAAAACAGAACCAAUGUAACUGGAAAACAGUGUGUUCUAAAUCUACAUAUAUCAGAAUCACGUACAAAGCUAGUAUAGUUAGACAUGGUAGGAUCUACACCAUGCAGUUCUAAUGAAGCACAAAGAUAACACAUUACCACAAAGAGAGCACUGCAUGAUAUAACGAGUGAACUGUAAAAUGUAAAGAGAAUUUACUCGAUCUCAACAUGUUAUCAGCAAAAUUACCAACCUGACUGUAAAAUUUAUCUAAGAAACCUGCUUAAAGCAUAGCUUUCAAGCCCUGUGGACGAAGGCGACUCCAGGACACCUGAAACAAGCCACAAUAUCAAGAUAGAAAACAAAAAACAGUAUCAAUGGUCAGUUAUGUUUUGAGGGAAAACAGGUAUGGUGUUGCACCAUUCAGACGACCAAGGCAGAAGUUGUAAACCCCAGCAUCAGAGUUAAACCUCUAGAAGCAAAAGGUCUGCAUGCCCCGAACAAGGCAACACUGUUCCUGAAAAAUGCAGGGGGAAAUCAAUAAUGUCCAGAGGGAUGACUAAGGAAACUCACACCGUUAUGCUAUACAUUUCAUAGAGCUAAAGGUAGGAGCACCCAACAUAUCAGACAUUCAGACUUCAUAUUGCACAGAAACAAAAUCCACAUAAUACUGUGUACUGACAAGGAAAAUACUAUUGACCCAUCUUGUUACUUACAAGAUGAUAUCAACACUAAAGUACAAAACUGAUAUUACAGAAAGAAAAGAAGACCCAUAUGAACAUCCCUUCAAAAUAUGAUAUCUCAGAGUAUGGAUACAUGAUUUUUUUUUUUUUUUUUCCCCUCCAGGAAUUACAAUAUAGGAAACUAAGCGAAAUCUGACAAAGCAAUAGAAAUGAACCUCAGAAAUUUUCAUUCUAAUCAGAGUUUUCAUACAAGCUUGUAUUCUAUACACUUAAUAUAAAAUCCGCUGGAAAAGAACAAUAUAUGACAGUUGAUUCCACAUUGCAGCAAAGUAUGUCCAGGACAAGUAGACCAUCAGACUUGACCAUAAGAAUCAAAAAGAAAAAAAAAUUGAAUUCUGAUUGAUACUAACAAAACUGACUGCGGGUACCAGUAGAUAUCAAAUUUCUUACCUCCAUCAAAUGUUCAUCAUCUGAUAUAUUAAGAGAAAGACGAAGAUCAGUUAAUGACGCUUCUUGCUCCCAACUUAGGGGACCAGAAGAAAAUAGUUCCCCCAAAGUACUGCGGUAAGUAUAUAGUUCAAACCUACAGGACCUUCUUUCUCCAUCACGAGCUGAUGAAUGUUUCCUCCUUGCUUCUUCCCCGAGGCCACAAGAAGAUUCAGCAUCGCUGCUAAAUGAGUCUGCCUGGUGACUAGAGUCAUCUAGCAUAAAAGGUGGCAUAUCACUCUCAUCAUAACUAGUAGCACUACAACUACCAACUGAGCAUGCAUCGCUAUCAGAACAAUCAUCAGCGACUAAGCUUCCUGCACGAACACUCUCACUAAACCCUUUUGAUCUUACCCUGACCAGUUGACAGCAACCAGUAUUGUGAUUGUUAAAGGAAGCUUGCACGUGAGAUUUACCACCCCUAUUUUCAGGUCGGCAAGCAACAGCAUCUACCUUUUGCAUUGAGGAGGCAGAAAAUCGGUGCUUCUGUCCCUCUUUUUCCAGUGAUCGUAUCUUCUUGGGGUUUCCUGUGCAUGAUUCAGCACAUCCAGACAAGUUGUAGGGUGACGGCCUCUUUAACAUUCUAGCAGAGACAACACUAGGCUCAUGGAGGAGUAUGUUGUUCGUUUGAGGCUGUAGCUUCUGAUGUACGUCUGAUCCAGUCAGUGUAGAUGACUUCAACGAACCAGAUAUCUGCGAAAAUGAUUACAAGCCAGUUAGUUAACGUGUAAGCUCAUUAGCACAUUAGUUAAAGAUUAUUUCAAACAAACAAUAUGUAACAAGACAACGCAGAUUGCCACCUCCAACCAGAUCCACAAAAUUCAUUGAAAUGGAAGAGGAAACAUAGCACACGUGUAAUCUUAAUGAAGAAAAGACACAAAGAACUUAAACAAGAGCAUAAUAGCUUUAAAAGUGAAAGCAUGACAUAAGGUUAAAACGAAAUUACCUUUCCAAUUGCAACCCAUUCCUCAUCUUGCCACGACUGUCGGACCCUGAGGUUGACUUGAUGGAAUGUAAAUUCCGCUGGAGUCCCAAGUAACCGAACCACAUAGUAGUUUCCAGAUAACUCCUCUCGAACAGUGGCAGCUUUCCAGGAAUGGUUAUCAAGAACUUCCACCAGUUCACCAGUCUCCCAUCUCUGGACAUCCACUUGGGGAGGACACGGCCUAAUUAUCUUCCUCGCAACUCUCUCAGUCACUGUCUCCUCGUGUUCAAGGUUGAAAGAGCAAUAUCUAACAUUGUAGGUAUGACCAUUACCCGAAACAAUCUCAGCGCAUCGCCACGCACCAUAAGGUGCUUCUUUGUUGCUAAACACCUCAACUCGACUUCCUUUUCUGAAUCUCAUGAUGGUUCACUCGGUCGACUUAAUACCUGCGAAAAAGAAACAAAAUCUCCAUAUAUGAGCACCUCUAUCAAAAGAAAAAGGCUAACUAGCAAACAACCAAAACAGAAGAUCAUACAUUUUUCUUUUUAUAAGAAUCUAAGAAAAAGAUACAAUCUUAAGCCGAAAGCUCAAUAAUACAAAUUUCAAAUAGACUCCGCUAAAAACAUAUUCCUUGUCAUAAAUUAUUGCAGGAACACAGAUCGUAAGAAGCUGCAUCAAAAUUAUUCGUAAGGAGAAAGAAGAAUAGACAUAAUCGCGAUCAAUCACAAAAUAAAGCAAUAUUAAUCCAAAUUCACUUCAAAAAGUUUUUAACAAGGAGCCGUAAAAUCAAUAAAACAAGCGAAGAAUCUCGAUCCAGUUUUGUUUUUUGUUUUCGUUUUUGUUUUGAAGGGGACAGAUCAAAGGAUGAACAGCAACAUUGAAACAAUCAACCAAGCCGAAAUAUAGAAUAAAAAAGAGAGAGAGAGAGAGAAAAUUGAACAAGAGAGAUACCUUCUGUAAUGCCUGAAUGAGAAUUUGAUCGCCGGAAGUGAUCGAAUUGCUCUCUUGAUCGAACAAAUUUUGGAAGAGAAAUUGGGGGAUUAGGGUUUCGGGUAAUGGAAAUAUGGAAACACAAAAUUGGGUGUUAAGAAAUUUAUAUAUUUCUUUGUUUUUUAUUUAUUAUUUGUUUAAAAAAAAAAAUUGAAUUUCGUGACGUGGGAUUUAAGUUAAAAUCUUUAAAACCAGAAAUAAGGAGAGUCAGACAACCCAUAAUAUUAAUGACGGUUCGAUUUGCAAAUGUUAAUGCUUUGUUUUUGUUUUUAACUCCCUUUCUUAGAGCGUGGACACGCGCGUUAAUUGUGUUUUUAAGUUCCCUUAAUUUUAUGAUGUACUGGUUUAACAAAAUCAACUAAUGUAGAUGUGUUUUUUUUUUUUUUUUUAGCCAAGAUUACACUUAAUGCUCUCUUGUAAUAAUACCUCAACUAUACAUUUCUAAUAAUACUUACAUUCUUAGCAAAAGGAUUAUUUAUUUUUGAUGUGUUCUUAUAUUAAAUUACCAUUUUAAUGAAAUAAAAACCACUUUUAAAUUGACAUUUUGCUGGAUAUGUAACUUAGAAAUUAGUUGUUCGGUUGAUGAUUAAAUUGUAGUAGUACACUAGCUAUUAUCUUCAAUAUAUUUAUAUAUAUAAAAAAAACUAGAAAGUAGGCGUGUGGUUUAGUUUGAAGUUUCAACCACCAUGGGAGUCUUCUAUUAUUCUAGAUUUUAGUUUGAAACUUGGUAAAAAGCUAGUACGUAAAUUUUCAUUCUGUUUCUUCUUGUAUUUGUUGUCGUCAAUUAUGACCAGCUUUUGUAUACGAGUCUUUCACUUGAUAGAGCUAAAAAGUCAAUACAUUUGUUGUUUGUUUUAACAACAUAGAAAACAAAAGUAAUAUUGUAUUCAGGAAAAUGUAAAUAGGAAAAGGAAAGUGUAAACUAGCUUCUCAAGUGGGGUACGUAACGUGUUGGGAAUAUCCGCUUUUAGGAGGUUAUCGACGACGUAAACAUUCUCCUCAUCUCUCUCUUUUUAAGUUGCUUAAGAUCAUCCUCAAUGGUAGGAUGUUAGGUGUAUCUUAGAUGAAUUAAUGAUUUAAUUUAAAUGAAAAUGUUAAUUAAAAUGUAAGAUAUGGUAUCUUAUAUAAGAUACAAAAACAAUGUUUAAGAGACGGUGACGUGGCAGUUUCUGAGUGGAUGUUGAAAUAAAUAUUUGGGAUAAAGAAAAAAUUAGAAAUAUUAUGCGAGCUUGUAUAAUAUUUUUACAAUUUGAUUAUAGAAGACGAACAAGAUACAUAUACAAAAUUUGAUGUCAAUUAAUUCGUAAUGGCAGAAUCUUCCGGAAGUACACGAAUGGAUUUCACAUAUUCUACAAAUAUGCAUUCAAAUCCCAUUAAUAUAAUAGCCAUUAGAACUCGAAUUUGUGAUCGAGUUAUGCAUGAACAAUUGAAGAACGAUUUGGUCGAGCAGAUAUGGACAAAAUAUUUCACAAAUUACGUUUAAAUUAAUUAUGGUUUAUGUUAUUUAUGCAAUAAAUUAUAUUUCAUAUAUGUUUUAAAAAUUUUAUUUUGCAAUAACUAUUAUGUUUUUAAUAAUUAAAAUUGUUAAGAUGCACAACUUAAUAACCUACCAAUAAUCCUGCAUAAAAAACAAAAAUACAAAUCUUAAAUUUUACACUUUUCAAAUUUAUUACUAAAUUAAUCGUAAGAUACACAUAUAAUAUCCUACCAUUGAGGAUGCUCUAAGAAUAAUUUCAAAGUUACUUACAAUUUUUGAUUCAUAUAUAUUAUAAUAUGUGUAAACAAUGAUAAAACAUGCAAAAGAGACGUGACUCAGAAGAGUACAACACCAAACUCAUACCUUAAAGCCAUCAUCAUAUUCUCUCUCUUUUUUUCUUUUCUUGAGUUCGUUAAAAAAGAAAAAAGGCUGAAUGGCUCGUCAUAUAUGUGAUAUUAAUUUGUAACUAAUUCGGUUUUGUUCUUUUUUUCUUCUUACUUACUUUUUUAGAGUUUUUCUUUUUUUUUUCUUUUAGCCUUUGGCUUUGGAAUAAUAUCAACCAAAUUCAAACCUAACAGAUAUAUCAAUGAUUUGAAGAUUUAUUAUAUUUUCGCCCUAGUGUUUCCUAUGUUUAUUUCGGCUAAACAUGAGUUGUCUACUUCUUAAAUCUAUUUUACGGUUGUCCUAGAACAAGUUUACGAAGAUGGUAUCUCUAUCAUAGAGAUGGCAAAAGUUAGACUCGUCUAUUUUGAGUAUAGAGUAGCAAUGGAUAAUAGAUAGCAUAUAAGAAAGUCAAAUGCAUGAAUGGCUAAUUACUACUACAACUCGUUUGGUCUAAAUAAUGACGACAACUGGUUUGGUAUGGAUUUAGAUAAGUCGGACUUGGGUAACCUGUUUUGAAUAAGUCCAAGUCUAGCGAAGGUAGCAUCUUAAAGAUCACUAAUUAAUUUUUUAUUUUCCCCUGGAAAGCCCAAACACACACAACUUAUAUGUUGUUCACAGCCAUCGAGUAUCAAACAUUACAGUACUCAAUUAAUCAAUCAAACCCGGUCAAUGCGGUCAAAAUCAGAGAACCAUGCUAAAGCGACCAUGGUCCUUACAAAACCAAUGUGCAAUGCAAAAAUAAAAUGGAAAACCACACUGUGAGCGAGUUCUUAUAAACCUGUAUAGCUAAAUAUCUCUAAUUUUGUUAUCUAUAACAACUACUUUUUAGAACUCCGAAUAAGAGACCUAAACUGCAACCUUCACCUCUAAAUUCAUCUCCAACCCAAUAAUUGCAACCAUACUAUAAAUCUCAUCAGAUUUUGGGUGAGACUUAUCACCUGAAGAGAAACCUUGCAUCGUUAAACAAGACCCUUCGGUUUCAUCAACAUCGAUCCAACUGAAUCCAGCUUCUUUACUUACAUUUUUCUUCCUCAUCGUUUUCCUAAUUUCUGCAGCUUUAUCCCACUCUUCUCUCUCUGCAUAGAUGUUAUACAUCUGAACGUAAGAACCCGACAAUUCCGGUUUCAUCUUUAUUGCAAGCUCAGCCACUUUUGCUCCCAAUUUCACAUUCCCAUGCAGCCUACAAGACCCCAGCAUGCUCUGCAGCAUCGACUCUCCUGGUCCUCCAGGAACCUCACUCAUAAGCUCCUCUGCUUCUUUUAAUCUCCCAGCUCGGCCAAGCAAAUCCACCAUACAUGAGUAAUGCUCAUGAGACGGCUCAAGAUUGUAGUCUUUCAUCAUCAUGUUGAAAACCUCAUACCCUUUGUCUACCAUACCUUUUCUAUUACAAGCUGUUAACACAGAGAGAAAAGUGACUAGGUCUGGUGCUAUAUUUUCUUUUUUCAUCCUGUGGAACAAUUGCAUCACUGAAUCAAAAUCACCGUGGCUUGAAUAAGCUGAUAUUAUCGAUGUCCAAACAAAUUGGUUCCUUAGAGACAUCUCGUUAAAGACUUUCUCAGAUUCAUUUAUGUUCCCACGCUUGGCAUACAUAUCAAGAAGCGCGCUUGAAACAACAGGACAACUAUUUAAACCCAAUUUCAGUAUCUGAGCAUGGCAACGCUGACCGUGCUUUACAGAUAUAUCCUCUGCAAAAGCAAUUGCAUUCAAGACACUUCCGAAAGUGUAUUCAUUUGGCAUUGUUUCCGCUGCUGCUAAUAAGAACAUCUUGAGAGCUUCAUGUGAGAAUCCAUUUUGGGCAAAUCCAGAUAUCAUAGCAUUCCAGGAAAUAAUCUCCCGAAAAGUUAUAUCAUCGAAAGCCUUCUUGGCAUCUUCCAGAGCACCAAACUUGGCAUACAUGGUGAUGAAACUGUUGCCUACAGAUGGUUCUGAAACAAAACCAGUCUUCAUGCAUAGCCCAUGAACUUUAAGCCCUUCUUUGAUUUGCUCAUUGCACUUCAAGGCAUUGAUUAAUCCAACAAAUGUGACCUCGUUUGGGUAAACUCCAUCUAAUCGCAUCUUAUGAAAGAUGGACACAGCAUCAUCUUUAUUCGCGGAAAUCAUCGUUGUCCAAGAGACAACAUUCCGCUCAGUCAUUUGGUAAAACACUGAUUUCACAGCUUCUAAAACCCCACACAUCGAGUACCUUGACAUCAAAAUAUUACCAACUUCCACAAGUGUUUCAUAACCUCUUUUUAUGCACAAACCAUGGAUUUGCCUAGCCAGCUUCAGAUCAGUUUCGUGACAACAAGUUGUAAUCACGCUAGUAAAAGACACAUGAUCAAGCUCCACACCUUCCCGCAUCAUGUCCCUAAAGACACUCACUGCUUCAACCCCGAAAUUGCCUCCUUGAGAAAGUCCUGACAAUAAAGAGUUCCAUGAAAUCAUAUCUUUAAGCGGCAUUUCAUCAAAAACUCUCCUAGCUCCUCUGAAACUUCCAGACCGCGAAUACAUUGUAAUAAACGAAUUUCCAACAACAAGAUCAGACUCCAGUCCGGAUUUCACCAUCGUAGAUUGCAACUGCAAGCCUAAACGAAAUCCUUUAGAGCCUACACAGAAGCUAAGAGCUGUGGAAUAAGUGAAUGCGUCGAAAACCACUCCAGUUGAUUUCAUCCUAACAACAAAAUUCAGAGCAACUUGAUUGUCAUCAAAGCCAGAGAGUAUAGUGUUCCAAGAAACAACGUCAGGGUCAACUAGGUUCUCAAAUAUGCACAAAGCAUUGUCAAAUCUACCGGCUUUACGGUACAUACCCAUUAAAGCGUUUUGAACACAGACAAAAGAAGUAAACCCAGAAGUUGUGGAGAACCCGUGGAUUUGGCAACCGCGUUUCAAGUCUCCACGACAUGCUUUAAUCGCAAGACAAAGAGUAACUUCGUCCAUAUUGCGACAACGAAAACCCAGCUGGAGAUUUUCCUUGAAGAUCGCGAGGGCUUGUGCCGGAGAGUUUCUCCGUAACGAUUCACUGAUUGUAUGGUUAAUGGAAGUUGUCGCGUUUCUUUGGGAACUUCCAUCGAACAGUUUGUGAGCAAUUCUAUAAGGAGAGUAAGAUCUGUGAAAAGGUAACGAUGUUGAGCGAUUACAGUGUAGAUAACUCAGAAGGGUCAUGAGAAGCAAGCAAACUAGUCGAAUUCUUGUUUACGUAGGAGGGAACUAAUAUCGGAAGAAGAGAGGUUAUGGCAAUGGUGGUGAACAGAGAGAGACUUUCAGCACAAAGUAGAGUUUUUGAGGGCAUAUUUGUAAAUAAUGAUAGAAUAAGAGGGCAAUACGGAGAAGCUGGAGUUUGUUCUUUUUAAGGCAUCGGCUAGGUUUUUUCUCCUGCUCUCAGUCAGUUUUUAAUCCUGUGGUUCUGCGUGCGUAUUCUCAGGUAAAACCCUAGCGAUUCACGCCCUGAAUCUUCUUCGUUGCUCUUCAUAUUUCUCCGAUUUUGCAGUCUCUAGCUGGAAUUUUGAUGUCGAAGCAUACGUUUCUCUAAUGUGUGUGUGCUAUGAAUUUUAUAGAAUUUGCACGUGUGAUCGUUUUAGUGUAUUCGAUGGCCUACGAGUUUCUUUGUCUUGAAAAGUUAAAGGUUUGUGUUAGCUUUGAGCAGUUGUGGGCAUGAGUUGUUGUAGAAGAAGAACUUGUAAUUUUAGACGGAUUGCGGGACGAAUUAUCUAUGUGCACAUUGUUGAGCUCAUGAAGAUCUCAUGUCUGCUACUACAUUGUCAUUAAUUGAUGAGCCUACAAGUUUUAUAUCUAUCCAGUUGUUAGGCACUGACUUUAGAGUUGAUUUGCUGAUUUGCGGCCAGUGUGAAGUAUCCUGUUUUGUGGGAUUUAGUUUUUCACUGCUAUAAUUUUCUGUCGCAGGUGAAAACUAUAUGCCAAAUGAUCUUUCUUCUGCGGUGUUUGUUAAGCAGUAUUUUGCAUGACUUUUUAUUAUUCUGAGUCUUUUUUGUGUGUGUGUUUUUUUUGUCAGGUCUUAACUUAAGCUUUAGUAAUUCCAAAACAUGGCAAAAAAGAAGAAUCCUCAAGUUUUUAUGGAUGUAUCCAUUGAUGGCGAUCCAGCUGAGACUAUGGUUUUUGAGGUACUAUAGCGUUAGGCUAUGUUAAUGUUCACUUUCUUGUAUUUUCCAUGAUCCAACAAAAGUGUUGACAGUGUAAACUUGUUUCUUUAGCUUUUCCCUGAAGUCGCUCCCAAAACAUCCGAGAAUUUCCGUGCACUAUGCACAGGUUUGUUUUCUGUCCUAUUAAGCUUGUUGCUUCCAUGCAGCAUAUAAAUUUGACUGUUGGCUUUCCUUCUCCUUGACACUUAUUUCCUUUUUAUAAAUUCUGUGUAGGGGAGAAAGGCAUUGGACCCAGAAGUGGAAAACCUUUGCAUUACAAAGGAUCCUUUUUUCAUAGAAUACUGAAGGGUUCCUCAGCACAGGUUUCUAUCUGCAUUUCUCAAUUAUUGAUAUGAUGUUUCAGUCUUAUACUCUUGGUUUCUUUUUCAACAUUGGUUGGAUGCUCGUCUUUUAGUCUGUUGCUAUUCUCUAUGCUGUAGGAUACAGGUCUGAUCGCCACUCCUGCUUUUCAUGUGAUAUAGUUUUAAGGUUGUACUACUAGUUGUUUAUGGUCAAAUGUUAGGCCUUCUCAUGCAAAGAGUACAGUUUAUGUACAAACGACUUCACGGUGUUACUAGUCUAACAACCUCUUUUGAUUAUUUUUUCAGGCUGGUGAUUUUGUGAACCGAGAUGGUAUGCACACUUACUGUUCAAUUUAGCUUCUAGCAUAUAUCAAAUACAGCCAUCAGUUAAUUUAUAUUGAUCUUCUAUCUAUGGAACACAGUUUGUGGCUUAUUAACUGUGAUUGCAAAACUAAAUUUCAUUCAUGUAUCAUAGUCAUCUGAAUAUACCAUUAAACUGUGUCAACCUAUUGGGUGUAUGGAACUGCAUUCAUUAGAAUCCUGUGAAGGUUCUCGAAUUCAUUAGAUAGUGCUCAGUCGGUUAUGCAGUGAACAUUAGAAGUUCAUUAUCCUCUGACAAAAUUUGUAUAUUUUAUCCACUUUCCAGGUACAGCUGGGGAAAGCAUAUAUGCCGGAAAAUUUCCAGGUUUGUUACCAUCGCGCUCUUUAUCUGUGAUCUCUUUUCAAUUACCCCAGCAAUACAUGAGAGGCUAGAAAGUCUGUUGUGUGUGUGAUAUCUCAUUUCUUAAAAUUGUAUUAUAAAGCAAUAUGUCAUUUUGGAGGCCUUCCUUUAUUGAUUAAGCACUCGUCUCUUGUUAAGAACUUAAGAUCUCAUCUUCUACAUUUUUCUUUUGAAAUAUGUUACUGAGUAGCACAAUCGACUUUUUAUGUUACCAGAUGAGUCACCAAAACUAAGGCACGAUGAGCCUGGUCUUUUAUCAAUGUCUGUUGCUGACCGUGACAAGUUUGGAUCACACUUUCAUAUAACCUUCAGGCCAAAUCAGCAGCUUGAUAGGUUUCCUUCUCAUUGUUACUUUCUUAUUUCAGAAAUUUUUAAAUUUUCCUUUUGUUGCGUUAUUUCUGACUGUUAUAUAUUUUCAUCAGAAAUAAUGUUGUUUUUGGAAAGCUAAUUCAAGGGAAAGAGAUAUUAAAAAAAAUUGAACGUGUGGGUGAUGAGGGAGGUAAACCUUCUGUCAGUGUGAAGAUAAUCCGUUGUGGAGAAAACUCUGGAGGUACGGUUAUUCUACUAUUGGUUAAUGCUACAUAUGUCAUGAUUUCACAAUCAUAACUAAUACACGUCAAUGCAUGAUAUGCCCAUACAGACAAGAAGAAAGAUAGUGAUGGUCGAAAAAAGGGAAAGCACAAGAAAUCUUCACGUGAGAGAACAAAGAAGAGGCGAAGACACUCUUUAUCUGAAUCUGAGAGCUCUUCAGAUUCUGAGACAGAUUCCUCAGAAUCUGAUAGCGAGUCAGAUUCAGAUUUGUCUUCAUCUUCCAACCAUAGUUCCUCGAGCCAUGAAAGGCAGAAGAAGAGAAGAAGAGGUUUAAAGAAAGAUAAACACAGGCGGUCUAAAAGAAGAGAUAAGCGCCAUGAGAAAAAGCGGAGGAUGCGUGAUAAGAGAUCAAAACGAAAAUCAAGAAGGUAAGUCUUGUACACUUCUCUUGUUUAUAGCCAUAGUUUCCCUGUCAGUGCUGGUUGCUGCUUAGGAGAAACCUAUGUGAUUACUUGUCAUGUCAACUUAUAUUUUUAAAAAUCCAUUAUUUUUAUGAAUUUGACUAGUCUUGUUCCUCGAGGAUGUUAUAUUUUGGUAGGCAUCCUAACAAUAGUUUGCUUAAUUGGUUGUGCUCCUGAGUUAUUAACUUUUGUUCUGCAACUUUGCAGGUCCCUAGACAGUCUUACAGAUGAAGACAGUGAUAGUGUAAGUGAAGCAAGUUUUAGCGAUGCCAAUGUUGAAACUGGAGCAAAAAAGAAGAAGCCCAGACUCUCUCAUAGAACAGGUAAUCUCUAAAACUCAGACUUUUGGCUUAUGUUUCUGCAAUUAUCGUUUUUUUCAUUGGUCUGUUCAAAAUCAAGAUAAUGGAUGGGAUAAAAUACUUUUUGUGCCAUUUGAUCAUUACAUAUUUCAGUAUCAAUUUGCCUUUCGUUUAAGCAUUGUGCUGAUCAUGCGGGUUCAUAUUGCUGCCAAUUUCUAUAGGCAGUUUAAUAAUGUUUCCGUACACUCUUAACAUUCUGUUUUUGACUGCAAUUUUCAAUCAGGCAAUUUUGAACUUCACCAUGAAAAAAGGAAGGGACCAGAUUUGCUUGACAAGGAUGAUGGUGAAGCACCCUCAGAAAACAGAGGUCCAACAAGUAAUGGAAUUUCACAUGCUGCAUCAGAACAGAUUUCUGAUAGGCAACCAGAUAUUGUCGAUGACCAUCCUAGCAAAUCUAGGUCUAGGUUCUAUUCUCUCUAUCACCUCAGUUAAUUGGUUAUCUUUCUUUUAAGUCAAUAUGGAAUCUUAUUAAAAGUUGAUGUGCAGGAGCCGGAGCUUGAGUACUAAGAGGACUGUGAGUAGGAGCAUGAGUAUUAGUCCCCGGAGGAGUCAGAGUAAGAGCCCAAGUUUAAGUCCUAGAAGGAAUGGGGGCAGAAGUCCUGCCAAAGGUACCCGCCAAAUGAAGAACUUGACAAACAGUAAAAGAGAAAGCCCAGUGAGUGAGGAGAAGGGCAGGCAUGGUAGAAAAAGCCCUACCAAAAGUGUUAGUAGAAGUCCGGCGCGAAUAAAAAGAGGAAGAGAUGUUAGUAGAAGUCCUUCAAGGAGUAUAAGUAGAAGUCCAUUGGGAAUCCCGAAAAGGGGAAGAGAUAUUAGUAGAAGUCCUUCAAGGAGUGUCAGCAGAAGUCCGUUGGGGAUCCCAAAAAGGGGAAGAGAUAUUAGUAGAAGUCCUUCAAGGAGUAUCAGUAGAAGUCCGUUGAGGAUCCCGAAAAGGGGGAUCAGCAGAAGUCCUUCACGGAGUAUAAGCAGAAGUCCACUGGGGAUCCCCAAAAGGGUGAUCAGCAGAAGUCCAGUGAGAGGUCGGAUUUCCAGAAGCCUUAGCAAGAGCCCGGUAAGAUCUGCAUCUCGUGGGAGCCUUAGGAGGGGCCCACUAAGAAGAUCAUCAAGAAGAUCACGUAGCAGAACUCCCGCUCGAGCUUCUAGAAGAAGCCUGAGCCGUAGUCCCAUUCGGUUAUCUAGAAGAAGCCUGAGCCGUAGUCCCAUUCGGUUAUCUAGAAGAAGCUUAAGCCGGAGUCCAAUUCGAUCACCUAGGAGAUCAGUGAGCAGGAGUCCAGUCCGAUUAUCUAGGAAGAGUGUGAGCAGGAGUCCAGUUUGUUCAUCCAGGAGAAGUAUCAGCAGGAGUCCAGUCCGACUAUCUAGGAAGAGUGUGAGCAGGAGUCCUGUUCGAUUGUCCAGGAGAGGUAUCAGCAGGAGUCCUGUUAGAGGAAGAAGAAGAAUUAGCAGAAGUCCAGUUCCUGCGAGGAGAAGGAGUGCACGGCCUAGAUCUCCUCUUGGUGAUCGUAGAAGAAGUUUGUCAAGAAGUGCUUCUCCUGAUGGGUGCAUCAGGAGAGGGAGAGGAUUUAGCCGGAGAUUCUCAUACGCCCGUAGAUACAGAACUAGUCCAUCUCCUGACCGAUCUCCUUAUCGCUUUAGUGAUAGGAGUGACCGUGACAGGUGGAUAGUCUGCAGCCAAUAUAACUCCCCUUUCUGUUACACACUUCCGUACUGAACAUUCUUUUUAUUACGUCUUCUCUGUAGAUAUCGAAGUCACAGAAGGUUCUCGCCAAGACGGUUUAGAAGAAGCCCAGUCAGAGGAAGAACACCUCCAAGGUACUUACUCAAAUCCUCUUUGGUACAUUUUCGUUUCAGUGUAUCCUAAACAUCUAAAAGUCUCAUGAAUAGAGAAGUAAAUUUGGUGCUCCAAACAAAAUUAGUUGUUGAUUACACAACUCAAAAGUAUUAUUAGGUAUAGAAGAAGAAGCCGGUCUGUAUCGGCUGGUCUCCGUUAUCGCAGGAGGCGGUACAGCCGCACUCCUAUCCGUAGCCGUUCACCACCUUACAGAAAGAGAAGGUCACAAUCUGCUAGCCGCAGCCCGAGUCCAUCCAGAUCAAGAUCAAAUUCAAAAUCUCCCAUUGGGACCGGGAGAGUAAGAUCAGUGUCAAGAUCACCAUCCAAGGCAAGGUCCCCAUCGAAGUCGGAUUCGUCAUCCUCGGAUGGUAGCUCAGGCGGGAAAAAGCGACUAGUAGCCUAUGAUUAAUGAAUAAGGACCCUCAAGUGUUUUGUUAUUUUAUACUAAGAAGAGAUGGUAAAAAGAAAGUAUGUAGUUUUAUUCUGUUACAUAUGCAUUGUCUUCUGGUUCUGAAUUUGAUGAUGCUCCAACAUUGUUAUAUCUAUGUUGAUGUUUGCCGACAUUUUUUUUUUUUUUGAUUGUUCCUAUUGCCGACAAAUGCUUUACUUCCAUUAUUCGUUGCGGAGUAUGUUUUGGUUCAAUAAUAACUAACACUGACAUAUUACCAUAAAAAUUAUUUAGUUGAAUGAUAUCUUAUUGAAAAUUCAGUGAUGAUGAUACAUGCAUAAUUGCAUAUUAAAAACCCGUGGUAACUUCUUAAGUAAAGAAUUAGAACCUAAUCUCACACUAGUGUAAUUGGUGACCACCGACAGGUGAUGGCAAAUAAAAAAAAGAACAGGCUGUUACCAGAGCCGACAACGUGGCUUCUUCUAUUUUUAUUUUAUUUUUACUUAAUCCAACAAUCAUAAUUUGUCCUGUCUUAUUCUUGCAAUGAGAUUUUGCCACGUCAUCUCACGAAGCUGGCGCGUCAAGUGGCUCACUUUAUAAAGCAGAGAUGGAGAAGAGAGAACAUGAAUCGAGUCAAGCCAAGCCGAGCCGAGCUAAACGGUGGGAGAGGAAGAGGCUACCGUCAUCUUCUACUUGUCAUUAAUAUAUUAAGAUAAAAAAAAAAGGAAAACACACACUCUUCUGCGAUAAAAUAGGCAAAUCAGAUUGUAGAAGAAGCUUGAGAUCAAAGAGAUAGGGAGAGAGAGAGAGAGAGAGUGACACAAGAGUGUUAUAACAUCUCUCUUUAGUAGAUUGGGUUUUUUUCGAGAUGCCGUAUUGAAUCGGCGACCGAGUUUUCCAGCUGAAUUUUGCAAAUCCUCUCUCUUUCUCUCUGUGUGUCGGUGGCUGCCAUGGAGGCCAGUGCCGGCUUGGUUGCUGGAUCCUACCGUAGAAACGAGCUCGUUCGGAUCCGACAUGAAUCUGACGGAGGGGUUCGUUCAUCCUUUUGCUUUCUCUUCAUUUGAUAUUUCUUACGAUUUCUCUGUUUUUCUAAAUCUUGUCUCUUUUGGAUCCCAUUUUUUAUUUUUUUUCUACUUAGAUUUCGCUUCCUUUGAGUGUUGAGUUAGUUAGUGUUGGUAGAUCCACUGUCUGAAAAUGGAAACUUUUCUGCUUCGAUACUUCAAUUGUUGUGUGAUCUAUCAUCAAUUAAUUCCGCUUCUGUUUUUUUUCCUUUUUUAAAAUCUCGUAUAUAAAGUGUCGGUGGAUUCAGUUUAGAUUCUUGAUCUAAGAAUUUGGUUUUUCAGCUGAGAUUAGCUAAAUCUCUGACUCUCAAAGUCUUCAACUUUACGCACUUUUUGAGAUUUAGCUCAACUGGAUCUCGUUAGUUCCCGUAUAGGCUAUUAUACUGCAAUGACUGUGAUUGCUCUUCGUUCAGAUCUGCAUUGAUUUGGAGAUGGUUCUUGUUAAUUGUUUUGAUUUAGAUUCAUGCUGAUCUGUUUUGGUAGUUUACAAUUCGUCAUGACUAACAAUGAUGCAAUGCUGGCCAAUAUGCAGACCAAACCUUUGAAGAAUAUGAAUGGCCAGAUAUGUCAGAUCUGUGGUGAUGAUGUUGGACUCGCUGAAACUGGGGAUGUAUUUGUCGCUUGUAAUGAAUGUGCCUUCCCUGUGUGCCGGCCUUGCUAUGAGUACGAGAGGAAGGAUGGAACUCAGUGCUGCCCGCAAUGCAAGACUAGAUACAGACGACACAGGGGUCAGUUUUCCUUCUAUUUGGCUAUUGCUAUGCAUGGAUUUUUUUUGUUUUGUUUCAUUGCUGAUUUCCUGAACCAACUUUUCAAAUGUUGCAGGGAGUACUCGUGUUGAAGGAGAUGAAGAUGAGGAUGACGUUGAUGAUAUCGAGAAUGAGUUCAGUUAUGCCCAGGGAGCUAACAAGGCCAGACACCAACGCCAUGGCGAAGAGUUCUCUUCGUCCUCUAGACAUGAAUCUCAACCAAUUCCUCUUCUCACCCAUGGCCAUACGGUAGGAACCUACAUUUUUGCUUUAGACUCUAGAGUGAUUUAUAUUACAAAAAUUUCUAGAUCGAACUUUUUUACUUUUCACAAUAAUGUUAGAUGUGAACAGAAAAGUUUCUGAUAUUGUUAAUUGAGUCUGUUUUCAAAUAGAGACUUGACCUUUUUCUAUACACAGGUUUCUGGGGAGAUUCGCACGCCUGAUACACAAUCCGUGCGAACUACUUCUGGUCCUCUGGGUCCUUCUGACAGGAAUGCUAUUUCAUCUCCAUAUAUUGACCCACGGCAACCAGGUAUUCAUAUAUUUUUUUCUUUGUGCACUUGGCCUUCAUUAGAUAUGAUUCCUAUUCAUUUUUACAACAGUAUAUUUUUUGUGUACCAUAACUGAUAGAAUCCGUUACAAAUUGCAGUCCCUGUAAGAAUUGUGGACCCGUCUAAAGACUUGAACUCGUAUGGGCUUGGAAAUGUUGACUGGAAAGAAAGAGUUGAAGGCUGGAAGCUGAAGCAGGAGAAGAGUAUGUUACAGAUGACUGGUAAAUACCAUGAAGGGAAAGGAGGAGAAAUUGAAGGGACUGGUUCCAAUGGCGAAGAACUCCAAAUGUAAGUUGAAGUACUAGACCACAAACUUUGCUGUCCAACUCAAAAAUCUCUUGUUGCGAUGCUAAUAACUAGUCUUAGUUUAUGAUUUUGUAUUGAUAGAAAUAAUUAAGCAUCUGCUUUGCUAUAUUCUUAAUCUUAUGGUUCUCGUACUUACAGGGCUGAUGAUACACGGCUUCCUAUGAGUCGUGUGGUGCCUAUCCCUCCUUCUCGCCUAACCCCUUAUCGGGUUGUGAUUAUUCUCCGACUAAUCAUCUUGUGUUUCUUCUUGCAAUACCGUACAACUCACCCUGUGAAAAAUGCAUAUCCUCUGUGGUUGACCUCGGUUAUCUGUGAGAUCUGGUUUGCAUUUUCUUGGCUUCUUGAUCAGUUUCCCAAAUGGUACCCCAUUAACAGGGAGACAUAUCUUGACCGUCUCACUAUAAGGUUAGUUUUUAAGUCUAUGAAUUCCCUACUCUUUAUCUUUUUUUGUUUUUCCGUGUAUGUUGACUUUUCCCCUGUAAAUUCAAUUUCAUUUUAGAAAAUGGUGCAUAUUUUACAUUUGAAUAUUGAUUAUUUACAUACAGUAUAUAUAUAUUUAAAAUGUGAAGUUUCGGACUAGAUUAUGAUAAAAGCAUGUCAAAUGAAGUGCCUACUGAGAAUAGAGCUUAGCUAGUAUGCUGAUUUUAUUUGAUGAUGAUUUUGGUUUUCUAACUGUAGAUAUGAUCGAGACGGUGAACCAUCACAGCUUGUUCCUGUUGAUGUGUUUGUUAGUACAGUGGACCCAUUGAAAGAGCCUCCCCUGGUUACAGCAAACACAGUUCUCUCGAUUCUUGCUGUGGACUACCCGGUAGAUAAAGUAGCUUGUUAUGUUUCAGAUGAUGGUUCUGCUAUGCUUACCUUCGAAUCUCUUUCUGAAACUGCUGAGUUCGCAAAGAAAUGGGUACCAUUUUGCAAGAAAUUUAACAUUGAACCUAGGGCCCCUGAAUUCUAUUUUGCCCAGAAGAUAGAUUACUUGAAGGACAAGAUCCAACCUUCUUUUGUUAAAGAGAGACGAGCUAUGAAGGUCUGUUGAAAGAUCCACCUGCUUCUCAUCCAUUCGACAAACUAGAGACUGACUGACUUUUUCCUUGGCUUGUAUUGACAGAGAGAGUAUGAAGAGUUUAAGGUGAGGAUAAAUGCCCUUGUUGCAAAAGCACAGAAAAUUCCUGAAGAAGGCUGGACAAUGCAGGAUGGUACCCCGUGGCCUGGUAACAACACUAGAGAUCAUCCUGGAAUGAUUCAGGUACAGUGAGGCAAUCCCUUGAUUAUUAUAGAGGGAUUAACGAAAAGGCAACAACUUUAUAUUGGUUCUUUUCAAUUUCAGGUGUUCUUAGGCCAUAGUGGGGGUCUGGAUACCGAUGGAAAUGAGCUGCCAAGACUCAUCUAUGUUUCUCGUGAAAAGCGGCCUGGAUUUCAACAUCACAAAAAGGCUGGAGCUAUGAAUGCUUUGGUUUGUCAACUUUCAGAAUCUUAGUGUGUCCUUGAUUUUAUUCUCUUGUUCGCUGCCUAGGAAAUUUUUGUUGUUGUAUAGCCGUUGCUUCGUAUUAUAUUUUUAUAGUAAAUGUGUCUCUAAUUUCGCAUCUCUUUACAUUGACAGAUUCGUGUUUCUGCUGUUCUUACCAAUGGCGCAUAUCUUUUAAAUGUGGAUUGUGAUCAUUACUUCAACAACAGCAAGGCUAUUAAAGAAGCCAUGUGUUUCAUGAUGGACCCUGCUAUUGGAAAGAAGUGCUGCUAUGUCCAGUUCCCACAACGUUUUGACGGUAUUGACUUGCACGAUCGAUAUGCCAACAGGAAUAUUGUCUUCUUUGAUGUGAGUUUCACUCCCCCAUUCCUGUCUUUUGUUUCUCUUUUGUUCAUAUUUUUGUAGGAUUUACUCGUUUCUGCUAUGGUCUGACUUGGAUAUUUGUUAUAUUGGGCAGAUUAACAUGAAGGGGUUGGAUGGUAUCCAAGGUCCAGUAUAUGUGGGUACUGGUACUUGUUUCAAUAGACAGGCUCUAUAUGGGUAUGAUCCUGUUUUGACGGAGGAAGAUCUAGAACCAAAUAUAAUUGUGAAGAGCUGUUGCGGCUCAAGGAAGAAAGGAAAGAAUAACAAGAAGUAUACCUAUGAAAAAAAGAGAGGCAUCAACAGAAGUGACUCCAAUGCUCCACUUUUCAAUAUGGAAGACAUCGAUGAGGGUUUUGAAGGUUUGAUUGAGUUUAUAGUGUAAUAACAUCACUUCUUCAUGUGAUGGUGAAAUCUUACAAUCCUUGUUUAUGCAGGCUAUGAUGAUGAGAGGUCUAUUCUAAUGUCCCAGAAGAGUGUAGAGAAGCGUUUUGGUCAGUCGCCGGUAUUUAUUGCGGCAACCUUCAUGGAACAAGGUGGCAUUCCACCAACAACCAAUCCUGCUACUCUUUUGAAGGAGGCUAUACAUGUUAUAAGCUGUGGUUACGAGGACAAGACUGAAUGGGGAAAAGAGGUCAGUUUUCAAAUGCAGCUACAGACUUCUUUUGUUCUCUUUCUUACAUGUGUGAUGACAUCUUAUUUGGCACUUUUGUUAGAUUGGUUGGAUCUACGGUUCCGUGACGGAAGAUAUUCUUACUGGGUUCAAGAUGCAUGCCCGUGGUUGGAUAUCAGUCUAUUGCAAUCCUCCACGCCCUGCUUUCAAGGGAUCUGCGCCAAUCAAUCUUUCUGAUCGUUUGAACCAAGUUCUUCGAUGGGCAUUGGGAUCUAUUGAGAUUCUUCUUAGCAGACAUUGUCCUAUCUGGUAUGGCUACCAUGGAAGGUUGAGACUUUUGGAGAGAAUUGCUUACAUCAACACCAUCGUCUACCCUAUUACAUCUAUCCCUCUUAUCGCGUAUUGUAUCCUUCCUGCUUUUUGCCUCAUCACCGACAGAUUUAUCAUACCCGAGGUUCGUAAAACUGACCACACUGCUAAUUAGUAUUGGAAUCCCAUUUUGUGAAUGCAUUUUUUUUAAUCUCCAUCAUCUUGUGUCUUAAAGUCCUAACACCAUUGUUGCAGAUAAGCAACUACGCGAGUAUUUGGUUUAUUCUACUCUUCAUCUCAAUUGCUGUGACUGGAAUCCUGGAGCUGAGAUGGAGCGGUGUGAGCAUUGAGGAUUGGUGGAGGAAUGAGCAGUUUUGGGUCAUUGGUGGCACAUCCGCCCAUCUUUUUGCUGUCUUCCAAGGUCUACUUAAGGUUCUUGCUGGUAUUGACACCAACUUCACUGUCACAUCCAAAGCCUCAGACGAAGAUGGGGACUUCGCAGAGCUCUACAUCUUCAAAUGGACAGCUCUUCUCAUUCCACCAACCACCGUCCUACUUGUGAACCUCAUAGGCAUUGUGGCUGGUGUCUCUUAUGCUGUAAACAGCGGGUACCAAUCAUGGGGUCCGCUCUUCGGGAAGCUCUUUUUUGCCUUAUGGGUUAUUGCCCAUCUCUACCCUUUCUUGAAAGGUCUGUUGGGAAGACAGAACCGAACACCAACCAUCGUCAUUGUCUGGUCUGUUCUUCUUGCCUCCAUUUUCUCGUUGCUUUGGGUCAGGAUCAAUCCCUUUGUCGAUGCCAAUCCCAAUGCCAACAACUUCAAUGGCAAAGGAGGUGUCUUUUAGACCCGUAUUUAUAUACUUGUGUGUGCAUAUAUUGAAAACUCGCAAUGGGACAUUCCAAACCCCAAAACACAGUGAACCGGGCAGUUAUGGUGAUUCCAUGUCUUAAGUUUAGCUUUAUCUGAAUAGCCAGAGAGUUGCGAAAUUGUUCGUACACUGUUGUGAUGAUUUUAUAACUUUCUCAGUGGGGAAAUAGAUGUGGAAGACCAAAUGAUACAUAGUCUACAAAAGGGAUUCGUUAUUUUUUGUUAUAUUUAUUUUAUUUAAAGCUUGAUAGACUUGCACUUCUGUAAUGUUGGAGUUUUGUUGUUGUCGUAAAUUUGGGGUUUAUAUGCUCUAAGCUUUUCACUUUAAUACAAAAGUUUCUUUUCAAGAGUUAUGUACGUUACUAACUUACUACAUUGAGAUUGUACCUGAGAUCUGCCAGAUGAACUGAUAGUUGCUUCGUAUGAACUAGAGGAAGUUGUUGGUGGCUCUGUUGGUCUAAAGGAUAAUCAAGUUUUUAUGUAAACUAUUGUUAGCUUAUUUGAAUCAGAAUCUGAUCAAUCAAAGAAUCCAAAAGUAAAUUGCAACGAAAACAAAGAAUGCAUCUUUAUAAUCCCCUCAAAAUUAAUUUUUGAAAUCAAGUGGUAUAAAUUUAGAACUACGAACCCAAUUAGUAUCCACAAUGUGUUUCUCUGAUCCACCCCUAAAGUUCGCCAUGAGAGUCCAUAUCAUUUCCCAAAUCAGGCUUCUUGGUUGUGCUCGACAAGUAUCUUCUUGCAAGCUUCAUAACACAUAAAAGAGAUUCCAGCAGCAGGAACCAACUUCAAGCAACUUGGUCCGAGCCCUUUGUACCAACCGAGAAUACCUUCAUGCUCGAGUAUGGUCACCAGAGCGUGCAACAUGUUCUUGUACACAACUCUCCCACUAACUGCUCCCACCUGCAUAUGCUUCCGUGCUACUUCAAGAGGAAAAGUCGCGGUGCUCGAUAGUGCACCCGCUAAAGAACCUAUCAAAAGAGUCUCAAUGUUUCCAAUCUUCUCCUGCUUUGAAAAGCUCCGGUAUGCUUUUCUUAAGGAAUCAUAUGCAAAGUAAUUUGUAGCUGCAUAUGGAACAACUCCAAUAAGGCUAGGAGCAAGACCUCUGUAGAGCUCUGUGGGUCCUUCUUCACGUAUAAUUUUAACAAAUGCAUCAAGAAUCCCCUUGUAAACACCUCUCUGCAAUAAGUUUUAAAGACCCAUUACUGAGCAAUAAUUGUAUAGACUGCUAUUUGAAUGAACCAGUUGAGUGAAUUCUUGUCAAAACGAACUUUACAUGCUCUAUGAUCUUCCAGCCACGUACCUAAUUAUCUCUCACAUAACAAGGUUUAGUGUAAUUAGUUCAUAUUCAGAGAGGAGCAAACCUGUAUAGUAAGGCGAGUCUUGACUAGUUCGAGAGGGUAUGUCAAGAGAGUUUGGCUAACUCCAGCACAAGCACCGGCGAGUAAUGAAGCUGGAAUUGGGAUUUUUGAUUCCUCGCCAUUUUCGGGUGACAAUUUCUUGUUUACUGUCUCGAAUACAAAAAGCUGCACAUACAAAGAAUUGCAGAAAAUAGUGAAGAUUCAGUAUUUCUUGUCAAAAGGACUACCAAAGUCUCAUCAUUUUGUGGCAUAAGACAGAUUCAGCCAACACAAGACUUCUUAUAGAUAAAAGUCAACCAGAUAUUAUUAGUAUGAAAAGUCAGAAACUGCAUUUCAAUUCCGAAUUAAAGAGACACAUUGGUUUUGAUUAUGAAUUUGGUACCUCGACGGCUCGAGCAGGUGCGACACGAAUGACAUUGACCAAAUUGCCUCUGAAGAGACCAGUCCAACCUUCAUGCUUCAUGAUAUCACCGAACACUUCAGUGCUUGAGUUUCCGCCACUUCCCACCAUCAGAUGCGUCCUGAUAGUCUCCAACGGCGCAACGACAGUUCUGGAGACCGCUCCAGCCACGGCUCCGCUCAACAGCCGCCGCAACGAAGGAUUAGCGAUCUUGAUCUUCAGUUUCAGCCCACCUUUCUUCUUGUUCCUCUUCUCACCAUUAACUUGUUCGACCUCCUCCUCUUUUCCGGGCACACAGAGAUCAUUGAGCUGGGCAGAGAAGCCGACGUUGCCUCUGUUGGAAGGAUCCGGAGACGAGAGGGAUGCGAAAGGAUUCGUUUGAUUAACGCUUGCGAAUAAGCCAGCAAUUGGGAGGCUCGAAUCGAAUCCUAAAUCGGAAACGGAGAAAAACCCAUUCCUCGAAUCGUCGAACAGCUGGAUUCCGGUUUUCCCCAUUCCAGACCCGAACAGAAGCUUUCUCUGAUAAAAGAGCUUGUUUUGUUUGCCGUUACAGCAAACAGAAUCUGUUAUGUCUCUGUUAUGUCUUUCGAGGAUGGGAGUGACGAGAGUGAGAGAGAGGAAGAGAGACUCGAAUCUGUUAUGUCUCUCUCUCAGACUAAGUCAAUGGGUCGUCUCUUUCGCUGAGAUUUUAGGGUUUAAACCAGUCCGCUACUCUUUUUUUUUUUUUUUUUUUUGCUGUAUUUGGGUGGGUAGGUGUAUCAGAUGAGUCAGUGGGUGGGACGGAGACUCCGCUUAGGUUUUUUCUUUCCAGAUAAUUCGGUCUUUCUUCUUUUUCUUUUCUUUUUUUGAACUAAAGUUUUUCUUAUUUUGUAGGGGUAACUAAUAAUUGUUUUAAGUAUAUAAAUAUUUCUUAGUAUUCUGUAUGCUUUUCUUGAGGAAUCAUAUGCAAAGUAAUGCUGUAGCUGCAUAUCGAACAACUCCAAUAAGGCUAGGAGCAAGAAUACCCCUGCUGGGUCCUUCUCACUAAAGUAUAAUUUUAACUAAUGCAUCAAGAAUCUCCUUGUCUCUACUAUAAAUUUGAAUCAUUCCAUUAUUUUUAGUUAAUUUUAAUUCAAGUUUUAUUUUAGUGAUAGUUGAGGUUAGUUGUAUUGGAUUUAUUUUCAUUAUUUAACUUAUAAAUUAUGUUAUUAGAUUCAUUAUAAUAUUUUUAAAAUACUAUUAUUAUUAUUAUAUUUAUUUGGUAUCUAGCUCAAUUAGCUCAUGAUCAAUAAUUCAAUAUGAUCUGAGUUCGAGUUUAUAUAUAGAAUUCUAACAAGAUUUUAUGAGUUAAUAAAAAUUUUGGAUUUCAUGAUCAAUGGGUGCUGGAGAUUGAGCAGGCAGUGCUGGAGGUUCAGCAUAAGGCAUCGGGGAUAUGGCAAACGGUGCGAGUGAUGGAUCUUGAGGAUUGACGUAGUAAGAGUUAGCACAGUUGAUGCGAAUGGAGACAAAGCGACUAAUUAGAUGCGCAAAUCUACAGUACGAGGCGAGAGGCGUUCUCCGCCAUGAGGAAGCGAUGUUGAUGUGUUCCAUGUAGAUGUUAUCACAUCCUGUGUUUCGGUCACAAUCUAAUUUUAUUGCAGCAACAUCGGGAAGACUUGUCCCUUUAAAGUAUUUAUAUGUCACGCCGUUCACUUUCACAGCAGUUCCCUGAAAAGAUUUCACAACACGUGUACGUAAUUCAUGUUAGGUACGUCAGAUAUUAUAUACUUCACGACUUAAUUGGUAUUUGAAUUUCAAUUACUCAAAAAUAUUGAAAAGAAAACCCCUGAAAUUUUACAUGUAAAUCAAAAUACUAAGGUUGGACCAUAUUUUGAGAAUUUAGUUACAUUCAUAUUCAUAUAUAUUUAUUAAAAUACCAUUGUAAAGUUAUAAGUAUCCCUAAGUAUUAUUACCACUCCAGGUUGUUUGCACUGACCACCGUUACAAUAAUGUUGAUCGAUGAUGAUUGGGGAUCUGACAUUUAUCAGAGUAAUAUCUUCGAACAAGAUAUUUUUGACCAAUCCUCGUCCUCCCUGAUGCAAGUAUGUUUAGCAUCCAAUAUAUGAUAUAUGGUAUAUAUAUUACGUAUAUUAUAAUGUUAAUUCUUCCAAAAAGAACUAGUAAAGUUAUGUAAAUUCUUACAGGCCAAGUCUUGAUUCGUGCGCCGUUUUGAGUUUUAGUGAAGGUGCAGUGUCUUACAUUCACAUUCUCUACAUUCUCAGUUGCCCCUCCUUUCCCCAGACUUCCAAUACUGUUUUUUUUCAAAGACAAAACACACAACUACUUUAGCCAUGCAUGCAAACACACACAAUUUUUUGAAGUAAAAAUUAUAUAUAAAAAUUUACAGGUGCGAACCUUAUGCCAUGACCCGGACCACAUGUCACAUAAGUUAUGUUGAUAUUGUACGAAUUACCUCCGAUUCCAAUACAAUCAUCACCUAAUAGAUACAAAACCACACACACACACACAAAAAAAAAUCGUAAUCUUUUGCGUAGCCAAUCUUUGUAUGGCGUAUUAAUUCUAAGAAAAUAUAUGGGAAUUAAUACGUACCGGUUUUGAUUGAUGAACUGAGAAUUUGGAUAUUGUAUGAAAGGGAGAUAUCAAUGCCAUCAGUAUUUGGACUGCCUGAAGGUGCGAUCAAAUGAAGAUUUGAUAGAGUCGAGUUGGCGCAAUUGCUAAUCGAUAUGUGAUUCUUUGGACUAUUGAUUUGAGUUAAUCCAUUGUAAAAAAUGUUUUGGCACCCAGAAAAUCUCACUGCCUGCACAAACAAAAGAUAAACCGCACGCAUACAUACAUUAUAGAUAUGUAUACUCUUAAAAUCCUCAAAAAGGAAAUUAAUUAAAUGUUAUAUAAUAAAUUAUGGAUAUCUUCAAAUCAACACGUUGAAUAAUAUUUAGAUCCAGCAUACCUCUGGUCGGGAGUAUAAUUCGACAGAAGACCACCAGGAUUCUCCAUGGGCAUUGAGGACACCAGAUCCGUUGAGAACGAGACCUGACACCCUUUCGAAACAUAACCAACACCCAUUUCUUUGGACUCCCCAGUCUUUUACCAAUCUCGGCGCUUCAAUUGUUCCAUCAAUCUUGUCCAUGAGAAAACAAAAGAAGAAGAGAUCGAUAAUAUUACGUGUGUAUAACUGAGUCAUGUUUAAUUAUGUAUGUUGGCAAAAAUAUAAAUGAGAUUUGUAUAAAUUAAUUAAAUAAGCAAAGAGGAGCUAUAGGUAGGUCAAAUUAAAUACCUGAAUAUGAAUAUAACGAGAAACGCAAGGACCUUCAAAAAACUGUGGAAGUAAGGUAUAUGUUUCCUUGGCAUGUAUUACUAAAGAGGCUGCCCCACGACCUCUCCCUCUGCCUCUACAUAGCGCUCUCCACGCAUCUUGAAAUGCCUAUUUUGAAUUAUAUUAUCAAUUUCAUUUUUUUAAUGUUUUAUAUAUUCAUUAAUAAUCAAGAUCAAAAUAAAUGAAUUUGUAUAAAAAAUUGUUACCCGAGAAUGAUCGAUAUUUGUAGUCUCAGAAUCAGAUAGAAAAUCUUUAAUGGAUAGAAUCUCCCGACUAUCUCCAUGUUGCAAAUGGUACGAUGCGAUUAGAAGCACUGAAAGGAGUAUCUCAAAGCCCUGCAGGUAACGAUCAAAAUAGUUAGUACUAUAUGCGAGCUUCAACAAAAGUACUGAAGCCAUGAUAAAACACGAUAAACUAAAAGGGGAAUCUUGUUGUCUCACCAUUUUAGCACUAAAUAAUAAGAAUCUAGCUAGCUAGGUAAUUUUUUUCUUUUCUAGUAAAUAUAAUACCAAGAUUGUGAAUCUGAAUGUGUGUUAAUUGUAAGUUGAAUGUAUACCAAGAGUUGAGAUCUCUUAGUAUUAAAAAUAUACUUUAACCACUUGCAAAUUUCAUAUAUUAAUUAUAUAUAUAUAAAUUGACUCUGUUUUGGUUUAAGAAUUUUAAAUGUUUGAAUAAAAGUGAAAAUGUUACUAUAAUGUUUAUGCCUUUAUAGUAAUAAGUUACACUGUACACUUGGCUAGUAUGCAUUCAACUCAUUAAUUAAUUGGAUAUAUCUACUAUAUUUGGACACUACCUUAAAAAACUAUCCACCAAGAUUUUCAAACUUCUGAAUAAUUUUUAUAAUAUAUAGUAAUUUAUUUACUUGGGGGGGAAAUAAAUAUGGAGAUAAUAAAAGUAUUCCGUAACAUCAAUGUAUAUAUACCUUCGGGGAAAAAAUCUAGAAGCUACGUUUGCAAAUUAUAAACGUAAACACCAAACAAAAAGGGAAGCAAAACAUCAUAUGUGAAACACAAUGAAUACAAAACGUAUAAGCAAACAAUGGGGAAAAAAUGGAGGAAAAAUUAAAUACCAGCUGUAUAAUUGUAUUGAAAUAGAGGUAAAUAUAAAAAAAAAUUAUUUGAAAUAAUUCUCUGUGUUACAGAUUUCUUCGUUAUUCUAUAGUAACUAUCUCUUCGUAUGCUUUGCUAUGGUAAAUGCGAAAGAAACUUCACAAGAAAGCUUUAAAAAAGUUAAUAGAGUAUGGAAGAGGAGACAAUGAUGGAGGUUGAGUCGGUGGUAGAGGUUUAGCAUAUGGUGCUGAAGCUGGUGCAAGAGGUUCUUCAUCGGAAGUACACUUGAUUUUAACGGAAACAAUUUGACUAACUACAUCAGCAAAUUGACAAUACGCCGUAAGGGUUUUGUUCGUAGAUGAAGAAGUGAUGUUGAUGUUUUCCAUCUUGAUAUCAUGACAACCCACUGCUUUGUCACAAUCUAGUUUUAUGGCAAUCUUAUUUCCACAUGUCCCUUGGAAGUUUUUAAAUGUCACAUUGCUCACUUUCACAGCAGUCGCCUCCAGGAUUCAAAACAUGUAGGUAUUAAUUACAUAUAUAUAGUUAAAGUUAAAGUUUAACAGAUUUAUAUUUCACACUUAUGUAUAUCUAUAUAUAUAAAGUUAGCUUUUUCUCUCUUCUCAUGAUGACACCUAAGCAUCCACUUAAGCCACAUUUUUUUUUUAUUAAAAUAAAUUUAAAACAUUCAUUUAGUGCAUAUUUAUGCUACUUAUUUAAUUAAUAGAAAAUUUAUAUAAAUAAAAAUAAAUUAUGUAAAUAAAUGAAAUGUUAAAUAAGAAAUACUUCCAUUUUUUAUUAGUUAGUGGUAAUAAUAUAAUUCAACUUUCAUUUUAAAUUGAUCAUAGUUUCAAAUUUUAAAUGUGUUACUGAGUUUAAAAAUGCAAGUAAAUUUUAAAUUUAUGGUAGAAUAAAAACAACAUUUAUGUAAUUGUAUAUAUAAAAUUUUAAAGGAGAAAAAUAAAAUUGAAAGUGGAAUAUUAGUUUAUAACAUUAUCAAAAAGAAAAUGCUUUUAAUCCAAAUUUAAAUAUUGAAAGAUAAUAAUUCAAGAGAAAAUAACUAUAAUAUGUCUCUGAAAGUCAAUUAAAAAAUAAAUAAAUUAUCACAAUAUAAAUAAAAAAUUAACAAAAAAUUAUAAACCUCAUGCGCGCAGCGCGAGUCAACUGCUAGUAUAUACAUAAUCCGCAUAUAUAAUUUAUAUAUCAUUUUUUUAAAACCAUUGUGGUGUAUUAAUAGGAACAAGUAUUUUAUAAAACACGAUUACAUAAAGAAAUUACCUCUUCCGUACAAUUGCGACCACCGUUACAGUAAUGUUGAUCGAUGAUGAUAGGGAAGUUGACAUUAAUUAAUGUUAUGUUUUCGUAUAAAAUAUUCUUGGCGUACCCAUUUCCUCCCUACGAAUGCAUGCAUGCAAUAAGAUAAAUAUAUCGAAAUUAUGUAUAAAUAAUGGACACAUAUACAUAUAUAUAUAUGUAAAUAUAUAAUAUAAGUCUUACGGCCCAAGUCUUGAUUCUUGCCCCGUUCUGAGUUCCAUUGAAGCUGCAAUGUCUUACUUUCACGUUCUCGACCGUCUCAUUUAACCCACCUUUCCCCAAACUUCCAACACUGCAUGCAGUUUUUUUAAAAGAAGAAAUACACAAUUUAAUACAAAUGUACAGUCCUAUCAAAAACCAGCCGAAACUAUUUAAUUAGAUAUCUCUACUGUCUAUUGUUAGAAUCAUUUCAUAGCCAUUAGAUAUUUUCCUGAGAAAAUUGACUUUAGGAUAAUCGCGUAAAAUGAAUCCGUGAAGAUGUAUAUGAUGUGCAAACCUGAUGCCAUGACCAGGACCACAGGCCACAUGAGUUAUGUCGAUAUCAUACGAACCACCAUUAAUGGCAACACAAUCAUCACCUAACAGGUACAAAAUCAUACCACAAAAAGAAAUUGAGCAAUUAUCCUCGUGUAUUGAUUUAGUAUUAACAUAAAAUAAAACAUAAAAUACCAGUUUGGAUAUUUGAGUUAAAAAUCUUAAUAUUGUUUGAAAGAGCGAUGUCGAUGCCAUCAGUGUUUGGACUAUCUUUGGGUGCGAUUAGCUGAAGGUUUGAUAGAGUUGCGUUGGUGCAAUUCCAUAUUGAAAUGUGGUUUUUUGGACUGUUCAUUUGAGUUAGUCCAUUAUAUAUAAUGUUACUGCUUCCAUUAAAUCCAACUGUCUGCAAAACCAAAAUCAAAAUUGUAAAUUAUAAAAUGAUUUUGUUUGGUAUUAACUAGGCCAUUAUUUAUAUAUUUCAACUCUCUCAAACAGGGAAAAUGCAUACCCUUGGUCGGUUUGAGUGCUCUACAGAGGACCACCAAGCUUCACCAUGGGGAUGGAGGACACCAGAUCCAUUGAGGACGAGACCUGUCACGUUGUCGAAACAUAACCAACAUCUAUUUCCCUUGUUAAUUUUCUUCCACUCCUUUACCAUCUUUGGAGCUUCAAGUUUUCCAUCAAUCUUGCAAAAACAAAUAUAAUCAUUUGCAUAUUGUUACACAAACGUAAACGUUGUUUUUCUUUUUUUUUUUGGCAAAUACCUGAAUAUGAAGAUUACGAGAUACACAAGGACCUCGAAAAGUUUGUGGUUGAAUGAAAUAUUUUUCGUAGGCAUGUAUUACAAGAGAUGUUGCCUGAUCUUUCCCAUUCGCUUCACAUAUUGCUUUCCAUGCAUCUUGAAACGCCUGUUAGGAGAAACUCAUUAUAUUCUUUAAUGAAGAUUAUUUUAUUUUGAAAACAUAUAUAAUUGGGAUAGAUAAUACUUCAAGCCAUUACCUGAGAAUGAUCGGCUGUAUUGUUAGCAUCAGAUAUAAAAUCCUUAAUGCUUAAACUCAGCCGACGACCAUCUCCGCAUUGCAAAUGGUACGAUGCAACUAGAAUCACCGAGAAGAGUAGUUCCAAUCCCUAGUAAUAGUUAAGAUGGUUAUCAUUGAAAAGUUGAAACGAUGAUUUUGCAGCCAUUAAAUUUCAAUACCCUAUAGCAAAAACAAAAGUUGAAUCAACGAUACAAAGAACGAGCACAACUAGAGAGAGAUUAUGUUCUCUCACCAUUUUAAUCUCAACAAUCAUAAAAUUAUAAAUCUAGCUGUUCUAAGAGAAACGUAAGAUUGUGUGAUGUGAUUAAGUUGUAUAGAUGUUGUGUUGAGAGAGUCCAAACAUACUUAUGAGUUUUGAUUUAUAUCUUGCCAAAAUUUUACAAUAUUCAACUCUUAAAUAUUUCUUUCCUCGUUUAGCAUUAAUUCAACUUAAUAAUAUAUUAUAUGCCUUCAACAUUCAAACACAAUUAAAUUUCUCUAUUUGUUAUCACAAUAUCAUAAGAUCCAUGCGCUAGUCAAAUUCCAGUCAAAGAAAAAAUUAAGGCUGCAAAUGGUUGACACAAAAUACCAAGUUGAAAGAGUUGAAUGUUCAUUCAAAUUUGAGAUGAAAGAGCUGAAAAAAAGAUUCAGCUCAUUCAACUUUAAAAACUGAAUAAUUGUACAAAUUACAAGCAAAAAGUGUUCAACUCAUUCAACUACAUUUUUAGAGAUGAAUAAGUUGAAUGAUAUUCAGCUCAAAUUUGUCCAUCUUGAAAUUUCAACCCAUUCAACUCAAAUAUAAAUAUAUAAAGUUUUAUAAUUUAAGCCUUGCUCUUGUAGCUCGUGUGGUCAGCGACGGUACUAAAGAUGCAACGCUUGACAUGUUCGAUGCUCGAGCAAGGCAGAGAGAGAAAAAAAAAAGUUUUAUGAUUUAAUAUUUUAAUAUCUUGUGACUUAAAUACAAACUAUUACUGUUAGAGCACCUCCGGUGGAGAUGCUUAACAUAUGUUUAACAUGUUGUUUAUUAUUGUAUGUAAUGAAUAUAAUAAAAGAAAAAAAAAUGUUGUAAGCACCAUAGCUUAUUGUGAUUAUAAGCAACACAUAAGCACCAUUUUUGAACAUUUAAUAUAAAAAAAUUGAUUAGCACCCUCCAAUGGUUGGUAUACUUAGUUCUUAUAUACUCCAUAAACAAGUCCGUGCAGAAUAGAUUAGGGAAGACGAGACAAUGCCGGAGGCUGAUCAGGAGACAAUGCCGGAGGCUGAUCCGGAGACAAUGCCGGAGGCUGUUCAGGAGACAAUGCUGGAGGCUGAUGAUAUUUGCAUGCAUUACAUUUGACAUCGAUGUUGACAAAUGAAGUACGCACAUCGGCGAAUCUACAGUAUGCCUUGAGUUUCGUAUCCGGGGAUGAAGAUGUGAUGUUGAUGUGUUCCAUCACGAUGUUAUGACAAUUUUCGCAGUUUAGCUUUAUCGCAAUUUUACUUGCGCUGGUCCCUUUAAAGUGUCUAAAUUUUACGUUGUCCACUCUCACUGCAUUUCCCUACAAGAUUCGAAAUAUAUCAUUUAAUUUGUUUGCAUUCAAUAAGCAAUAAACCUUUAAAAUAAAGAAUGUGAAUUUUGGUCAUUACGAUCCAAUAUGGUAAUAAUAUAUAUAUAUCUUGGUUAGUCCAUUUAAACAAUUCAUCAAAGCUAAUUUUUCAUCCAUUUAAGAUCUGAUUUACAGGCCGAGUUGCAAAUGAUUUGUUAGUUUUUUUGUAGGUUUAUAACAUCUAAUUUGAUAUGAUUUCUUUUUUUUGGUAGGAAGAUCUAAUUUGAUAUGAUGUAUAUAUGUUUUGUUAGUCACCUGAUAAAGAGUUAAAAGACUAGAGUUAAAAUUUGUAAGUUUUGAAUUUACCUUUAAACGACUGUCAGUGUAAUUUUGAUCGAUGAUGAUGGGGAAACUAGCAUUCACCAAUGUGAUAUGUUCAUACAAAAUAUUUCUGGCUGACCCUUGUCCUCCCUAUAAAAUUAUGGACGUAAGAUCCGUAUAUGUUUUUUUUUUCGUAAGGAAGUAAAAUAUUUUGCUUUUUUUUUUUUUUUUUUUUUUUUUUUUUUUUUUUGUUAAGCUGUAAUAUUUUGCUAGCAACACAAAACAAUGGAAAAAGUAAAAAACGUACAUGCCAAGUCUUGAUUCUUGCCCCGUUUUGAGUUCCACUAAAGCUGCAGCUUUUUACGUUCACGUUUUCGACUAUGUCGUCUGUCUCAUCUUUCCCCAAACUCCCAAUACUGCAUUUUUAAAAGGUUUAAGACACAAUAAACAAAUUUAAUUUUUAAUAGCAAGUCAAAAUAAUCUUAUUCAACAAAAAGUAGAAUAAUUUAGUUCGAUAUAUACAUUGAUUAAUUUCAAACGUGCUUUUUUAUAACUUACAAACCUGAUACCGUGACCCGGACCACAUGCCACACGAGUAAUGUUGAUAUCGGAAGAACCACCUUUCCCACCAGUAAUUGCAACACAGUCAUCACCUAACAUGUAAGAAACACAUCACACAAUGAAUUUAAUUAGCAUAUAUUUAAUUUUUAAAAUUAUAUCAAUGUAAAAACACAAUAACAAAAAUUCAAACUGAGGGAAUCAGAAUAAUAAUUACCAGUUUGGAUAGAGGAGUCUAAGACAUGGAUAUUGUGUGACUCACAAAUAUUGAUGCCAUCGGUGUUUGGACUGUCAUGGGGUGCGCUUAUAUUAAGAUUUGAUAAAGUUACAUUUUUGCACCCAACGACUGAUAUGUGAUUCUUUGGACUAUUCAUUUGAGUCAGUCCAUUAUAUACAAUGCCAUGGCAGGUGUCAAAACUAAUCGUCUGUAGAUAUAAAACGUAUCAUAAGUUAUCGAUAUAGAAAAAUCAUAUAUACUUAAGUUAAUAGGAAUGAUGACUCCUACAGUGGGUCGUUUAGAGUGACGAACAGAUGGCCACCAUGCUUCGCCAUGGGGAAGAAGGACACCGGAGCCGUUGAGGACGAGACCCACUAUAUCCUUGAAACAUAACCAACACUGUCUUUCUGAGUUUUCCCAAUCUCUCGGCUUCGCUGGCGCUUUGAUUUUCCCAUCAAUCUUGUUGAAAUGAAAAAAAAUAAAAAAAAAACUAAGCAAAAAAAUUAAAAAAAAUAAAUAAAAACUAAGCAAAAAAAGAAGAAAAAAGAAGCAAUUAUACAUGCAUGCAUGUACGUGCGUGGAUCAUUAUCUUAUGAAUGAAUAAUUCGAUAGCAUCUGCGGAAGAAAGUUGAAUUAUAACGAUUAACGACCAUAAUUAAAGUACCUGAAUAUGAACGUCGGAAGAUACACAUGGACCUUCAAAAAGUUGUGGUUGUAAAGUGUAUGUUUCCUUCUUCUCUAUCACCAACGCUGACCCGUUAGACGAAGCUUGGUCUUUGCAUAACUCUUUCCAUGCUUUUUGCAUCGCCUUCACAAGAAUGAUAGUAUAUUAGUUUAAUAACAUUGACUAAUUGUUUCGACAAUAUAUCUGACUUUGCAUAUUGUAUACACCAGCUUUAUAAUUAAGAAAACGAUUACUUGAGAAUAAUCAACGUUCGUGUGGUCGCUAGCUAUAAAAUCUUUCAUGCUAAGAAUCCUCCGGCCUUCUCCGUAUCCCAUAUAGUACAGUAAUACAAUUAUCAUCACAGAAAACAAGGUUUUCAUCAAAUCCUUCAUGGUAACCAAAUUACAAGCUUCUACUACAGAGGAAAUCAACUGAAGAGGUCACUAUUUUAAUCUCGAUUUGUUAUUUGAAGAUAUAUAUAUAAUGCUUGAGUUGAAAUUUGAGAGUCAUACAACAAUACUUAUAAUCCCAUUAUAUAUGUAUUUAGAUGAAGUCUAAGAGAUAGAUAUUAUAACACAAAAUCUCAUAUCAUAUAAUGACAGUGACUCAUAAAAUUCAAUUUCAUAUGGAUAUAAUAGACACGGAUAAAUGAUUAAAUUUGAAACAUUAAGUUAAAAUAUUAAUUUAGCUUUUAACAUAAAAUUUAUAGUUUUUUAAUUAAUUAAUAUGUAGAAGCUGGAAACAGAUUAUUGAAAUAAAUAUUUUUAAGUAUCUUUUAGUGUUUUCUAUUUUUACCUGCAACAGAGAUAUAUUUUCAUUCAAUGUUGAUAAUGACUCAUAAAAUUCAAUUUCAUAUGGAUAUAAUAGACACGGAUAAAUGAUUAAAUUUGAAACAUUAAGUUAAAAUAUUAAUUUAGCUUUUAACAUAAAAUUUAUAUAUAUUUUUUAAAUGAAUUAAUAUGUAGAAGCUGGAAACAGAUUAUUGAAAUAAAUAUUUCUAAGUAUCUUUUAGUGUUUUCUAUUUUUACCUGCAACAGAGAUAUAUUUUCAUUCAAUUUUGCCAUGUAAAUCCAAUUAAUUAUUUUUUGGCUUUAACUACCAAUAAAUUAGAAAACUAAGCUUUAACUUUACAUUAAAAAUAUAUUAAAAACCAUCUAAUUUGUAUAACAAAAAAAAAAUCUUAAACAUCUGAGUAAAAAAAAAACUAAGAUUUUUUUUUUUUUUAAUAUAAAAAAACUAAGAUUUUUGCAUUAGCCAAUGUGCUACAGAAGAGGAAUAAACUUCUAAAACUAAAGUAAACUUAAUAAUAAGACAUAUUAUUAAGUAAACAAUAUGGAAUUGUAAUUGAAAAAUGAAAAUAUAGUAACAUUGUUUUUUCGUUUACAAUAUAUCCUAGUUGGAAAAAAAUGGCCUAGUUGGCUGCUGCUGCUGCUAAAAGAUCCUUCCAUGUGACUAACUUUUCUCUGGGUUUGUUUCUCUCAUUCCCCAUUUGUUGUUCUUUGGCAUCAAUCUUCUCCCACCCACUAAAAUCUACCUUCUUCACCUCUCUCUUCUCCAGCAAUUGCAUCAGUCCUUUGCUUCCUGCUUUUGAGCUCUUGAAAACACCCUUUUCAAUGUCUUCACUUAUGCUACCAACCUGCAAUAAACACAUUUUAUCCUCCCAGUUAAAGAGCAUCAGUUUUCUGUUCAGGGUGAACAAGUUUGUUGCUUACCGUUUCCUCGGCACAGUACAGGUUUGUGGCAAUUAUGCCUACUGGUCCUCUUUUUAGCCAGCCACAUACGUAUAAACCCGGCUCAGUCUGUGAUAAGUUUUCUAACGUUUGACUAACCACUCGACCACUUACAUUCGGGACAGCACCUUGAAACAUGCAAUUGAGGCACACAAAAAGUUAGAAGAACUCAACCUUUUCUAAUAAACAUAUCAAUCACACCACACUUUCAUCUUAUACCACCUUUCUUGUGAUCAAAGGGUAAACCAUUGAUUGGAACCGACUUGUAACCAAUGGCCUUCAGCAUCAAACUGCAAAAUUGGACAUGCUUUCAUUUUCAUUUUUUAUGAUUGUUGAUAUAACUAUUACAACAGAAACACACUGAGGAACUCUCAAUUAAGAGUAUAAUACCUGCCAUUAAGAUCCUCAAACUCUCCAGUACCAACUGCAAUUUGUUUUCCACUUUCAGUACCUACAAGUUUAUGGAUGAAGUGGUUAGUAAAAUACACUAUUGUAUCCUAGGAAAUCACCAUUACAUUUUAGUGUUUCCAACAGCAGUUAGUAAAUCCACAGAAGAACCAGGAUACACCAAAAGGCUCACAUAGAGAAGCACUUACUAUCAAGAAUGGUUUUUUCCAGGUUUACACCGGAAACGUAGCCCUUUCUUUCAUUCGACUCUAAAAACCGGUCAGGUUGGCGGAAGAAAACAAAGUGCAGCUCUCGUUGAUCAGGGUCAGAUUUGGAUGUUCCUGCUGCUGCUGCAGCUUUGGACAGUAAUUCAUAGAUUCUCUUUCUGGCUCUACUAUUUUUCAUUUCUUCCUUCGAAGAAAAAGAAGAGUGUCAACAAAAAUUUUGGGAAGGUAUCAAGAAUUUCACUAGAAUGCAAAUAACCGAGUUCAGCCUUACUUUAAUUGAAAGUCAGUAGCACAAGUACCUCAUCAGCAGGAGUUACACUCAUGUCAGACUCCUUUAUUCGAAUGUGCACAUUCUUAAUCCCUGCAUUAUAAAAAUAUAUGUGUUUAUAUUCGUAUCAAUGGGAAAAUAACAAAGGUCAGUGGGUAGCCGGUAACAAAGAAGAUAUGGUAUGUUAUUAUCACAAAAAAAGCUAAGAAGGUCAAGACAAGCAAAUUAAGGCAAUGAGUAAAAAAAAAAGUUGCUAUUCAACAUCUUAUAUAGAAUCAAGUAUCAACUAAUGUCGCAAAAUAUUCACCGAAGCAGUCCCAUAUGCAACAGAACAACAUAGUAGACAGUGAAAUUAAAGUUAGAGGUGUCCAGCAAGUUUUUUAAGUCUUUAACUAAUUGUAAGAUAAACAAUAAAAACUCAAGGUCUGAUCCUAUCCAAAAAUAUAGUUUUGCUGCUACUUUUAGAGAUCAGUGAUUUACCUACCCAUUUAUUCAAGGAAUGCUAAACGCCAAUAUAAUUUUUUUAAGUCAUUCAACCACACUUCCCCUUUAGAUAAGGUACCAGCUGAAAAAUGGCAGCACACACCCAAACCCACCAGACCUAACCACAUUUUUAUAUUAUUUCUUCAUCAUUUUUGUGGUAUCUAUAAAAAACAAUCAAAAGCUCAGUCUAUGAUCUAAAGAUCAAUUAAUACCAAGAACUUCUCGAAGCUCUUUGGCAGUCAAUGCUGCUUGAACUGGCCCCCGUCUUCCGAUGAGAAACACCUUCCUGAACAUGUUACAACUUUGUAUCAGGGACUAUAGUUGGUUGUCAAUUAUAGGAAAGAUGGAACGGAACAAGAUUCAACUAGUUAAAUGGUCAAAUGGGACCUUAUAGAGCUUUCUUCCAGUGCAGAUAAAGCAUGCCUAGCAAUAUCAGUUGAUGCCAACUCUGUUGUCGGUCUUAAGAGAAUCCGGGCAACAUCUAGAGCUACAUUACCCUAAGAUUUGAAGGAUCAUAUGUCAGAGAGGUCUUGAGAAACAUAUACUGAGAAAAUUUUGGCAUCAAAAUGUUAUUCAUAUGUACAUCUUGUUACGGCGGUAAGGAUAGCUAACCAACAACAAAUAGUCUCCAGGCAAAGUAAACGAAUCUCACUAGAAUAAAACUACACAUGUCAACCCAUACAAAUUAAGCUUGCAUGCACAAGCAGGCGUACAGGUCAGAAUGCUAAGAGACUAGAGAGGAUAAAAUGUCAAAUGAAAAACAUAUUAUGGUUGCAAAGAAACUGCACCUAAAACUCUAUAAAUUGGGACCUCUAAAGACUAAUAUGCAAAUGCAUGAUUGCAAAGGGGCUUUAUUUUGUCCAGAAAGUAAAAUUAUCUGAUUCUUAAAAUUGAAGGUGUCUUUACCAAAAUGAGGAUCGCAAACCAAAAAUAGAGUACCUGGCCAAGGAUGACAGCUGUGUCGGUACUUUUCAAGUCAGGUUUCAAACCGCUGUAGUCAGGAUGUCCAUUAUACCACCAGACGAAUUCUCUUGCAGAGUAUAUACCACUCAAAGUCUACAAAAGUCACCUUUAUACAUCAGAAUAGAUACCCAGUACGUAUAGGCAACAAAAGUCCACUAACUUCCGUCAAAAUACAAUAAAACACCUAAUCCCGCCACAGGAAAUUUGUAAUGGGCAUACCUCACCUGGAAUGCCAAGAUCUUUGUCACUUUCAGCACCAUAUGCAAGUACAACCUGAACAAACCAUACUUAUCAUAAGAAGUUGAAGUUGAAGACAUGAUUAUAAAUUAAUGAGUAAUAAUUUCCUUUAAUUUGUAAACGUUUCUGUGUGCUAGUUCCUAGGAAUACGUUUGAGCUAAUUAGUUGCUUAUCUAAAUAAUAUAAGCGUAUAGUUAAGGAAGUCUAACCACGUGAUACAAAUCCCGCAGCUCAGAAAGUAACAAAUCCGAUCCAAGCUUUACAUUCCCGUAAAAAGAGCAACGUUCGUGUUGUGCCACUCGUGAGAACUGAUUAAUGGCAAUCUGUAGAAAGCAUUGUUGUUGACAUCAAGCUCAAUGGAAAACGUCCUAAUCUCUCUCUCUCUCGCUGAACAAGAUUAAGCUAAUCAGUGUUACCUUAGUUUCAGGAUGAUCAGGCGCAACACCGGAGCGAACAAGUCCGAAUGGUGUGGGCAACCGAUCGAUUAUAUCAACGCGUGCUCCUUCGUGUGCCUUCAAUAACUAAUUACAAGCCAUCAUCAAAAUCACGAGUUAAGAGUCGUUAAUUGCAGAAUAUGUUUGAACACAUAGAAGAACAUUAGGCAAACAAAAAAAAAUACAAAGGGAGAGAAGAAGCGAUUACCUUGUCAGCAGUAUAGAAACCAGCAGGUCCACUCCCAACGACGCAAACGUGCAGAGGACGAGAAGGGACAGAUGAGAAGUAUCUAGAUACCAUAUAUCGUGCCAGAUAUCUACUCAUUCUCGGAAACUUCCAAACUUUUUAAUGCUUAUCAAGCACAAAGGGUCUGUUCUGAAAGUGUCGCAAACUGUGAACAGUGCGUAGAGCCCUCGAAAUUUGGGUUCGUAUGAUAUAGUUGAAUACGAUUUAAUUUUGAGGAUUUGAAGAAGAUGGAGAUGAAGAUGAGAAAAUAACCCACAAUUUCGGGGGUGAAAAUCGAGAUAAGAAGAAUUUAGGGUUUCUGAACGAAUUUGGGGAUUUCUAGCGGAGCUCACAGAAUCACAGUGCAGCUCACGUUGACCUUUUUGUCUUUAAAAGGGUUCCGUUGACUUUUUCCUUUUAAUUGAGGUUUUUCCAUUUUUCCUAAUCAUAAACGUUAGAUAAGAUUAAAAACUCAAAACAGAGAGUCUCGUUUCUCCUAAUCUUUGAAAUUACAGAGAAUUAUAUAUAACAAGAUGGCAUUUAGCAUGUAUUCAAGUUUAAGAUCAACUGUUGUAUAUAAAUAGGCCAGGGACCUUAAACCUCAAUGAAAAAUCAUGUUAAUCAUCAGUACCUUUAAACUUUGUUAUUAAACUGAUGCAUAAAAUCCAAAAGCAAACAUUUGAUCAACAACAUUUGGGGUCCAUAACAAUGUGUCACUCUCCCAAUCCCAACUAGUAUAACAAACAGACCAUAAUACAUAUGCAAUAUGGGACAAAGCACUAUGAAGAAGUUAAUAACGAAUAUGUGAAUUGGGUAUUUAAUCUCCAUCUACGUUUCUAGGCAUCAACUGUAUAAUCUACAUUCCUUUAAGCUCUGCAAAUCUGGCAGCCAAAUCUUCAUAGUUUGGUAACUUGGGGUGAACGUGCUUAGCUUCACUCGAACGUUCUGGCUGAAACGAGGCUGCACGGGCAAACGUUUUUCUAGGUUCAGAUGGCUCAGCCCAUUGUUCAGGGGGUAAUGAACGUGACCUGACGGGUUGAGGAAUCAUCAUCUCUUCAUCAGAAUCACUUUUUUUAAGAUGUGUACGUCUGCUUUUGGAUCCUUGUUGUACAUUGUUCUUUUCAUAACUUGAAGGUUUCUUACUGUAAUGCAUGAGAAGUUUAUCCAUUAUCUUUUCCUCAUUGUCCUUCUCAUCCUCAUCAACUAAGACUUGAAGCCCUUUCCUUGAGUUUUCCCUUCUUCGGCUUCUUGUAUGAUCAUCAUCACCAACUGAUUGUACAAUGUGUUUUCUUCUACUAGUUCGCCGUUUCAGAGAUGCAUUAUCUAUUUCAUCUACUUGAAGAUGACCUCCUUCAAUUCCCUUCUCUACCCCAGAAACAUUCUUAUCAAUGUCUGCAUGAUUCCCUUCUUCGCCAUCAAAACGAGCCUUUGUGUUCUCCGAAGCUUCAGCUUUUUCAUUCCUUGCUUUACUACUAGAUUUAACAUACGGAGGUGGAAGGGAUUUGUAGAAAGGCGAUUUCAUUCUCUCUGUUUCUCGCUCCUCAACUUUCCAUGUUGGAUUUGAUUGACCAUAUUCAUUUUCACCACCCUUAACUUUACCAACAGAUGGAUCUUCUUCCGUGCUCUUUCCCACAAGAACUGCAUUUUCUUUACUCUCCCAACCAUUACGGUGUCUAGAUCCUGGAUCAGUAGAUUCCGCUCUCUUUAACUUGCUACUUGGCUUCGGAGGUCUUGAGGUAUUGUCUUCCACUUUCUGAUGUGCAUGCUCUUCGUUUUUCUCAUGUUUGUAUCCUUGAAAGAAACUCUCUUGUUUAAAUCCGAUAACUAACUUGUCAGCUCUUUUGGUGCUGCUAGGCUUAUGUUUCUCUGAAGCAUUAACCUCUGUUUCCUUAUACGCAUCAACUACACCAUUUUGAUUUCCAUUCCCUUGAAAAUGGUUCUCACGCUUGACCUUCAUUACUAUAGUGUCACCUUCGUUGAAAAUGGGUCGAUGUCUUUCUCUAUAAAACUCUUUUCUUUCUGGGGCAAUAACCUCGGGUUUCUUAUGUGCGUCAACUACACCAGGUCGAUGUCCAUUCCCUUGACCGAGAUUCUCAUGUUUGACCUUCAUCACAAUAGUGUCACCUUCGUUAAAAAUAGGCUGAUGUCUUUCUCUAGCAGAUGCUUGCUUAUGCGACAAAUGAAACUCUUUCCUUUCUGCCUUAUUGUCCUUGCUUUCCGAUCUGGAGGCAUGGCUAACAUUAUCUGACCUUUCUUUAGAUGUUAGGCUAUGCUGAUUUCCUCUAAGACCAUUCUGAUAACUUUCUUUAUCAGGUUGAAACAAAGGAUCUCUUCUUUCUGAUGCCUCAGCCUUUUUUCUGUUCAAGCUAAGACCAUUUUCAAAACCUGCAAACUCUUCUCUUUUUGGCAAGGCCAUGUUUCUGUCUACAGGCUUGUACUUGUCGUAAGUUCUUUUUGGGGUCUCCUGUUGAUGUCCAUGAGAGAAAUCAUAAUUCAAUACCUAUCCGAAUAUUUCAGUUUAUUGUCCCUUGAUAAAAAUUACUGAUGGUCAUACCUUUGCUGAAGUACUAUUCUGUCUCUCAAUCCUUUUCUCAAAAUCUCUGGAAUCCCAGCGAAUAGAGAACUCCAAUGCAACAUCUUCCAUUAACUUAAUUUUCUUCUCCAUAGAGAAUGGCUUUGAUGACAUGUUCUCAACAAGCUAUAAGAGAAACAAGUAAGUGCUUAGUUGUGAAUAAGUUUCCCACAUGGUCUAACUGAGAAUUGAAUGAAGUAGAAAAACUCUUACCUCUUGGUUAACAAACAAUCCAAGUGAAUCUGCGUAUUUUUCGUGAAACAUUUGCCUCAGUUCACGCAGCUCAGGCAACUCAGAAAAUCCAGAGGCUGCAAACAUUAACGACGACACAGCUUCACGACACUCUUCUGGACAUUCCCUGGAAAAAAAAAACAGAAAUCAACUAAUGAACCUACAAUACUUGAGUUAUCUUAGAGAAUGUUCCACUAAGCCACAGAAGACAAUUCUCAUCCCUAAGUAAACAGGAACAAUGUGAAUAAGAAAAUGCCAAAACAUGAGGUAAAUGACAUUAGUCCAACACUAUUCAAUUUUCAAAAAUAUGUUAAGGAACAUGAUCUUCAAUUUAACACCUAACACACUGAUAUAGUCAAGAGUAUGUUACAACUACCCGUGAAUAACACAAGCAAAAGCACAAAAAACAUAAAUUAAGAUACCCAAAAUCUAAAAAGAAUGGCAGAAACAUAAUAAAAGUUGGAAAAUUGGAAAUGCCAUAAAUAACAAAAGGCAUAGAGUUGAAAAAUACCCAAUCUUUUGCAUCGUAGAGAGCUGCUUGUAUACGAAAUCACAGGUCUGCUCAAGAAAGUCAAGAUUCCAGAGAUACCGUAAUUCAUCAAGAAGCCCUCCAACCUGAGGAUAUUAAAAUCCGAAUGUUAUUGAAUCUCAAGUAGAAGAAGAAUCUCUGAGAAGAACAACGAAAAAACUGAAAUACCCUGCUAUAAGCAUUGGCGUCGUGACCGUUAAUGACGAGAUCAGCCAAAUCCUUCUUGAGAAACUUGAUUGUAGCAGUCUUCUUCCUCCGAAGAACAUCGAUCCGAUUCUUAGUGAGUUUUAUCAGUGGUUUUCUGGUCCAAUUAAAAAACAAAAAAAAUCACACCAUUAAAAAUUCGAUUUACCCAAAAAUUGAAAACAAAGAGGAGAGAAGAUCGUAGCAGUAGAGAAAACAAACCCCUUAGGAGCAAAACCGCGGCCUAGGAGACCAUCAAACAUCUUUUUUUUUUGUUUUUUUUGUGAAUCUCUUGACGAUUCCGCAACAACGAUGAUCCAAAAAUGAAAACCAGAUUCCGAGAGUGAUCAGCUUGAGAAGAGAGAGAGAAGAAGGAGGAGGAGGAGGAGAAUAAUAAUAGCGUAGCGUAUGUAUAUCUCUCUUUUGUAUUCAAAAUUAAAAGCAAAGAAGCCGCAUCUCAAGCUUUGGGGAACAUGGUGGUGGUGGUGGUGAACUGACUAAUCAGUGCUUUCUCCAUCAAAAAAAAUUACGACGAAACGACUACGUUUAGACUUUUUCAAUGUUAAAUGUUAACGUUAUAAAGGGUACUAUGGGGAAAUGAAAGAAUAGCACGUCUUUAAGGAGAGGAGAGGAGUUGGGGAAUCAAAUCUAUACCAUCUAGUUGUUAGUGGAAUUGGGUGGAAAUGAUCUGGUACGGGUGGCUCCACCUUAGCUCAUUGCGUGGAUUCCGUAGACCUGCCUGCCUGCACCUAUUAAUUGUGUUGUGAGAUUUAUAUUAUUAACUCACCGACGACGACGGCGGGGUUCAAACUUUAUUUGUUCUUGUCAAUAUGUCAAAAGUGAAAACAAAAAAACUCAUGUGUGAUGCUGCAAGGGAAAUUACUACUUUACGCUUUGCUAGACGAUCAUACACAUUCAAAGAAUCUUCGAACCCAAAAUCAAAACUAAAUAAACCAAAAGGGAGAAAAAUAAUAUUAUAAAUCUUAAAGAUUACAAAUUCAUUCUCAUGAGAUUAUAUCUUAUAGGCUUAGAUCUGAAUUUUAUUGGUUACCAAAAGAGAUUUUAGAAACAUACCGGAUAUAUAUUAUAACGUUAUCCACUACUUACCUAUUUAUGUUAUAUCUUGUAUCAAUAGUUCACAUGUAUAUUAGUAAACUAUAUAAUAUAACUCCCACCUAGACACUAUUUAUUUUUAAUAACUACUGAUUCCUUAUUUUUUCUUUCAAGAUUCUGUUAAACCAUGUGAAUGUUAAGGGCUUGAGGCCAGAGACAUCUAAUCAACUUCAAACAAUGUAAUUAUGCCUUGCUUGCUUGUAAGUUCUAAUUUAUAGAAUCUUUCUGUGCGUUAAGUACUGUCUUUGCUUGUCAUACGAGACAUUACCUAUACUUCCAUGCUUAUCUUUUUUCGUUCGAGUUUCCUUAAUUCUCUCUCGAUUUUAUGUUCUCUUUCAUGUUCAUAGUUACGUUUGUCCUUUGUAUUAGCUAGCUAUGUGUUCUUGUUCUUCAUUCUUGAUCAAACACACAAACACAAUUCAGUAAGAAGCAUUGCUGCGUUUUCAUCUAAUUCCUGGCAGCUAAUAAUUACUUCCAAGCUCUCCCUUCCUUGGCUUAUGGAAUCUCUAAGAUCAAAAUGCAAAACUCUUGCUAAUGUGAGAGAACCAUAUAUAUAUAUACUGAUUUAAUUUCCGCUUAGAUUAAACACAUGCAUAUAUAGCAAAAGAUGAUUGACACGUUAAUAUUUUUUUUAAUGUAUAUUUAAUGAUCAGAGCAUAAACUGUUUCGGAUGCUGCAACAGACAAAGGCCUUUAGUCGUAGAAGUCGAUGAGCCAUCAAAGGGACUCAAAAUCCAAGGCAAAGUUGUGAAUAAAGGAAAUGGUGAUUCAUCAGACGGUCUAUGGAGCACAACUACAUGUGAUAUAGACCACAAUAGCACUGUUUGGUCCCAACCUUCAAACCCGCCAUUUGAUCCCCGGUGCAGCACAAGCAACUCUACCAAAUUUGUAAACCAUGGUAAGUCUUGGAUGUAUCUUUGUGGUUUUAAGGCCUCGGUUGUUUUAAAUGCCAAAAACUUCUGUGUUUUUGUGUUCUUGUUUACACGGAAAAAAAAAUCCGUAAAAAGUUUCAUAUACAGUAUUUCAUUUUUGUUUGUUUAGCAUUGACAUUUACAAUUAACAAAGGAAUUACAAUUGCAAGGUUUAGUUGAUUUGAGAGAAACAAAUUAUACUGAACCCAAACAAUCAAAAUUGGCUGCAUAUGCAUAAGACCAUAAAACAAUAUAGGAAACGCAUGUCUACGUUCAAUUUAUCCUUCAGAAUUAAGAUUUUAUACUUUGCUUUUAAGCUCUCUUAAUAGAAGCAAGACUUAUUCAAUACAUUCAAAAAAUUUUCCUUAUUCAUUUCCUUGCAUUGAAGGACUUAUUUUGUGGAACGAAACAAGACAACAAUGGCGUGAAUGCAGAACCAGACAACAACAAUGCCAAGUUCGAGAACCUGCAAUAAGGUGACAACUGGAACAAAUUGUUUCCAUGUGUAUACAGUAUAUGAUUUGGUUUGUUAAAAUUGUUCAAUUUGAGAUGAAACUUGUACUUCCAAUAUUUACUUUACGAUGAAUUUUUUCAGCUGGAACUCGACGUAUGAUAGCUUAUUGAGCACAAACAAGCUUUUUCCUCGACCAAUACCUCUCAAGGUGAUUUGGAUUUGGUUAUUUAGAUUUCUGCUCAUCACAUUUUUUUAAUGUUAAUUUGCAGUAGAAGAUUCUUUAUCCGCACGCAUAAUUAGGAUACAUUCUAACUAUGUAUGUGUCAUUAACUCAUUAUUGUUGCUAAGAAGUUUUUCUUUAGAAUUGAUGAUGAUGAUGAUAUAAUAUGCACACAGGACAUGGUGCAUUUCCUUGUUGAUCUUUGGGAGGAAGAAGGCUUGUACAUAAAAACGUAACGAUUCUAUAAUUUGCUUUAUAAGUUUUUGUGUACAGCAAAGAUUAUUCGAUAUAUACGUACGUGUUCUUUGGCUUGGUCAUGACCGUGGAAAAUUAGUAAAAAUAAAAUCCUUUUUGUAUAAGUAAAAUCAGUAAAAUAAAGGAAGAAGGCUUGUUGCACAUAUGUUACGAUAAAAAAAAGUAUAAACACAAGUGAAGGGGGUUUGAAUGUAAAAGUUGAAACUUUGGGGCUCAAUUUGAUAAUAGGAAACUAAUAGUGGGGGCGCAGACAAGAACGUCAACAACUCCAUGAUGAUAUUUUUGCAGUCUAAAUAUCUUUUCAUCCUCUCUUCUCUCCGCUCCACUGAAAUAUUAUUAUUCCCAAACUAAAUAACACAAUAUGAUAAUGAGAAGCGCUUCAUCACUCGACCUUAACAUACGCGCCGCCCAGAAACCGUCUGUUCCACCACGGGUGGUCAUUACGACGGCUCGAUCCGUCUCUGCUUCUCCUCUUGGUGCUAAAUCUAUUACCAGAGCUUCUUCGGAUGGAAAUCUCUACAAGAUUCAGUCGCCGCCGGAGACCAGAACUAAAACCGAAGAAACUGCAUCGUAUAAGGUUUUGGAAGGAUCUCGGUUCCCUCAGGGAGGUUCUAACGGUGGAUUUGGUGGUCGAGGCAGAGACGGUGCCGGAGGUGACAGCGGCGGAGGUGGGAGUGUAGAUGGUUAUUAUGAAGACAUGAUCCAACGUUAUCCCGGAGACACUCUUCUUCUCUCUAACUACGCUCGUUUCCUCAAAGAGGUCUGUCUUCUUUUUUAAAUCUCCUCUGUUAUUUCAAGAUUGUGUUUAUUAUAGGGUGUGUUGGCAAACUACUACGUUUUUGAAACAUAAUUAUAAAAAUAGUACAUUUACUAUUCACAAUUAGCAAAAUAGUACAAUUUUACUAUUUCAGAUAUCUGUACAGACAGACAACUGUACAGUAACAUAUUAUUGUACAUCAAAUAUUUGUAUAAAGAGAAACAACUACAUAUAAACAUAUUUACACAUAAAUAAAUAUACAUAUAUAGACCAUAAUAUAUAUGUACACAUACAAUUAUACGUAUAUAUAGACCGCUGUAUACAUCGACACACAACUGUACAUAAGGUUAGCUGGACGUAUCAAAAUUUGUUUGAAAAAUAUAUGAAAUUAUUUUUUUAAAAAUGCAUAUCAAAUUAUAGAGAAAAAAAUACAGAUUUUUGUGUAAUUGAAAUUUUAUAGAAAACAAAUAUAUUUUGAUGAAAAUUUUUAAUUAUUAGAUUUAAAGGGGUUUUUAAUAGUGUCUAAAUAGUGUCCAAAUAGUAAAAAUGUAUUAGUUUGCUAAUAAUAAAUAGUAAAUGUACUACUUCUACAAUUAUGUUUUAAAAAUGUACUAAAAACCCAAUUAAUCCUUUAUUAUACUUGCUAAUUUUGGAAACAUUUAUUUACUGUUAUUUGACCCAAACAAAAAUAUAUACACGUGAGGGCUUAUAUAUAGAGACAAGUUAAAAAAAAAAAAAAAACACAAAGUACGUUUAUAUUGCUAUGACUGAAGUCGACCCCUUUGUGUUUUGAUUUUUUGGGUUUUUGAUUGGUUGAAUCUACUAAUCCAUGUAUUACCAUUUAGGAAAUGUAAAUUUAUAGACUUCAUCCAUUAACAGUUUAAACAAAAAGGAAGUUAAAAAGUGUAUCAAUUGAGGGGAUAUUUAAUUAAAUUAAACUUAACAAAUGUUUUAAUUUGUGCAGGUGAAAGGUGAUGGGAGGAAAGCAGAGGAGUACUGUGAGAGAGCAAUGUUGUCCGAGAAUGGAAGAGAUGGAGAGUUGCUGUCUAUGUAUGGAGAUUUGAUAUGGCAAAAUCAUGGAGAUGGUGUUCGUGCUCAUUCUUACUUUGAUCAGGCUGUUCAAUCUUCUCCUAAUGACUGGUAUGUGUUUAACAUAGCUCUGGAUUUGGGCUUUUUUUAAAGUUUCUCUCCAUGAUAAGACUUCAAAUCAUGUUUUGGGCAUUGUUAGAUUAUAACAUGGGAAUAUCGGUUCAUUAAAUGUUUUUGUGGAUCAAAUAUGAUUUCCUCUAUAUCCAUCCUUUGAAGAAGUGAUUGGUCAAUUUGUUAUAGAGCAAUAGCUUCACACGUCAAAUAUGACAGAGACAUCAUUCAUGAUUAUUAUUUUUUUUUUUUUGCGCUCUGCGUCUGCAAUUUAUAUAAUUAUAUGUGAUGUAGCAAUAGAUGGUACGAUACAUCAUCAUUGAUAGAUAGUAUCAUAAUGAUAAUAAUUUUUAGGGUCCCGUAGAUUUGAUAAUAAUUUAAUGAGUGGUGUUUAUCGCAGUCAUGUUCUUGCAUCGUAUGCUCGGUUUCUAUGGGAUGCUGAAGAAGAAGACGAGGAAGAAGAGGCAGAGGAAGCAAGUAGUAAACAUGAGCUUGGUUUCUCUACCUAUAACCCAUCUGUAUCAGUUGUGUCUUGACUCUUUGUGCUGAUGCUAAACCGGUGUAAUACAAUUAAAAAAAAAAAAACUCAAAAGUCCGGUUUAAUCAUGAAAAUAUCUUCUGCAUUUUGAAGUAGAUUGAUGCUAAUGAAUAAGGAAUAGACGAACUAAAGUACCAAAAGUCCAAAGCUGAAUUAUUGUGGCAAAUUGUGAGAUUCCAAAGAUGAUAAAAGUGGUUUUGUAUCCUUAUGGUUAAAGCUAGCUAUAAAGGUGUGGAAAUGAGACUUCUGAGAGAAUCAAUUAUUGAUCUCUGGUUGCGAGAGAUGUCAUGCUCAACUGUCGCUAAUACCCUUUGUUUUUGUGUCUUUGACAGUUGCAAUUUGCAAAUCACAAGAUAGAAUGCUUUUAACAUUUUUUCCUAUCUGGCUUAGAUUUGACAAGCAGUUUCCAAAAAUAUAAUAUUAUUUUUGUGGAAUGUUACUAUUAAUUCAAUCUUUAUUUGCUUCAUUAUCAGUACGUUUAGAUUAUUGUCGAAACCCCAAAAUCCAUAUCCUACAAGAUCUUACUUACUAAUUACUCUCAUGGAUAGCCACAAUUUUUUUAAGAAUGAGCCAAAGGAGAAGAAUCAAUUAUAACAAAAGAAAUUGCACAUAAAGCCAUAAUAACAAAAAUGAGAAUAUAAAAAAAAGAAAGAAUACACAGACAGAAAGAAACGCAGAAUCUCCUGAAUAUUCACCUUUUAGGAAUCAAAGCAUCAAAAAAAGAAAAAAAGAAAAGAAGAUCUUGACAUCAAAAAGCAACUUAAAAGAUUAAAAACAUUACCAUCAAACAUAGGAAUAUAUAAAAGCAGCAACCUUUAGAACCAGACCUAUAUAAUUCUUUUCACUCUUUUUACCCAUCUCUCUUCUCAUAUAAGUUUAGGCUGAAGAUAUAUAUUUAAAUAUAAUACGGUUUCUUUUUCUCCUUUGUCCUCCUUAAUCAAUGCAAGAGAGAUAUGAUGAGUCUUGAGAGUAAUGAUCGUACCGCAGAGUUUUUAAUGCUCAACAGCAACCGCUUCAGAUACCUCCAUGGACUUGUCGGCUCUGUCUUCAUUCAUCCUCGGAGAUACAACCUCAUGUGAAUCUUCUGCAUCAGCAUUGGAUGAUACAGUCACUUGUGCUUCCUCUUCUACAGGAUGUGAAGACUGGUUUACGGUUUCUGCAUCUUUUUCAACUUUCUUUUUUUCAGGUUUCACCUUUGCUGAGGUUGUGGCAGCUUUUGCUGGGGCGGGUUUUCCAUCGGGGAGAGCUGUUUUCUGAGAUGGCAAUCUUGGAAGUGACUUGCGCACUGGUUGCUUCUUCAGCUCAACUGUUGGCAUAAUUCCCUUAGCAGCUGAGUUAUCUUUAGAAGCUCUCUCAUCUAGGCUUAGCCUACCAAGGCGAGGUGUUUGAGUUUCUUCACAAUCCACUCCAGAAGCAGUCUUCUUUCUCCCAAGUUUGGGAGACUUGGGUCUCGUUGGUGGUAUCUUCUUGGACAUAAACAACAAUUUCACAUGAAAUGUGCGUAUUAGUACUUCAAUAAAAAGUGAGAUCAUGGUUGAGCUUGAGCAGAGAGGAGAAAUACCUUCUUUAACUCUGUUUUAGGCGGCUGAGGUUCUUGAUAAAAGCUAGGCAUGGGUGUGGCUUUGAAGUUCAAGCUCUUCCUUAGCAUCCUAAGCUCAGCUUCUUGUGUUUCCUGCGAGGAAACCAAGGAUUUUAUUAGAGGAGACCGGGAAUCUAAACAUUGUGACAUAAAACAGGGUCUAUGAGACAACCUUGGACUUGGCUUGCAUGCUAUUAAUUUCCUCUUCUUUUGCAUGAGUCUUCUCUUCGAGCUUGACAUAGAACUGCAGCAUACAAAAGCAGAAAUAUGAUUUUCAAUAAUUACGUUGUAGAGAGUGUAUAAGAAUUGUGAACCAAAAGACAAAACCUCUCUUCUCUUUUCAGCCCGUUGGUCGCAUUUGAAACUGAACCCGUAAUUUGGAAGUGCACCAACUUUACGAGGUUUUCCAUCGUCUGCUUUCGGACUACUAAGAAACCAUCAAGUUAAAGAAUCAACACAACUGUUAAAAAUGAGAGGCAAAUGCAGGAAGGCCUCAGCUUUCAGCAAGAAACAAGAAAGAAGAGCUGGUAAAUAAAGGAAAAAGUAAUACUUAGAAGACUGAGUAUCAUCUUCAGAUGUCUCAUGUGCUUGUUUCUUUUGAGGCUUUGGUUUCACCUUGUCCCUGUAUUAAAAAAGGAAAGAAAUUUCCAGUUUCAACGUUUGAUUAGGGACUAAAAGAGAAACGAGAAGACUUAGCACCACGAUCUGCAUGCCAUUUAUUGGCAAAUAUUUUGACUUUUAGCAGUGUACCCAUGAGAAGACCAAUAAGGAAAGAAACUCCAAAUUCAAAAAUGAGGACUCAAUACCCGGCAGCGCUUUCAGCAGGUGCAGAGUCAUGCUUCCCUUGCUGAUAGGGAAAAUGAAGAAAAUCAGAAAUAAUCUUCAGCCAGAAAGAAGAUCACACAAACAUAUGCAUAAGCCAAAGCAACGAAACCUAGCAGCAAAUUGCGAGGGAUGAUUACCUUUGUAACUUGAGCCUCUCUACCAUUGAAUGAUUUGCUUUUAAGAGGCUCUGUAGUCUGUGCAUUAGGAGCAACAGAACCAUUUGAUGCAGCCACUUUAGCGCCUGCAGUCUUGACCUCCUUGUUCUUUUUGAUGUGAACCGAUGGAAUAUUCUUACCACCAGAUAGUUUGUCAUGCUUUAGCUUCCGUUGAGCCUUUUCGCUUUUCAUACACAUUGAAUCAUCUACAUUUUCAACUUGUGUGCCCUACCAGGAGAGAAAACACAGAUUUUAAUUACAAGUGUUGAUAUGACAAGCUAGUAGAUUGACAAUCCGAAGUCGCAAACCUCAGCUGCCUCUUUGAGGUGUUCAAUAGCAUCCAAAGUGGAAAUGUUUCCCGAAUUCUGAUCCUGACUUUGUGAUUCAAUAGUAUCAACGGUUUCGUCAGACGCAACCCCAUUUUCUUGAUGACAGACACUUUCCGUAAUCAAGCCACCAUUAGCAAGAGUAGAGUCAAUCCCAUCAGCAACCAUGACACCUUCGUGGUCCAUAGUAAACUACAAAAAAAAACACAAAUAUGGAAAAGACGAAAUAAGAAUGAUGAGCACACCACUAAUUCAAGUUCCUGAGCAGACAAGUUGAUAAACUGAAACAUUUUUAAUCUGUAUUGUCAAGUAUGCCUAAAAAAAGGGAUUCACUUUAACCACAGCAAUUCCCGAGGGGUUAAUGAAGUGAGUAACAUAUCAAUCAACAUUGUCAGUGACAAAGAUUCAAGCUACAUUUUUAAAAAGUGUUGAAAGCACUCGUUUGUCCAAUACAUACACUCAUAAGCUAUACAUAAUAAUGUAUGAAUCCAUAAAUAAUCCCUAAAAAUAAGGUUUUUCAAAUCAACAUUUUCUGCCUACACUAGAGGCCAGGGGAUCGACGAGAGCAAAAUAUCCACAGAAAAAAAAAAAAAACCUAAUUUGUGAUUGGUGAAUCGAUCUAAGAAAAGAAAUCCGAGAAACGCAAAUCUAAUAUGGAAAAAGAAGCGAAUCUGAAGCAGGAAAAAAAAAAAGAAAGAAAAGAAAACUAAAUCUCGUGGUAGUGAGCUCUCACUAGUAAUGGAAAUCAGUUACAGUUUCGAUCUACCGACACUCAAAACAACAAUGAAAAGAAAACAGACAAGUAAAGAAGUAAGUUCCUCAGAUUUGUAAGAACAUCCGCCAUUUUACACACAGCAACCAAACAAAGAAGACUAUAACUUAAAAAAGAAAAAAAAAAAAAAAAAGACGCAAAUCUUGCUCACCAAAGGCAGUCCAAGGGCAAAUCAAACAUCCAUUGAAGCAAAAAAAAAAAAAAUCGAAGGGGAUUGGGCAGUAGAAGAAAGAGGAGGUUCUUUCACACAAGAGUUUUUGAGAUUUCGAUUUGUUUCGUAAGACUGUCUUUUUUUUUUUUUUUGGUGUGUGUGUGUUGGUUUUGGGUUUGNNNNNNNNNNNNNNNNNNNNNNNNNNNNNNNNNNNNNNNNNNNNNNNNNNNNNNNNNNNNNNNNNNNNNNNNNNNNNNNNNNNNNNNNNNNNNNNNNNNNCAAAAGAGCUCUGGUGUAGCAGAACUUCCUUGUUGUCUCUCUCUCUCUCUCUCUCUCUCUCUCUCUCUCUUUGUUUAAUUUUUAAAAAAAAACUAGACAGAGAUUUUUUUUCUUUUUUUUUUGGUUUGGAAGAGAAAAGGAAAAUGACAAAACAAAACGUUUUAAUAUUUAUUACAGCGGCUAUUUAUUCUAAAUCUAAGUGCCAUCAUUUUUUAAUUACGGUUAUUCUGCUGAUUUUUUGGUUUUUUUUUUUAAUUUUAAUCGUGUGAUUGUUGUGGACCUGUGGUGUUGGGGAGUUUAAUCAAAAGUUCAAAACUCUGAUUACCUUAUUUUUAUUCGUCCUUCAACAAUGUAUAUAUAUAUAUUGUUAAUUCUUUCACUUAUUGUUGUAUCGAGAACUAUAUAAUGAAUGACAUAUUUUUGUGUAACAUCCACUAACUGAAAUUUAGAUGGGACAUUAACAUAUGAAAAAAACUUUAGGUUAAAAGAAAAAAGUAGUUGGCGAAAAAAAAGAAGAAACAUUAAGUGGGAGUCCAGAUUAAAUAUUAGUUAUAAAAAUGGAAACCCGGAAUUAGGGGAGGUUUUGGAUAUGGUUUAGAUUGCUUUUUUCAUGUUUUGAUAUCUUUUAAAAAUACACUACUAAUGACUACUGGAGAAAGAGAGAGAGACGUGACCUUCUCAUUUUCUUAAAUCAAACGGUAUAAACUUUCAGAUUCGUCAUUAGUUUAUGGCAUUAUGCUUAAUUAUCAGCUUUUAUCAUCCCCCACACUGUUAUAAUAUACUUUACAUGGGACCUUUUUAUAUAUAUGUCUACUUAAUUUAAACCACCUUUAAUCUCCAAGCCAGCUCAUGGAAUCUAUAUUAUUUGUUUUUUUUUCCUACUUAAUUAACUAACGACCUUAAUUAUUAUUUUAUUAUGAACAUGUUUUAUUAACUAAACAUAUACUCUAUGAUCACUUGAUAAGAUACUUCAAAAUUCUACCCAUGUUUGUAAUUUAGUGGUUUCUUUUAAUUAUUGCUUUGUAUCAUAACUCCAUAUGCUUAUAUUUGCAAAUGUGCGUGUGUGUUCUGUAUAUUCUUAGAAUUUUUAUUAUAAAAAAUCAAGAGUUUGAUUAUUUCUUCUUAGACGAAUGUGAUGGUGCAAUUAAUUAUAUAAAUAUGACGUACCUUUUUCACCAAAUAUUUCAAAAAGUUGGAAUAUAUCAUUUCCCAUUUUAUGAAUAAAAAAAGUAGCAAGUGUUACUUAUUUAAAUACAUGCACCCACAUGUACACCUAUACUUUAAUUUCGUUGACUACAAAGAAAGUAAAUAGUUUUAUUCUCUCCAGAGCUCAUCUCAAACACUAUUAACCUUCAUUGAUUUUUAGACUACAUUCGCAUAUAUAUAGUUUUGGAUUUGAGAAUACUUCAAAUGAACUUUUGAAUAGAGUAAAAGUGUUUACGUCUCGUCUAGAUGCGAUAUCAAGAACACGUACGGUUCUUAAUAUUUCAACUUGUAGGUUUUUGUUACCUUAAAUUGCAAAACAUGAGAUGACAAAAAAAAAAAAAUCAUGUUCGUUCGUUUAGGUUAGUGAAAAAUUGAAUGUGGUUCCAGUAUGCUAUCUCACGUUUUUUAGUUAUAUAUAGACUACUAGCUUCAUGAGUGGGUUAUAUAUUAUACAUGUGUCCAUAUUUAAAUAGACCGUGAAAUAUUAGUAAAUUACAAAGCCUUGAUUUAGAAAAACACAAGUAUCCUCAACUAGUUAAGUUAGGGAUGCGUUUUCUAUUGCAUUGAUAAAUUAUAUAAUUAACUGAAAUAAUUAUUCAUUUCUAUAGUAGAAAAGUGGUAACACCUACCUAAAAAGUAUGAUUAUCACGGAGAGAGUGAUUAAAGAGUAAGCAAAGUGAUUAGACACAAAAACCUAAGAGACAAGUUGGUCCAGUGAUUAGGGUAAGAUACAAGUACAACAGUGACACCUUUCCUUUCCUUCUUUCUUGCUGCUUCUCAACACUUUCUCACUCCAUCAUCUCUCUUAAUCUACAUAUAAUCCCUAUUUCAUUAUGCUAUCUUUGAUUAAACUGAUAUAUAUUCACAACUGACAACACCGUGAGACUUUGGAUGCUCUAAACUUUGUGAAGUAUGGUUGCGAUUGCAGAUUUUGAUUUUAUGUUGGUCGGUGUAUAUCCUUGUUGGAAGAUUCGCUUCACCAUCCAUGUAUCAGUUUUAUCUUAUCCAAAUGAAUGCGAUUGUACUACUCUUUAGAAAAACAUUAUAAAAAAAAAAAAAAAAAGAUAAUGACUAGUAGCCAAAAAUUAUUGGUUGUUAUACAAACACACAUGUUAAUAUCUCUUUUGACAUAGAAACGGGCAUAUUCCUAUAACACACUACAAUAUCUACCUAUGACGAUUCGUACAUGACCUUUUAUUCAUUGGUUUUGUUUGUGUUUUGUGUUUUUUUUUUUUGGGCAAAAUUUGUGUUUUGUGUUUAUGAACCAAACAUAAAUAGUAAAAUCUACAUAAAUUGCUUUAAACGACAUAACUCGAAACUUGAAACUGUUAAAUCGUGCUGACUGCUGAAUAGAUAUGCUAUGCUAUUAAGGGAAAGCUUGUAAACACACAAGACUAUUGAAAAAAACGUCAUUGUUUUUUCGUUUUGUAAAGUGGUUAAAAUUACAAUUCAACAUAUUUAGUCAAUGGAAGUCAAACCAAACACCGAUUAAGUUUCGAGUAUAUCUACUGUUUAGUUUUGUAGUCGUAGUAGUAAGCAGAGAAACUUUUACCUUACUAGCAAAUAAGCAUUAUUAUCACCCAAAUUAUUCAGGCAUGUUUGAAACACUUAUGAGCUAACAAAAGAUAUUACUACUACACAUCAUAACUUAUUCCAUUUAGCCCCAGAAUUCACUAGUUUUUUAUAAGCAUUGGUGAAGUCUUCGAAGAACUUGUCUUGGUCUUCCGCAUAUCGUUUCACCCAUCUGUGCAUCAUCAAACCACAAAUCUAUAUCAAUUAAUAGUUUUCCAGAUCGCUCAUAUGACAUGAACAAUGUGCAACAUAUUCCAGUUUUAUCUAUGAGCCUAUAGUCCAAGUGUUCAGCACAUUACUCCACUCUACUAAAAUUAGUACUAAAGAGAAAAUUAGAUAAAUAAAUGAUAAGGUAAGAACGUUCAGAAACUGAGAAACCUUAAACACUCAUCAUCGUCCACUAAGGCAUGAUCCGAAGGGAGGCCGACCAUGCUCGUCAUUUUGGCUGCAUCAUAAGAACUUAACUAUGUAAAUGUAUAAUCUCAGUUUUACAAACAAUCUUCAGAACAUAGGGAGGAAUGGGUGGAAACUUAAAUUGUACGAGUUAAGGAACUUAAGAACUUUGUCAUCAGACUUACAAGCUGAUGUCCAUGGUUUUUCAAGAAGGAUUUUGUAGUAUGCAUUGUCAAAAACUGUCGGAUCCCCAAAGCCUUUACUCCCUAUCGUAUGUGCCCCAGAUAAAGCAACAAGCUCCUGAGUCCUGCAAUGGUACACAAACCCAUUGAUGUCGAGUUACAAAAUGCUGAUACAAAAACAUGUUAAAACAAUUCAUAGCUAUCUUUGUGUAACGACUUACGAAAAUCCUUUUCUUUUGAAGCAUUCUUUUAAACCAGAGGCACUCAGGGUUUCUGGAGGUAGCUUGCCUUCUGGAUCAGGUUGCCUGUAAACAUGAGAAAAUCACCCUGCUGGAAAUAUAGAAACAGUAACCAGAAAUCAAUCGAAUGAGGACUACAACCAUAUAUUGCUUACGUUGAAUCAAGUCUUCCCAAAAGUACUGGAAUUAUUGGGCCGCCACAUAUUGAAACUGCUUCUGAUCCAGCGACAGAGAUCAUAUCUGCCCAAGACACUGAGAUCACGCAGAUUGAGAACAUUAGCAACAACGCUCAUGACAGGACACAUAGUUCAAAAAGUAAGUACCUGGUUGUAUCUCAUCAACCUUAAUCUUUGCUUUUGCUAGAACCUAGCAAAGAAUACAUCUACCAAGAAGAUUAGUAGAUGCAAUUUUCGAAUGUAACAUAUUUGAGAUACAAGAGCAAAUAUAUACAAAAAAGGCAGUUACGUAGAUGCGAAAAUUACAUCUUUAUAUGCUCACGCUAACAGAUUAAAGAGAGGGAUUUAGUGCCUUUAAGGAUUUCUUCAAACCAGUGUUUUCAGGUCUCUCAAGUUCAUAUGCAAUAGACCCGUUGAUGCCACCUGCAAUUAAAUUCAUAACCAAAAACACAAUUGAUCUUAGCUAGUGGAUUGCAGUAUCUUUUACUGAGAAAGCAAGAAAAGAUAACCAAUAGAAGUGAUCUAACAACCAAAUGUUUACACUUUAAAACUUAUCUGUUUACCUGAAUUAUCUUCCAGCUCAAAGGUUCCAGCAUCAUGAAACACUAGACGAAGCACACCAGCAGCCUUACCCUUUGUCACGACUUUCCUUAUUUCGUUUUGCAUCACUGGAUAAAUGCUGUAAUCCAACAGUGCGAUUUGCAAAAUUAGCACAAGACCUUGGAAUACAAUAGCUUGAAGAACACUGAUCCAAAUAACCAAACCAAAAUCCAGCUUCAAUUUUUAAGACUCACUCAGCUGCCUUGCCAUAUGGCGGAACCAAAUGAGACAGAAGCUGCACUGUGGACAACAUUACAACCAUUUUUCUUCUACUGGAAACCAAAUCAGGACGCCAACCUAGAAAUUAUGCAGAAACAGAACAACCUCAGCACGAAUCGGACUCCAAGCAUUUGAAGUUUUCCAAUCGGACCAAGCAUUUCAUUUCAAAUUAUAAAACGAAGCUAUUCUGUUCCGAGAUCGACGGAAAGAGGAACCUUAGAACAGAAAUGUUUAAGGAUACUAGAAUCCGGUCUUACCAGGAUCAUCGGAGACGCAACGAAUACGCCAAGCUCUUAACGUUCUCACAACAUGUUUCCCGGUCACCGGAGGGAGCAGUCGCGUUUUCGCUGGAAGUUUGAAUUUGAAAGAAGAAGAAGACGAGUCGCACCGGAAAAGAGAAGUCUCCAACAGUGACGCAGUCGUCGCCGUCGUCAUCUUUAACGGUGGGACGAGAAUCACCGAGCCUCAGCUCAGUUUUGUGUAAUACGUAGUUUCUAUCUUCUACCCUCAGGUGUACAGUAAGCAAAAGGUUAUAGCCAAUAGGAAUCGAUGCUGAGAGAGAGAGAGAAAAGUAAUAAGAACAUACGGCAUGCAGUCCGAAUGAGUGACGUAACAAAAUAAUUUAAAACGACAAGGAGUUCUAUAAUAGUUGAGGAAAACGACGUGUAAUCCAUUUAAUAAAUCUCGGAACAUUACAAAACUGAGAGAAGAUGACUAUUCUUUCAAGAUAUAACACACAAACAAUAUACAAUAAUAAUAUAUGGUGAGCCAAAAACCUAUUAUAAGAAUCUAAAAACUGGCUAAAAGAAUAAGAAAAGAUUGCUAUCUCGGACCGGAGAGUCUGACGGCGGAGAGAUAAUUCUCACUGUUACAAUCGGAUGGUCCAGAUGACGUAGUAGCACCACCAUCCUCACUGAUCGACUUAAAGAAGCUUGAGUAGAGCCUUGAUCCCAUAGUGGAAGAAGUAGGUGGCUGAACCACCGGGAAAACUCCUUCAAGCAUUUGAACAACUUUGCUCAUCGACGGUCUCGUUUGCAUAUCUUCUUGUAUACACCAAAGUGCAGUUUUCAUCGCCCUUUGAACCCUUUCGUCAUUCACAUCAACAUUCUUCAUCUUCCCAUCAACGAUCUCCAUAAGCUUCCCUUCUUCCAUCUUCUUGAAAGCAAAAGAAGGAAAGUGGCAUUUCUCCGAAGUUUCUGAUGGAUCAUAGUUCUUUCUUCCUCCUAUUAACUCUAGCAACACCAUUCCGUAGCUGUAAACAUCGCUCUUCUCUGAGAUUGCGUAGUUUGUGAUCCAUUCGGGAGCCAAGUAGCCUCUUGUCCCGCGCAUUGUUGUGAAGACAUGGCUUUGUUCACGGGUCAUGAGCUUCGCGAGUCCGAAAUCAGAUACCUUGGCAUUGAAGUUAUCGUCUAAUAGGAUGUUCUCAGGUUUUAUAUCGCAGUGGACAAUCCUUGCAUCACAGUCUUCGUGUAGAUACGCUAAACCUUUGGCUGUUCCGAGUGCGAUGUUAAAUCUUGUGUCCCAAUCUAACAGACAUUCUCCGUCUUUUUUCCUAAAUAUCCAUCUCUCCAACGAACCUUUGGAUAAGAACUCGUAAGCGAGAAGCCUAUGAGCCCCUUCUGCACAGAAUCCUCUGAGCCGCACCAAAUGCAGAUGAUGAAUGCUUCCAAUUAUACUAACCUCGGCUCUGAAUUCUUUCUUGCCUUGACCAAUUCCUUCAAGUUUCUUCACAGCCAAACGAGAACCAUCCGGUAAAGUCCCUUCAUAGACCGAUCCAAACCCUCCUUGACCUAACUUCACUGAGAAGUUAUUCGUGGCUGACUGAAGAUCUUUGUAAGCGAACCGGAUAGGCAUCCCGGAUAAAUUCUCCAAGAAAUUGUCCUCCUCUGAACUCUCUUGAGGAGCCUCCAAUAUCAUUUUCUUUCUCUUAUGAAUUCGGAAGGCCACAAAGAUCAAAACGGCGAUGAUGAAAAUCGUCACCACGACAAUGAUCACUAUAUAAGGAAAAUGUUUCCCAUCACCUUCUCCGUUAUCUCCACCUCCCGCACCAGUACCUGCGAUCUUGAUGUAAGACACAAACCCAGAGCCUCCAUUGCCAGAGUUUUUAAAGCUUCCAAUCCAAUCAAACAAGAAGCAGUUACCAGAACUGUUCUGGAAGAAAAGACCUAGGCAUGAGCAAUUGUUGUUGCAGAACUCUUUACAGCUAUCAAGAUCGGUUUUUUUGGAGAAGGGAGGAGCAAACCCGACAGCGAAAUAAUCUACACCAUCUCCAGCAUUUACUAGCUGCAACGGCAAUGUUGCAUUAUCCUUGGUUUUCUUACAGGGAGAAGUGAUACCGGUUUUGCAAUCAGACCGAGCCCGAGACAACCCGGGCACACAUCCACAUACUUUAGAACCCGAGCAGACGUAGUAAGACCCACAAGGCUCGGGUGUUGAGCACAGAUCACUCGGGAUUUUAGUAGAAGAAUCAGCAACAGAUGCUCCGCUUCCAAGACUUGAGAAAGAGAUGGCACCGUUGUUUCCCAAAACAGCGAUCCAAGUUGCGUUAUCAUCUUUGUUUUCUGCAAAAAGAAACUGCCAUAACAGAACCUGUUUCUCAUCAAAGAAGCGCCACGAAUUCCCAAGGAGAGACGAUGAAGUCACUACGCCGUCUUUGUUGAUGAUCCUCUCUCUGGCAUUUUUCAUUGACCAAUACGCUUGAGGGGUCAAGCUAUUCACAGAUAAAACCAUAUCUCCUGAUUUGAUCUCAAGAGCAUAAGUCAUGUUGCUCGAAGAAGGAUUGCUAGUGAGCUUCAUGCCUUGUUUAAAAGCUUGAUUCGUUAUCAGAGUAUCUGUGGGAUGAUCAAAACUCUCCCAGAUCGAAGUUCCGUCAGCCGAAACAACGACGAGAUUCCCCGAGUCACGGAGCUCCAUUCUUGAAGCUUUUUUGCCUGAAUUAUCUAAUGUCCAAACAUCAGUUCCUCCGUUUUCUUUACGCAGCACCACAUUCCCGUUGUCUUCGAACACAAGCUUGUCGGAAUUGGAAACAGGGGAAGCUCUGUUCGCCGACCAGAUCAGUUUCGUGGUGCUCUUGUGGAUGAUGCUGAGUGUGAACUCAGUGACAGAAGCUUCUGUAGUUAUGAAACCGAAACCAAAGUCAGAGUUGUUGGAUUCGAGGAAGAGACCGUUGUUGUUGAUGUAAUUCAUCUGAGAUCCUCCAAAACCUGGAGCGAUGCUCCCGAUGUACGCGACACCGGCAAGUAGAGGAUCCGGUAAGAAGACCAGACACGUUACGAAGACGAUGAAGACGCCUCUCAUGGUCUUCUUCGAAGAUGGUGAGAAUUCAGCUGAAAUUUUUACAGAAAUGGACAAGAAUAAACCCUUUUAAAAAGACCUAAACUUUUUUUGUAUCGUGGAUGAGGUCAAUGGAUCUGAGAAAAGGGAAAUUUCCAGAAAGAUGCAAAAAGACAAAUCUCAAAGCCCUGGCAGGUGAAUAGUAAGCUCUGUAAAUAGAAACUGAUUGUUCCUAGAUUUAUUACAGAACCCGAGAAGAAGAAGAAGAUGACGUGACUGAGACAAACCGAGUAGAAGAAGCAAACAGAGACACAAGAACUCGCCUUGGCGUUGUUGUUACAAAGCUUAAAACUUUCCGACGAUGUCAGACCGGAAUUCAGAUGGCAGAGAGAGAGAAGAAAGGAGAGAAAUUGAUAAAAACCCAGAAACUGAAACAAGGAAAAUAGAAGUGGAGAUUAAUUUAGGGAUUGGAAACAGUUUUGAUUUGUUUUUGCCUCUCUGUCUCACAUUCAAUGAUGUUUGAUUUUGGUCUUAUUUUGAUGGAGAAAGACGACAAGAGGGGGUUGAGAGAGAAGGAGGAGAGAGAGAGAAGGAGGAGAGAGAGAGAUGCAGCAGCAGCAGCGAGAGAGAGAGAGAGAGAGAGAGAGAGAGUCUUUAAAUCUCUCUGAGCCGUUUCCUUCAAAUCCGUAUCCUUUUUAUCUUUCCCUCUUGUGACCGUCACAAUUUGUUUUGGACAGAUCCGACCACUUGGAGGAGGAGAGGUUUCUUUCUCUUUUCAACCUAACAUGUUCUUUAAAUGUUUCCCUAAACCUCCCCCCUCCCCUUGUGACUUUUGACUUUUCAAAGAAGAAGACGAAGCCCACCGAUCUACUUAUACUGGAUUGAUGAUUAUCGCAGCUUGCAGAAAAGGUUUCGAUCAUACACCAAAUACAAAAGUAUAUCUACUAUUACUAUGUGCGUGAAAUAAAGUUGAAGAUUUGUUAAAGGCAAACACAUUAAAUUUUUAAAAAAUAAUAUAUCAUUGACGACAUUUUUAUUAAUGUAUCAUGGGUAAUGGUUGAAAAUGAAAACUAAUCAAGUUUUGUGACUGCUAACAAACGUGUUGUGUAUCUAACGAAAUCGGAAUUUUGAGUUUGUGUUGUAUGUUUUGCAUUCAAAAUGACCGAUUUUAGUUGAUCACCCAUAGUUUAAUUAGUCAUUUACUCAUUAGUUGAAUCUAACUAAUCUUUUGGGGGUAAAGGCUAGUGGAUUUAUUUUCCACCUGAAAAUAUAUUACUAAAUGAUAUAAUAAAUGAAACAUGUGGAAGAAAAUGAAAAAAAAAAAAACCAUUACUCUGCUAUCUAUAGUCUGCUUUAAAUGAAGGGUCCCGUAUCCAGCUAAUUUUUUUUUCUUAAUAUGUGUUUAUCUUAUCAUAAAAAUAAUUUAGAGAACACACUUGUUUAUUUCUGAUUAGAAUUCAAAGAUGGAUCAGCAAACUUGAAAAUAGUUUGGUUUGGUAUUAACAACAUUAAAACUGUGUCUACUUUGACGGAUGAUGAUGAUGGUGAUUCAACAACACACAGAACAUGACUAAUUCCUCUGUUUCAUUAGUUUCUCCACAGUAACUUUUACCGUAAGAAAAGGAAAAUAGUUCCUACCUUUAAAUUUUUGUCAACAAAUAAGUACCUAACCUUUUACUUUCCCUCAUUAAUUGGGAAAAAAAAGAGAGGAUAUCAGCUAGUAGUAAAAUAUAUAUAAAGAUUAGGGCACUUGAAAAUAGAUUAAGAACUAUGAUUUCAUUAUUUUUCCUUUUUUUUUAUGGGACCAUUUAUGGUUUAUACUUUAUAUAGGGUUUUUUAAAAAUAGUAAUUUAAACUGUUUUUUAUUUUUAACAGAAAAAAAAAAUAACGUGGCCGGAAGUGUGAAAUUUGUUAAGGUAUGGGGGGGGGGGGAAGACGGAGUACGGAUGCCAGCUGGCACACUUAGACGUAUCUCAUUGCUCUGUACUUGUUAUUAGUUACAGUACUUAAGUUGCCCAUGAUCUAAGUUCAAUGCUGAAAUGACUGAUAUACCCCUGACUGUUGAAAUAUGGGACCAAAUAACUACUUUUUUUCCACGACCGACGACGUGUGGGUUUGGUUUGACUAUAAUGGUUUGAUCUUUCUCUUCUUCUACGAGAUCAUCAAACCUUUUUCAACGGCCAACCUUAUUCAAUAAUGAAUACUACUACAAAGGUGAUAAAUCACUUUACGUUUUGUUUUUUUUUUGGUGUUUAUACAUUGAUAGAGAUACCGAUACUUGCUAGUAGUAGAAUAGAAUACGAAAGCAUGAUUAAUGGUUACGAUCUAUUCCGAAUCUUUAUUUGAAAUCAUAUGCCAAUUGCUUACUAUAAAGAUCUCAUCAGGUUUCGGAUAAAACCUUCAUGCAAUGCAUGCUCAUUAGUCCUCGUCCAGGUCUUUAAUUUUUUCCCAUUUCUUAAAGAUCAUUACUAAUCUAAAUUCAGCUAUAUAUAUUUUGGUUUAUAACUAAUCGUUAUAAAAAUUAACAAAACCUACAAUAUAUAACUAUUUAAUUCUUGAAGAAAUUGUUAUCUUAUUAAUUAUCGUGAUCCAAAUUUCAUCAUAGUUGACUGUUAGACGUACAUACGACAUAUAUAAAGGUUAUACCUAAUUAACCUCCCCGCCAUUUUAUUAACAUCUUUAUAUUGUGUUUUUGUUUUUCUCUCCUCGUGAACCAAGUCAAUCAUCUGGAAACUUUUACGUACAUGUCUUUAAUAUUUGUAGCGAUACGAGAGAGUAGAGAAAAUAUUCAACUCUUUGGAUCGACAGAUCCUCCAAGGGGGCUAUAUAUAUAGGGGUAUAUGAAGUAUAAUAUAUGCAUGCUUAUAUAGUUUUGAACUUAAAUAAUUGAUAUUGAUUGUUCAAAUGUAAAAUGUGGUUGGGGGUUAAACUUCGUUUUAAUGUCCCGCAAUCGUCUACGCCAAUAUUCAAAUCCCCCAGUUAUUAUAAAUUUCUUCAGCAAAUUAGUUGGCGAAUCGCCAAGUGUAUUCCAGUUUUUGUAAUAAUAUUAAAAAAACUAAGAAGCAUUAAGUUGUAAAAUACCAUUAUAAAAAUAAAAUAAUGCAGGACUAAUAGUAACGGAUUAUCAGAGUGAUUCGUCGUGGCCUAAACAGUGACAGCACAAGAGGCAUCUUUCUACGCCCCUAAACCUUAAAUGCAAGUUACUCAUAAACAUGCAUCUCCCACUAUUUUUCAUAUACGCACUCUCACACAUUUAUGUAUGUCCGUCCACUUGAUAUGCUAUAUUGUGUAUGAUUUCUAAAUAGAUAUAUAUAUAUAUAUUUAGAUAUAUACCAAUAUAUGUUAUAUGAUUACGCGUUCUCACUUUGUUCUACAAGUCUUUUUCUCAAUAAUAUUAUAAGUCAUUUUACUUAUAACUUGAUUUUAUAUGUUUUUGUCUCAGUGAAUUCCGUGUGAGUUAUUUCGUAUUUUCGUCCAUUACAUAUUGUUGAUAUAUCUAUGUAUAUUUAUUUGUUAUUUGAUUCAUAAAACACUCGUUAUCUUAUCUAUUAUAUAGACGGAUUCGGGUAUUGAUUAUACCGUAUGGCUAGGCUACCAAAAUACCUCACCAUGUAAAUCUAUUACAAAAAAUGUGAACUCUGGCUACGUAGCUUUAUCAAGAAAGUUUCGUUCGUUUUCUUCUUCUCCAUUACAAUUCAUUAAAAAGAGUAUUAAAAAAGUUUCAGUUCACACAUCGUCUAUUCCUUUCUAGCUACAGCUUUUAAAAAGGAAUAAAAAGAGGAGCUGGUCUAAAGAUCUGCAAAGCAGUUAAUUAUGGACAUUGAAGAAUAACUAAGACUUUCUUACUUUUUAAAAAUACAAAAAAUUUGGACAUGAUUCCUAGCUAAUACUUUAACUACUAUCUGCUAAUCACAAGCAUUUAUAAGGUUUGUUGACAGCUAUUACUUGUAAAUGUGACAUAUCGCUUUACUCGUUUUGUUACCAUCGUUAAUUUUUUUUUUCUUUUUUUUUUUGUGUGGUAAGUUCAUCAAAUAUUUAAAUUUGUUACUGUUGGUCUUACAUAUAUUUCUCUUCUUAUCAUGCAUAGAGAAAAACUCGUAUUUGUAUAACUAUAAAACACCCGCAUGUCGAGAAAGAAACUAUAACAAAUUGUUAAAUAUUAUAUUCAUAGCGUAGGAAUAAAACAUAUGCUUUUUGUUUAAUUUUCUUUGGCAGAGGUAUAUAAAUAAAACACGUUAAAAACUAGGGGAAAUUUGAAAAUUUUGUAGUUAACAAAAAACAAAACAUAGGUUGAAACAUGUUUGUUUCAACAUAUUAUUUUCAAAAUACUUUAAAAUUCCCUUUUUCUUAUUCCUCUUGUCGUUUUUAGAUAACUGUUAUAUAAUUAACAUCUGCUAUUUAUGUUGGAGAACUCGAUCUAUAAUUACGUAGAACAAUAUACUCAAAACCAAAAAAAAAAAAUCUGUUGCCAUAUAAAAAAUAACAACGUAAAUUAGUUAUUUCAUGUUACAUAGAUAUACAUAUGUAGAAGUGCAUACAUUAUUACGUGUGUAGGCAUGUGUGUUAACAAGAAUCAGCAAAUCUUAUCUUAGCAUAUCACUUGUAACAAAAUAAAAUAUUAUCUUGUACAUAUAGGCAAAGUUCGUCAUGUCUCUUCCACUACAAUCAUACGAAUGAUCUCAUUAGAUAUCAUCAUGAACGUGGAAGCCGUCAACGUAUGACUAAGAUUUCUCAAUGCGUUUUUAUAUUAGUUGUUACCUAAUUCAUCAAUAAUGGUUCGUUUAAGUCCAAGAAAUAUAUAUAAUUACUAUAAAUUCAUGAGAACGGUCCUUUCGUGUCAAACCAAUACGUAGAGAGUCAAUUGGUUCACGAUUUAAUAAAAUUGGAACUACUUGGAUCAACUUUUAGGUAAGACAUAAAUUUUGUUUCUUGUACUUAUGCAUAUAAUAAUGGACAAGGUUGGAGGAAAUGAUAAAGAAAAGCUUUACUCGUAAUCCAAUGAGAAAUUACUUUUGUGACAAGAAUUAGUAAACUACAAAAAGCUUAAUAUAGCCCUUUUAAAAAAUCUUACUUUGCCAAUGUUUUCAACAAUGGGCUGCUUGGAAAAAUGCUGAGAAAGGUUUCGUUUCCCACAGCCACGGGUUGAUAAGAUUCGUAUUAGGUGAAAUUUAAAAAUUGACGAGGUCUUUCAGGUUGUCACAUGGAAUGAGUAAAGUUAUGCUUCUGGAUUAAUCGUAUUCGGUUCAAUGGUUUUUAACGUUAAUAUAAAGCGAGAAAUAUCUUCCCUUCUCUUAAGUUAUAAUAUGUGCAAUUGCAUUACUUUAGCUCAGCUUAUACAAAAGAUUUGGUUGGUGAGAUAGCUUUUGCAUCUGAGAUUUUUCUUCUUUGAUUCAAAUAGGAAGUCUAAAUAUGUAGUACAGCUGGAUGAUGGUUUUAAAAUCAUAGAACAAAUCUACAAUUAUAUACCUAAAUUAAUGUGUACUUUGAAUCUCAUGUGAAUUGCAACUCCACUGGGAUUUUUUGUCGAACAAACAAUUUAACAAAAUCUCUCUCAAAAUUUGUAACAUGUGAGUCAGAAUGCCAACGGAUCUUUACGCUCGAUUACUUACCAUGAACAUUAUUAAAUACAUAACAGUGUAUUUAGCUACGGUAUGAAAUAGUUUUCUACAUAUAUGCAUGGGAAGCUAUAGAAUGAUUUUUUAACGUUUCCAUUAGAACCAUCAGCAUAUAAGACCAUAUAUAUGUAGAUAGAUAUAGUUUGUCCAACUUUGUCAUUUGAGACACGAAAGGCAUCAACCAUAUGACAAAGAUGUUCUUCAGCCCACUAGCAACUAAAUAGGCCUAUAAAACAAUGUUCUUCAGCUCAGAAAAGCCCAUUGCAGAAGAGCCUGCUAGUGUCAUCAAUUGGUUUCCCAGAGAAAAGGAUCAGACAGAGUAUUCUAUCUAACGUUCUUCGGUGGAGAAUCCAAUGUAUGUCAUUUACUAUGCUUGUUGUCAUUUGUGAAAACAGAGAUGCAGAAUGGGCAUUUCUCGAACUGUGCAAUGUAAAAUUAAGUCUGGUGACUCGAGACUGAUGCAAGAGAAGGAGAAGAAGAAGACUUCAUUGAAUGUUUUAGUUUUACUUCAUCUCUCUAUUUACAUGUUCACAAACACCUAAACCUAGAGAGGAGACUAAAGACUCGCUCAUUCCUUCUAACACAAGACUCGCCAAACAAAACUCAAUCUUGCCCUCUUUUUUUCAGCUGCUGAUGUUGCUGCUGCUUAUCUUACUUCGUUUUUGCGUAGGCUUACUAGGACCUAAGCGCAGAGAUAGAUCACAUUCACAUCCACCAAAGGUAAUGCCAUUUGUUGCAUCUUUGACACUCGCCGGUCUGCUGUUCUUGGACUUGCACGAGUCAGUGAUUGGUCGGAACGUAUAGAAUAAAGGGUAGGCUGAGUACUUGGAAACAGUGCAUUUCUCGACCCGCUUCUCUUGUGCUACUGCAAGAUUCUUUGGAACAAAGUUGUUCGGUUUCAUGAAAACUUGGGACAAAAUGUUGUCCAAGUUAGUUGAGCCUUGGCUAAGAUAACAUCUGGGGUUUAUGUUACGUUGGCUCCUUGAAGUUUUCCUUGGCGUGCACCCCAAAUGCAAUGCAGCUACAAAAUAAACAAGACUUGCUCAUUGACCUUAGCCAGUGAUCCCCAAGAACUCGAGUAUAGAGAAUAUUGUAUUUGUAUACCUUCUAUACAAGGCUGAAGAAAUUCACCACUUUCGGUGGUCUCAUCAAGUCGUAUGAUGGUGUUGAUGGCUUCGUUUGUACGGUCUAAAAGGGUCGUCAUGUCCAUAUACUCAGCCUAACAUAAAAGCCACUAUAUAUAUAUCAAAAGGUUUCUCAAAAUGAACACAUCCAAAAUUCUCUAAAUCAACUCCAUAAAUAAUGACAUUAAAUAAAUCUCACUGUUCAAAGAGGGCAAUAAAAAAGCAAUACAUAAAAAUUGGAAUACCAAUGAGAAACAAUCUUUUCAUUGAGAAUUCAAACAAAACCCAAAUGGAGAAAUUAAGAAAAAAUGUAAAGAAGGAAAACCUCAGAAUUGGCUUUGGAAUACAUGAUUUCUUCAGCUCUCAAGACAACAACAGGGAGCUUCUCUUGCCAUUCUGUGUUCUUCUUGGUGGAUUGGCUGUGAAUCUCACAUACAAUCCUAUAAACAAAACGUUGAAAGAAGAAUUGAGCUGAAGAAACACACAAAGAAAGACAUGCACACACCUAUACAUACAUACAUAUAUAGAUACAAAGGGAGUGAGGGAGAGAGAGAGAAGAUGAUGACCUGAAAAUCUCUUGGAUGAGCAAACCCCUCAUGGGUUGGUGUCUGUCACUAUGCCAAGCUCUUCUGAUGCAGUCGUACGGUCUUGGCCCUGGCCUCGGCAUCUUCCACCACUUUCUUUUUUCUUUCUUUUUUUUUCAAUGAGAGAGAGAGAAAAAGACACAAAGUAAGAUUGUUUGUCUUCCCCUCAGUUCCACUUCUUCUCUCAAUAAUUUGAGUGUGGUGUGGGGGAGAGAGAUUAGUCCUGUCAAAUUGGUCCGGUCUAGUCCGGUUUAGUCCGCCUAUAACUUUAUUUUAAUUUUAUGGUCCGGCCUAGUCUGUAUAGGGUUGCAGUCCGCUCAAUAAUUUACUAGCAGCAACAAGAAAAUAAAACUAUAGCAUUUACCAAAUUAUCUUACUAUGUAACUGUUUGAGAAUAAUUUUGGACUGUGACUGGUCUAUUUAAAAACGACAACUUGCGUCAAAGCAACCCAUAAAAAAAAGUUGCGGAAAUCUUCGGUCUCUCGGUCUAACUUGAGAGGAUAGAAGAUGUUGCAAUCAUGUACUAUUAAAGAUGAUUGAUCCGGCUUUCACAUUUUCAUUGGUCUCAACUCUCAACCCUUCUUCUUUAAGCAUCUCUAAAUGAAAAGUAAAAAAGCUAACGACUUAAUGCCUAAAGUUUCGUUUUUACACAUCAAGCUAUUAAAUCGUUUCGUUGAAGUAAGAAUCUUGAGAUUUGCUUUCGUACCACUUCUCUAACCUUUUACCAUAAUCUUCUGAUCUCUGACAUUGAAACAUUCACGAUGAUGUCCACACAAAAAAAAUAACAAAAAAGAAUUAUAUGAAUUGACAAAAACAAGUACAACAAAUAAAGUAAAGAAGGUCUGAAAACAUCAUAGAAGACCCAUCAUCCUAAAACCCCCCUUAACUAAAUGUGCCUCGUCGUUAGUGAAAGGCCCAAAAAGUCAGAUUUUAAGGCCCAAGUAUAAUGCAUGUCGGCCACGUGGACCACCGUACAGAGAAACUCGUAUCCAACAAACAAAAGCUGUGUGAGACAAAAUCGUUUCCUAAAACGGAUACGAUUACGAAAAUUCACGCAGCAGCCACGUGAUGUCAUUUACAAGCAGCUACCCCGUCAUCCAACGGUUUCAAUCUUUCCACGUGUACAUAACUAAAGACCUGUCCAUUAAUUAAAUCGAAUUACUUAUUAUGACUCUCUCUUUAAUGUAACUUUAACACUAAUCAACGAAUCAAAUUCGUAUUUACAAAUCAAAGAUUAUUAUGUGUGGGCUAUGAUCUCUCGUCGAUUCAUUUAUAACGAACUAAUCAAAGUACAAGAAAUGACAACCAAGAAAAAGAAUUCAAUUCAUACUUUAGAUAAAAUAUACUAUAUAGUACACGGAUCAAAUUAGGCGAAUUAGUGGCCAAACAAAAUUUAAGAUCGUUUAAUUAAAUGAGAAACUCACAAGAAGAGUAGGAGAGAAAAAAGAAAUACUAUAUGUUUCUGUAUAAAAAAGAUGUAAUGUCCAAAUAUGAAAUGCCAUUGAAAUUGAAUAUUUAUCUAUAAUUAGUAGUCCAAAAUUUUAAAUAUAAUUUUGCCUAAUGUAAGAUACAAGUUGCACCAAAUCCCACUCUCUCUCACUCUAGAAAUCCCAACAAAUGUCGUUGUUUCUCUCUCUAAAAAGCAAAAGCAGUCACUGAGUUAAUAGUAUUAUUUUCCUAAUCGUCCGGUGAGUAAGAGAUGCUAUCUCCGACGUUGUUUCCUCUCUUCUGCGCUUUGCUUCUUUGUCUUCCCGUUGCUGUCAUCUUCACGGUUCAGCGAGAACUUACCGGCUUUGUUUCGCCGCAGUUUGGUUUCCGCUCUCUCUCCGUCUUCUCUCUCUACUCUCGAAAUGUCCCAGAGUCUUCUUCUCCGGCGGUUCGGAUUCGACAGCCGAUACCUAAAGACGACGAGGCACUUCUCCGGCUAGCAUCUCGGGUUAACCCGAAUCUGCCUCCCGGUUCGACCAGGAAAGUGGCUUUUAUGUAUUUAACGACGUCGCCUCUUCCGUUCGCGCCACUUUGGGAGAUGUACUUCAGUGGGAGCUCUAAAGAUCUUUACAAUGUCUACGUUCACGCGGAUCCGACCGGAGAUUACGACCCGCCUUUCUCCGGCGUGUUCAAGAACCGGGUCAUUCACUCUAAACCCUCGAGUAGACUCUCACCCACUCUAGCCGCGGCGGCGCGUCGGUUGAUAGCACACGCGCUUCUCGACGAUCCGUUGAACUACAUGUUUGCCCUUAUCUCGCCUUCGUGCGUACCGAUUCGCUCCUUUGGCUUCGCCUACAAGACACUGGUCUCGUCUCGUAAGAGCUUCAUCGAGAUACUCAAGGACGAGCCGUGGAAGUUCGACAGAUGGGCGGCGCGUGGGGAAGAAGCGAUGCUCCCGGAAGUGGCGCUCGAGGAGUUCCGUAUCGGGUCUCAGUUCUGGGUUCUGAAGCGGAGACAUGCGCGUGUGGUGGCGCGUGAUCGGCGUAUAUGGGCGAAGUUUAACCAGACGUGCGUGCGGGAAGACACGUGCUAUCCUGAAGAAAAUUACUUUCCUACCCUUCUAAAUAUGCGGGAUCCACGUGGAUGUGUCCCGGCCACGCUGACUCACGUGGAUUGGACCAUUAACGUCGAUGGUCACCCGCGGUUGUACGAGGCCGAUGAGGUCGUGCCUGAGCUGAUCGUGCGGCUCAGAGAGACUCGACCAAGAUACGGCGAGGAUGGAAUCAACGGUUCAGAAUGGUCUGCGGUUGAGCGGAUGGAUCCGUUUCUGUUUGCUAGGAAGUUUUCUUCGGAUGCACUAGAGCCAUUGUUGGAUAUGGCUCGAACCGUCUUGUUCAAUGACUCAGCUGGAGCUGUGUUGUGAGUGAGAGUCGAAUGGUUUUUUUUUGUUUCUAAUGGCAUUGUUGUAAAUUCAGUUUUAGUUAUAAUUGUAAUUUAAAAUACUUAGGUAGCUGGGAAAUAACAAAAAAAAAAACCCAAGUCUACGUUCCAUUAUCGUGAGUAAAAGCAUACUCGUACAACUCGAAUCUCAUCCUAUCGGACGACGAUAUUGAAUGGAACAGUUGACAAAGAAAAGAGAGAUAGUUAAUGGGACUUGAAAAUGAUGUGUGUUUUGACUUUACACUGGAUUUUAUGCAAGAGAGAAACUAGGAAAAUGAAAUUGGAUAAAUGUGCAGAGUUUAAAGAUAUAUCACUUACAAAAUGUAUUUAUCUUAAAAGAUUUAGUUGAGAUGGGGGGGAAUAAGUUAGCGAAGAUGGGGCUUAGAUUCGUCAACACUUGAGUUUGGCUGUCGCUUAAAGACCACACACCCAUAAUCAUCGUCUUUGCCUCGUGCUCUUUUUCUCCUUUUUUUUUACCUUUUUAAUUUUCAAAGAACUUACAACUACAAGUCUACAACUACAAGCCCUGAAUCGCGUGAUAGACAGUUAAAGAGUGACUUGUUUAAUGACAAAAUUAUAUAUAUAGGUGUCUUUCUCUUUCGUCAAUUAAUAUUGAUGAUUUUAAUCUCAUGAUUUUGUGUUUAGGUUACGAUUCUGCUGAGAACACACGUAAACGUGCCGAGUUCCUCAAAAUCUUGUGUUCAGAAAACCGUAGAUUCGACAAUUCACUAAUAUAAUCGAUCUCUAUUUCAAGAGAAAGGAUCAAAUAUAUAGGAGAGAUACUUGGAAAGAAUGGAUCAUGUUCUUCAUUGCCUUCCUCAGUUUUUGUAUGGAGCAAGCUGUAAUGAAGUUAUUGCAUUGUUGCAUAUAAGAAAACGCUACCAGAUCUUUUGCAAUAGGGGCCGGAUUCCCUUUUGUUUUUUUUUUUUUUUUUUCUUUCUUUCUUCUGAGCUUUCUUUGAUAGUUAAAUGCAUGUAAAAUUUCAUUGUUACAAAAUGCUACCAGAUCCUUUGGUUACAUUUCCAAAACUUUUAAUGCAUACAACAACAUCGAUAAGGAAGGUCCAUUUCAAACUUUAUACUUUGCAAGUUAAAAUCCAGUUGAUGAGAUCUAAUAUCAACGACAGUUCAUAAAAACACUAGCUCAAAAGUCCAAGUCAAUUUAUUUGUUUUCUUGUGAAUAGAAUAUAUAGAUUAGUAAUUUAUCGUGCUAUAUCUAUGCAUGUUGUUAUCAAAUACUAUUGGAGUUUUCAAAAAAAAGGUUUUUGGGGACCAAGUGUGAUAUUAACGAGUCAAUUAACUCCAUUAUAUAUCUUCACUAAAAACAAUAUCUAUUCUAAAUUGAGAAUAUGCUUUAAUUAUUUUGACGAUAUGGGGACUAUCUAAAUUGUCAAAUGUCGAUAACUCAUUACAACUUUUAAUUAGGUAGUCCAAUUACCUCCACUAUGGCUUUCCUUUGUUGAGUUUUGCUCGUCCAACUGUAAUAUAAAACUCGUAAACUGUAUUCUGAGGGAACUGAACAGAACAGAUUCUGUUUUGCCACUUCAAUGCCAUGGAGUUGUAACUUGUAAAGGUACCUAGUGGUAAGAGAACCAAAGAUUGAGGAUAAUUAAAUGUGCCCAUUAUACAUGAUUGCUCUGGUUCUAACCAAAAUUAGUAGAUUCGUACGUGCAACAUUAUAAGGAUCAGUCAGAGACUCAGAGUUGAGACCUUUAAUUUCCUGUUACUCUUUAUCUUAAUUUUUUUUUUUUUCCUUUUUGUUGCAAACCAAAUAAGAAAAGGAAACAAUCGAAACUUUCCUUUUUUGUCUUAUUUGAGCAAACGUUAUAAAAUCAUUUAUUCUCUCUUCCUUCUGCUUUGAGAAAUCAGAAACAAACUCUGCAGCCACUUUUUCCAAUAGUUUGAUCGGAGCGGAGAAUAGCAUUUCUUUUCGUGAUUGAUCUGUUGUUAAUUGUGUGACUACAUCUUCAUCUGAUCGUGUGUUUGAUCUCCGGUCUAGUCUUCUCUAAUGGCACACGAUCAACCGAAACGUUGCGGCUGUGGGAAAGAUGAUAUAACGAAGAGAGAGGACAGUGAAAACGACGAGCUGAUGAGUAGAGACUAGAGAACCAAUCAUUGAUUGAUCUUGUGUUUAAUGUUUCCAUAGUUCCGAGUUCCGACAAUUCACCUGACGAUGAUGCAACGAUAUGAUCUUCUGUUUGGUGUUAUUUUUACCUAUCAUUAGCUUUUCACCCAACUAAAACCAAACCUAACCAAGCUAAGUUGUAGAAAUAACUUCAAAGAAACAACAAAUGUAUAAAUGCAUUAUUAAUCAAUACUCAAAAGAGGCAAAGUCUCACAAGUUCAAUAACAGGAGGCAAGAUCAUGAAAAAUACAAGAAGAAACCGGAUUAUAACACAUCUACAUUGGUCGAAAAAUAUAUGUAAUACAAAAAAAAAAAAAACAAACAAAAUGAAUGAAAUCAGUAAGGAUUGUUGUAGUAAUACCCCAUAGGAGGCUGUCCCGUCCCAUUAACCGGCGGCAUCCCAUAAGGCAUUGCGGUUGGGGCUGGACUCAUCUUAGCCAAACUAGCUUGACCUCUCAUUCCUUCUUGCUGAUAUUGCUGCCAUAACUGCUGCUCCUGAGUCAAUAGGUAUUGCUUUUUAUCCAUCUCAGCCAUUUGCACGUACGAAGGAGGCGGAAUGGUCAGGGAUGCAGCGAAUGGGUCUUGGUUCACUUUCUGAACGGUUCCAUCAGGUGCCGGGAGUGCUAGUAUAUGGCUGUUGAUUUUACUCGGUAAUGGGAGCGCUACACUGCUUGAACUUCCACCGGUUAACUCUGAGGUGCUCACGUGUUGUCUAACUGCUCCUUGAUCGUACAUCCCAUUGAGUAAUAACGGAUCUAAACCACCACCCAUUGCGGCUUUCUGAUUUUCGAGAUUACUAGCUGUCUCGACCAACGCCAGUUCCCAAUCAGCCUUACCAAGCUCAGCGGCUGGAUUCUGCCAAGCCGAUGUCACACCGUUAUCAGAAGGGAAAGCUUCCCAUUUACCGUUAUUACCUGGAGGCCCCGCAAAAAGUGCUAGAGCAAACUUGUUCCCUUGGUCAUCACCAGUGACACCAUCUUCUCUCAAGUUGACUAGAUCAUCGGUUACUUGUGGUUGCUGCGGUUUAGGUUCUGGUGCAGGCGGAGGUGGAGGGGUGUGAUUCUCUGGAGGAGGAAGCGCUUUGAUCUCAUUCAUAUCAACCUCAGGCUCUUCCACCGGAGGAGCAGGAGGAGGAGCUUCUAUUUCUUUCCGCUCGGGACUUUUGGCCCUCUUGGCUCUGUCUCUCACAAACUCUUCUAGAGUCUCCAACAGCUUGCUCGUGAUCCUCUGAACCUCAGGGUACUCAGAAGAUCUCGCCACGCCCGUGUCCUUACACCAAUGAUAAAAUGCAAUGAGCUCAUCGAUCUGUUUGGCGGCACUAGCAUAAGCAUCAAAGGCCUUGACGCAGUCAGUAUACUCCAUAUCAAAAAACUUGUCAAGCAGAACAGCCAAGACCUCACAGAUGUCAGCGUAAAGCCUAAAGCUUUCUUUCACAACUGGGUACAUAGCAAUCAAGAUCAUCCGGCUGUUUUUGGCUAAACCAGUAGGCCGGCAGGAUAAAAAGCGAUCAAGCAGCCUCUGCAAAUGACCCAUCUUUCCAAAAAUCCUCUCAGGUGUCAUCUCUCUCAAAGGAGUAACCGAUUUCUUAUCGUCUCUGCCUCCUCCAAUCUCAUUCAUAUCUCCAAAAGACCGAGACCUCUUAGGCAUACCAAAACCAUUACCAGUCUCAUAAUCAUAAGCUCUAGGAGGCGGAGACCUAAAAUCAUCCCUAGACCGACCAUAUCCAUCAUCCCCAUUGCUCUGGUGACUACUACUACUACCACCACCACCAUUUUUGCCCUUUCUCUCAAAAAGAGCUAAUUCAAGCCUCUGAUCCAAGUAGCUAGCAUAUGUCCUAACGAAAGCAGAGUGAUCCCAAGAGCUAGAAUGAGCCUCGUCUCGAAAAUCAGACAUAUUAAGAAUCCUCGUACCUCGUCUGGUGGCGUAAAGGAUCUCUUCCUGAAACAAUGGAUCCCCUUCAUUAAGAAGACGGUGGACAAGCAUAAGAGCCUUGAGAGCAACGAUCCAGUCACGUGUCUUCUUAAGACGGCGAGAGACAGAGGUGACACAGGCAUGGACGUAACCACGAGAGAGUGAAGUUAGGCUGAGGAUCUCGCGGAUAUACUUCUCACUAGAUUGAUCGUCGUCGUGGCUCGUAGCUUUAACGAUCGCAACUUCCAGAUCUGGAGCCAAGUUGCUAGCUACCUUCGCUAUGCCGAUGCUAGUCUGAUCCUUAACAACUCCGAUCGCUUUACGCAUGCUCAGCGCCAUGAUUCACUACUUCGGGAUUCGGAUUCUUCAAAAAAAACUCCACACAUACAAAUUAAUCAAAAAAAAAAGGGAGCCAAUUUGGUUGAGAAAUAAAUGGAGAGUCCAACGAGAAAAAAAAAUGAAUUGAAAUGUUCAAUUUUUUUGUUUUAAUGAAUAAUAUACCGAUUCGCUAGAUCUGCGGUGGGGAGAGAGAGAUUGAUAGGGUAGGGGGUGGAAUGAAGUAGUCGCCGGCGUCGGAUAUGGUGGUAUUGAGGCGGAAGAGACGGAGUCGGGAUCUGAGAUCUAUGGAGAUCUUUUCAAAGGCGGGCGAAGGUGUCAGAUUCGCCGAACCAGUCAAAAUGAAGUGUCUAAAGACAGAGCGACAAUUUAAGAGGAGUCCAAGGUGACGUGGACUGAUUAGAACCGUCGAUCUGAAUAGGAAGGAGAUGCGAAGGUUUGGUUUGUGACCGGGAUUGACGGGAACCCCUUUUGUCCGAGACACUCGACUCGACUCUCUCAACUCUCAAGUCUGAACACUGUUCCUGAUCGUAUCGGUGAGAAUCUGUCUUUCUUUUUUGUUUUUUUCGUGGUCAUUAAAACCAUUUUUCAAUUUUUAGUGGAAGUUAUUAUUGGAUCUUCUUUAUAGAUGAUGUGUUUUUAUAAAUUUCAGUAUUAAAUCUCUUUAGAAAAAAAUACCACAUUUAUCAUAAAUUUUUUUUUGUUCAUUUAAUGAUAUCUUAACUAUAAAAAGUUGAAUAUUUCAAUUUGUUAUUAAUCUAGCUUAAGCUAAGAUCAAAAUUAUGUAUAUAUUUUUUUAAAAAACUUAAGGCUUCUUAAAUUAAAAUUUAAGACUUUGAAAAUUUAGAAUAUCAUGGUUUCUGCAUACCUCUUAUGUAAGACCCGGAAAUCAGUGAUCAUAUUCAUGGUUUAUGCCUAAACCAUGACAUUCUUAUGUUUUUUUUUUGUUUUCUCAAUCAAACAAGUCUCAAAAAAAUCUUCAAUUCCGGUACAUCGGUGUUUAGUCACUGACACCUCAUGAAUUCUUAUCAGGCUUUUGACAUACUUCUUUAGGUUUUUUUCGUCCAUGUUUAGGCAUGAUCAUUGAUAGCCAAUAUAGCUUAUAAACCAUUGGCACUGGAUACUACAUCUAUAAGAAUAGGUAAUAUAGAGGAUUCAUAAAACUGAUAAACAAUUUAAUUACAAAGUAACUAAUGAUUGUCCGCUUCCAACUUCUCUAUCUUUAGAACAAAAGUCUUGUAUAUGCACACGGACGAUCCCUAAUUAUUGAUAUUCGAUUUACCGAUUCCGCAAAUAUCCUACAAAUACCAACAAUAAAAGUUUUUAGUUACAUUAGAUUUAUAUAUCUUAAGAAAACUGAAGCAAUAAAAUUAAAGAAGUAGACGUACGUACCUCCAUGGAACAUCCCCUGGUAGUAGCCAGUCACCAUCUUUCCCUUGGAAGGUGAAUGCAUAGUUUGUAUCUUCUCUAUCACAAUCUUCAUCUGAUAAAUUAUAUUCAAUUGUACGAAAGAUUAAUCUUUACAAGUUAUGAUCUUUUUUUUUUUUUUCAAAACAGUUAUAGUUUAUUUUAACAUUUUCUUACAAACUUAAAUAGUAGUAAGUACUCACAUUGGGUAAACAUGGCGAUCAAGGAGUCAGUGAGGGACUCGUAAGAGUUGAAAAGCUUGAUAUCCACCUUUCUUGUUAUUGCCACACCAUCCAUCUUAACCUUUACAUACAUUGAUGAUCUCGAUGUUAUUGUCGAUGAUGAUCCAACGCUUUCUAUUGCGGCCAUUCUAUUGUUCAUCACCGUGUUCCUCCUACCAUGAUGAUGAUAUGGGUAAUGAUGGUGAUUACGAUGACUAUGACGUUGAUGAUAACUACGAUACUUUAUCAUACAUGUUUUUACUGGUGGCCAUCCCACGACUUCGCUAUUUUCCUCCUCUCUAUAUUAUCAAAAUUAUUUAAAAUGUUACAAAAUUUUACAAAUCAUGCCUCCCCCAUUAAGUUAACUUAACAUCUUUUAGUUUUUUUUUUUUUUUUUUUUUUUUUUUUUUUUUUUUUUUUUUUUGUUUUCUGUUUCUUUUGAUAACAGCAUCUUAAGAUUUUUUGAGAAACUUUUAAUUAAGUGAAUUUGUCAUACAUAGUAUUGGUAGAUGUAAGUGUGUAACUACCAAC
RNAcentral lists this long non-coding RNA (149241 nucleotides) under Capsella rubella. RNAcentral's name for it is "long non-coding RNA (CRUB_LNC001304)". Lineage: Eukaryota; Viridiplantae; Streptophyta; Magnoliopsida; Brassicales; Brassicaceae. The record is from RNAcentral.